CUUUGCCUCUACCUCUGUCUGCAGAUUUCAAAACAUCCCUGUGACUGCUCUCCAUCCCUCCGCUCACUGCCCUGGAAAUUGGAUCAGCAGCAGCACUUAUUCCAGCCAGAGCCAAGCAACUUUUUCUUGUGCUCCCUUGCUGAUCUUUUUCAAGCCCCCUUUUUUACCCUCUUUGACAAUGGCACAUACGGACUAGAUUGGAACUUCCCAGAACAGCUGGUAAAUAAUUGAGAGGUAAGUGGCAGUACCCACCAACCAGCUGAUGAUCCCUUUAGGACAGAUCCGUCAGUUUGGGGAAGGAAUACCCUGUACAAGCCUUUUUUUUUUUUUUACUGCAGAGUGAUUUAUUGGUAGACAGCUAGCAUUACUGCUGCGAUCCUGCAAUUAUUGUUAUACCUACAAAGAUAAUGAAUAAAAUAAUAAAAUUAAAGAAUGUCCAUGAUAAUUAAAAUAUAGCAGAUUUUUUUUUAUCUAUACACUCAGUAAAGACCCGCAUGUCUCAUUGUGCUUGCAGUUUGUGGUAAUUAAAGGACAAUUAAAAAAAAACAAACAGUAUUUAUUUAGUAUUUUACAGAUUCUUCUAGGUUGUCUCAAAGUAGCAUUCUAAGUUGCAUGUAGUGCUGUAGUGUUAGAGAAUGGAUUGCUGGUUGCAAAGCCAGUGACAUUUUGCUAAUGCACUACAGCUUAUAGAAAAACAAGUCAAUGUUCUGGGAAGGAAAGCAAUAAGUGACAAGCUGGCAUGUGUAAUUAAAGCUUCCAAUGGGGUGUCACAUUGGGACAUGCAGGUAGGAAACAGGUAGAUCAGUUUUCCUAUUCAAGAAACAUUUCUGUUCUGCUCUGUUUUACAUAAAGUAAUCAGGUUCUGGGGAGGUACUGUAGAUAGUCUUGUGGAAUAAUGCUAGCAGUUAAAAAAAAUUAUAAACAAUAAUGUAUGUUAGAAAAUAAAUUAUUAUUAAUAUUAGUUUCUUACACCUUUCUAAUGUCAGAAAAUUAAAAAGAUAUGUAUGUCUAACAUAAUUCACUAUGCUUUACAUUAGGAUCAAUCAGGUGUAAUGCCCAUCAAUCUCAGCCAGCGGAACUGUCUAAAACAGGCUUCCCCAAACGCGGCCCUCCAGAUGUUGCUGUACUACAACUCCCAUGAAUCUAUGAAUGAAAUAGAUAGGCUGAGAAUCAUGGGAGUUGUAGUUCAGCAACAUCUGGCGGGCCGGAGUUUGGGGAAGCCUGGUCUAAAAGGUUCAUGUCUGUGCUGUGUAUGCUGUAUGGGUGUGCAGGUAAUGAGUCACACUGCUGGUAAUUUUAGAGCUUAUAAUACAAUGUAUUAACUGGUAAAGAAAAGAUUGUGUUUAGCAUUGAGUGUUAAGGCAGAGGUUUUAUCAUAGGUCAUUCUUCCUAUUAAAGUAGAAUUUGCUGAAUACGUUUCCAGAUGAAGAGUUAGAGUGAGUUCCCUGAUUAUUGUUAAAUAUUAUUGGGAAUAUAACUGAUAUUAUUAAAUGUAUUAUUGGUGAUUACGACAUACAACUGUAUAAGUAAAUUAACCCUUUGAUUUAUUAAAACUAUCCAGUGACGCACUUAACUGUGUUCACAUAAAAAACAUGGGGUUUAUUCACUAACAAAUUUAUUUAGAAAAAUUUGAAUUGUUGGAACUUAAAAGUGAAUUUAAAAAUUUGAGGCCAAAACAGCUGGAUUAGAAAAUUCCCCCAAGUUAGAUAAGCUUUCAGUUUGGCUAUUAAAGGGAAACUCCAGUGCCAGGAAAACAAUCCUUUUUUUUAACCUAAAAUUUGCAAUUCUUGUUCGUUCACCAUAAUUCUUAUUUUCAUAGAAAAAAAAAACAAAGUGUAGAUAAUUGCUAAACCAGAGUUGUGGUUUGCUUAACCUGAAAGUUGUCAAGUGUGAAAACAUUAAUAAUGGAAAUGCUUAUUCCUGUUUAAUCAAGGUAAUCUGUUCAUUAAAUAGUGAGUUGUAACGACAAAAGAAAACUAUGAACAUUUGUGCUUAAAUAGCAGUUGAAAGAAAUUAAUUUUAGAUUUUUUUUAAACUCGUCUCAUUGCUUUAAGAAAACGCAAGUUGGUUUUCAAGGUGCUGUUUUGUAACGGACUGGACACCAUAACAGAGUAUGGCAUUUGGGUUUGUAACACACCUUACAAAACGGCAUAUUCCUCUUUUGCUUGUUAUCAGAAUAUUAUUUGGUGUAGAAUUUGUUCACCUGGGGCCUAAUAGUUGUUGUAGGAAAGCAAUUCCUAUUGUUUGCACUUAUUCAGAGACAUUCAGCGCCUAAUUGCUUCAUACAGCGUGCUUAUUACACCUGUUUACUGACUAGGAUGUCUUUGAAGAAUGGGAAAAUCAGAACAUUUUAGCUGAUAUUAAACUUUAACUCCCAUGUCGGUAAUUGGUUUCUGGUUGAGGUCUAACCGAUAUGCUGCAGGUUGUUAUGUUUUACACCCAAUUAAGCUAAAAUUACAUUUUAUUUGUCAGAAUUUAAACUUGUUUUCCUCUUUGACCUGAUUUCAUAUCACUGCUGCUAUAGAAUCUAAAAAGCAAAGUUUAGAUUGUUAUAAAUUGGUUGAAUUUUGUAGAUACCAGUAUUAUAAAAACUUUAAUGAUCAAAUCUAUUGAGGCAAUUUUCAGACUUUUAUUUGACAUAGCUCUUCAGUUUGACAUGCACUUGUUUUGGCAUUAAAAUAAUCUCUACCUAAAAAGAGAGCAGCAUCCAUUAAUCCAGGGGUCCUCAAACUCCACCCCCCAGAUGUUGCUGAACUACAACUCCCAUGAUUCUCUGGCUAUCUAUGUAAUUCAAAGUAUCAUGGGAGUUGUAGUUCAGCAACAUCUGGGGGGAGAGUUUGAGGACCCCUUCCAUUAAUCCAUCCAACCAACAAACCAACCAUCCAUCAAUCCAUCCAUCUAUCAAUUAACACAGGAAAGGAGUCAAUAAGUCUCAGUAUAAUGUGGAACCACCUUCCUAAUUCAGCGUAGAAUAGCAACAACAGUUCAACACUGGCUACUUACAAAAUCGCAGUUCUGCAACUACUGGUGCAUUUAUUAUAAAGUUAUAUAAUAAUGUCUGUUAAUCGGGUGUACCCAUCUUUCUUUUGUUAAUACGCAUUUAUUAUAAAGAUCAGCAAACAGUGCAAGAAACAAAAUAGUUACAUAAAGAGAACAGUAUCUGCAAGCAAAGACUGCGUAAAGUUUUUAAUGCAACUUUAGCCCUUACUCAUCAGCUUAUGAAUAAGGGCAAUUUAAUACAAUGCAUUAGGCAGUCUAUCCCUUUGAUGCUUGCUGAUUACUUCAAAUAAAUGUGCCAGUAGUGGCAAUAUUGGGUGUAGUCAGUGAUCUUUUUAGAUUGUUUGAGAAUAGAUUGUGAUGCAGACGUAAUAUAAUACUAUACUGCAGUAUCUUGCAAUAGAUAUGUAGAAAUACUCACAUAUCGCAUGAAAUGCCAUUUCUGGCAAACUAAUGUGUGAUCUGCCCAGGCAGAUUAAACAUUCAGUGCACAGAUUGACUGACACUGUGGAGUUUUGGCAUGCCUGAGCUUGGUAGGAGUUGCAUAUGCCGCCCUUCAGACCUCCUACAGUAAUGAUAUUGUGGUAAAGGAGUAAAAGAUAUAGAAACACAAUGAUUUUGGUUGUGUCUCUCCUCUCUUCAUAUAUCAUUAUAAGGAGAGGGCUUAACUAAUGGCAAUAACUGUCAGACUACUACAACCACUAACUACAACCACUAACUACAACCACUAACUUCAAGUAGACUGGCUGCCAUAAACCAAGUUUCACAAAAAGUCAUAAUAAUAUAAUACAAAUUCAGGACUUAGAAUUUCAAGUUCUAUGCUACCAGAUUGGCCUAAAAUAUAUUCAACACUCAACAAUUCUGAAAAAUUCCAUGACACACUCACCAGUGGUAAAUUUCUACUCGGCAAGGCUGAAUUUUCACUGGUCAAUGGCUAGUGGGCAAGUGGUUAGCUGAAUCCCUUUAAAUAUAAUAUAAUACAAAACAUAUAUAAAUGCUGUAAUAAAAAAAAUAUAUCUUGGGGUUCUGAAUGCAUACAUAGUCAUCUGCUUUAGUAUUUAACUUUUUGGUGAAAUAUUGGUUGAACUGUGAAUUUAUGCGCCAUAAGAUAAUUAAAUACAUUUGAAUUUUGUUCUAACCUGAGUAGACAAAUACAAUUUAUUGUUUAGAUCUAAACAUCAAUCUCUCUUUCAGAUGUAUAGAACACAAACUGUGUUUCUGCGGUAAUGGUUUAAUAAUCUAAGAUAAGUUUGUAUUUUCUAAGUUCCAACUUUGAUGGUAAUUUAGAAAAUAAUCAGUCAGGACAAAUGGCUUAUAUUUAGACUAUGAGGGUGAAAUUAACCCUUUCAAUGAUGAUGGGUGAGAAACAUACGUUUCUAUAUCUACAACCUAAUAAUACAAUGUUAUUGGACUGAAGGAUUGUGGGGUUUUUGAAUACAAAUCUCCAGGUCCUGACUGGGAACUAAAAGCAGCCCUGGAAAAAAAAUUCUAUACCAGCCCCAUUAUGCAUCGCGCCAGCAUAGCGUGCAGAUAGGAAAGCCGGAAAAAAAAAACCUUAAAACCGAAAACUAUCACUCAAACGUGAAAGAAAGCAGUCAUAUGACUUAAAAAUAAACAAAAGAGAGGAUUUGUUGUAAGCAGACAUGCAUUUGCAUAUAAUUAAUGUUUCAGUCCAACUACCUUGACAUAUUAAGGAAAGUUUCGUAAUUGGACUGAAAUUGUGCUCUUUACUUUGUCUGACAACUAGAUGAUCUCAGUCAACACAAAUUUAAUUCCCAUAGGAAAGCAUUGGGAGGGUAUUACGCAUGUGUGGCAAAAACGCUGUGCUUCAUCACACCAAUCAGCAUCUCCUCAUAGAGAUGCUUUGCAUCAAUGCAUCUCUAUGGGGAGCGUUUAGCGCCUCCACACAGAGCAUGGAGAUGUUCAACAUAGGUGCCGCAUACUGUACAGCACUGGACUAGGAAGCAGCUCUAGUGGCCGUCUGAGUGACUGUCACUAGAGAUGUUCCUAGGCAGCAAUGUAAACACUGCCUUUUCUCUGAAUAUAUUUCAGGCUAUAGACACCAGAACCACUACAUUAAACUGUAGUUGUUAUGGUGACUAUAGUGUCCCUUUAUUACGAAGUCUUUCUCUCACCGGUCAACUCUAAAUUACAGGGAGAGCAGGAGACACAAGUGAAGAUGCACUUUGUUUGUGUCUUUCUCCCCAAGCCCCUUUCAUGUGUCUCCUAGCCCCAGCCCAUUUGUCUCUUUCUCCCCUUCCCCAACCCUUCUGUUAGUCUCUUUCCCAGGCUGCAGCACCUCUGUGUGUCUCUUUCCCCACAGCUCCUGUGUGUGUCUCAUUCUCCCCUUCCCCAGCCCCUCUGUGUUUCUUUUGUUCAUCUUUCUCAGCCCCUCUGUCUCUUUCUUCCCAGACCCCUCCUGCUGGUGUAAUUACGCUGUGCAACCCACGUGCCGGUGCGCACUGUGUGGUCGCGCACCAGCCCGAUAGUAUGCAAGCCCACCGAGAAAUUUCCCAGUAUCCCGGUGGGCCAGUCCAGCCCUGCCCCUUCAUGUCUUUUUUCUCCACAGACUUUUUUCUGUGUCUUUUUACUCACCUGCCCCUCCAUGCGUCUCAUUACCCCAGCCCCUCCACGUGUCUUAUUAGCCUCCCACAUGUCUCAUUAGCCCCCCAGUCCCUCCAUGCAUCUCAUUAGCCCACCAUUUGUCCCAUUAGCUCCCUCCCAGCCUUGUAUGUGUCUUAUAAGCCCUCCCAUGUGUUUUAGUAGUCCCCCAUGUGUCCCAUUAGCCCCCCAGCCCUCCACAUGUCCUAUUAGCCCUCCCUCCCAGCCCUCCAUGCAUCCCAUGAGCCCCCUUCCAGCCCUGUAUGUCUUAUUAGCUCUCCCAUGUGUCUCAGCAGCAUCCCCACAUGUGUCCCAUGAGUCCCCCCACGUGUUCCAUUAGCACCCAGCCCUCCAUUUGUCCUAUUAGCCCUCUCUCCCCGCCCUCCAUGUGUCCCACUAGCCCCCUCCCAGCCCUUCAUGUGUCCCUAUACCCCCCUCCCAGCCCUUCAUGUGUCCCUAUAUCUCCCUCCGAGACCUCCAUGUGUUCCGAUACCGCUCCCAGCCAUCCAUGUGUCCGUAUACUCCCUCCCAGCCCUCCAUGUGUCCCUACAUCCCAAUCCCAGCUCUUCAUGUGUCCCUUUCCCCCCCCUCUAGCUCUUCAUGUGUCCCUAUUGCCCCCCCCAGUUCUCCAUGUGUCCUUAUAACCCCUCCCAGCCCUUCAUGUGUCCUUAUAGCCUCCUCCCCAGCCUCCAUGUGUCCCUAUAGCACAACAGGCAGCCCUCCUGUGUCCCAUUACAGCCCCCUCCCCAACCCCCAUGUGUCCCAUUAUAGGCCCCCCUCCCAGACAAAGGUAGACAAAAAAGAGGGGUGGCUAAAACAGACAAUCACUCAUACACAACCUGUAAAAUGUACCUGUUCCAAGGCCCCCACUCACCGCUCCAACAGGGAGAUAGAGGCAGCGCUUUGCUCGUGUACGCCUCUUUAUGUUCUGUUACAACGACUUUUCAAUGGCGCGACACCUAGAGACCAUUCAGCAGUUCUCUCUGAAAUUCUCUAAAAUUAUGCCAAACAAUUACAGCUAAGCAUGGACUACAUAUUUUCCAGUCUUUUUACUUCAAAUCACCCUGUUGUGGUUCUUGCAUAGCCCAUCCUAUUAUGAGUUAUCUUGUUGCUGACCAUGGCUUGUUUAUAAUUUAUUUAACUCUCCAUGUUCCUGAUUUUUAGCUUGUCUACUAUUUUCCUGUUUUCUCCUUCCCUUGAUUCUGCCAUCACUUUUACUUUUCUGUACAUUAAGUUUGGCCACUUUAAGGCCCGGUAAUAUGGCCUCUAUACCUUUGUUGUAUAUUAGGCACUGUGUGCGGGUUCCCUUACAAAUAUCGUGACACAACCUUAGAAACAGCUCCCUCACCCAAUAACACAUGCAGUCCACAUUAUACAGACAAGUACUACAAUCAACCCUCAUACUCAUAUUUAACAUAUAAUAGCCAACACAUACACAUAACUCAACAGGCAGACCACAUAAACACAAGCAAUACUACAAACAGCUCAGAUACACACAACACCAAAAGCAGCCUCCACCACACAAACAAAUAGUAAAAUCAACCCACAUAUACACAUUUGACAUCACAGACAGCCCACACACAUUCAUAGCAUGAACAGUCCAUAUACAUACACAUAUCACCAAAUAUAGCCCCACAUACAUAAAUACCACAAACAAUGCACACACACAUACAUAGCACAACAGGCAGCUCAUAAAGACACAUACAGUACCACAAACGGCUCCCACUCACAAGCAUCCAACACACAUGCAUGAAAUGCUGCAAUCCCCUCCAUAGACACAACGCCACCAUAAACACACAUAACACCACAGACAUUCCACACACUUGCCUAAUGCACAAAGACAAUGGAUACAACACCAGGCACAGCACGUGCAUGCACACAUAAAACUUUACAAAGCAGCUGCUGCACCCAUAUAUAACACACGCAGAACAAACAUAAAUGUUGCCUUUUAAAAAAAAGGUCUGAAACCUAUCAUGGGAAGAAUAUAUGUGUUUGCAUAACGAUUUUUUUUUAUAUACUUUGUAAAGGUAGAAUGUAGUUUUAGAAUUGAUCAAGAGAGCCAUAUGGCCAUAUGUAUACAGUACGUGUGAGCAUUAGUCACUUCUAAUGACUGAAUUCAUAAAUAGUGUUAUCUCAUGCCUAACAGUUCCUCUCUAAUUUGUGUUGUCUGUGAUCAAAAAUAUUAUUUCAGCUGUAUGAGAUGUUAGUAUAUGCCCAUUCUAAUUAAAGAUGUUGAUGUGGGAAUACAUGAAACGUUGGAAAAUUAAAAUGGGGUAGAUUUUCAUAAUAGUAUCCAUUGUAAUCUACUUAAAGCUAUAAAAGAAGGCCGUCUCAUCAUUUUUUUACAACAAUUGUGAUGUUGUUUUAGUUUUCCAUCUAUCAAUGUAUAAUAUAAUAUGUUGUAAAGAUAAUAUAGCCACAACCCUUUUUUGAAUUCAGAGCACUAGACAAUAUAAAUCCAUCUGACACUACAUAUUAUGAAAUCCACAUUCUCCCCACACAGUUAGUAGGUUUAAAUUCUCCUUCAUUUAAAAAAAAACAACAAAAAAAAACUAGAUAUUUAACUAGGAUAACAUUUUGUCAGUCAGCAGAAAAUAUUUAUCAGAGUAAAGAAGUAAUAGCAGUCUCCCAUACAUAUUCCAACUUUUUUUUUUUUUUUCAUAUCCUGAACUUUGGUUGCAACAUUCGACCUAUCUAACCCUUGUUUCCACCUUGCGCCCUUGACAUCUGGUACAUCUUGCUUUAUCAUUAUCACAGUCUGUAAGUGGGUAUCAAUAUCAAAAAGAAAUGAGGGUAAUUAUUCAUGAAGAAUAAAACCUGUUGCACAAAGGCGGAAAUAGGGGAGAUCUUGCAUGAAAUAUACUGUUACGUAUCCAUAGGUACUUACUGGCAAUGAAAGUGUUGAUGGCCCCUGGACUUGUGAAUUUUCAGUGUAAUCGAGCGUUUGGAAGCUGAAGAUGACAGAGUCAAAGGGUACAGGACAGCUUGGAAGAGGAAUUUUAAAUUUACAUUUACGUACAAUUUAUGGAAUAGGUUAUUUGGAUAAGUUGAAGAUUAACGUGUAGAAGUUGGUACUUUUCAGGGAUGAUUGAAGCAUGUCAAUAGUGAGUAGGAGAUAAGUGCAAGUUUUUCUGAGCUGAUGAGUUUCCAAAGAGUGACUAAAUUGUUCAAAAGUACAAGUGAAGCAUAGGAGCAAAUACUGGAGCCUCAAGACAAAAUUACAAUAGAAGAGUUGUGUACAUUAUAGGUAGGAUGAUGAGCGUGUUUGGGAGGUUAUUUGAAAAACAAGGAAGGAAGAGAUUAAAUAUUAUUUUUUUUUAGUUGACAAUUUAGUUUUAAUCCCUUUAUUACUGGCUAACCAGAAAAAAGAUAAUUUAGGUUUCAUGGUGUCGCGGAAAUAAACACUAAUUAAAUUGAUUUAAAGAAUGAAUGUAACAAAAAAAGAAAAAAUAAAAUCAUCUUAUAUUUCUUGUUUCACAUUAUUUGUUAAUCCCUUAAAAAUAAUCAAAGAGGUUUAAAAAUAGCCCAUGUCCACAAAUCUUCCAACAAGCUCAGAAUAAUUAAGAUCAAAUAUACUGUAUUGAAUAUGUCACAAUUGUGACUGUAAAAAAAACAAAACAAUAAAAUGCAGAAUUACCCUGCUCACUUGUGUGGAAGAUUGAUAUUUAGCAUGUGUUGGGCCUAACAAUAGUCAUUUAAUAGAAUUUUUUCUUUCCUGUGGUUUCUCUGUGAAUAAACCUUAGCUACAAGUCAAUGUUUUGUAUAGGUCAUUGGGGCAUUUUAACAGGUUUCACUUAACACUUAAACUGCCAGUAAUUUUAAUGACAGCUAUUUUUUUCUUUUGCCUAGCAAUGGACUUAUAUAACCAGUUCUUCUCUUCGAUGCGAUGCAACCAAAUCUUUCUUUUUGUAGUUAUGUACUUUUCACAACUCAUAGAGCAACAAAUUGCCAACAUAUGUUAGUUGAUAAUUAGACCAAUAAGGUUUUGAAGUGUGCUUUAUAAACUGGAAAAGUAGACAAAGUAAUACUAUGGGUGAAACGCGUCUGCACAACACUUUCAGAACAAGGAGAUAGACAGCACACAGACUGAUCAUGCAGGGAUACAUUCUUUUUCAAUUGCUUUGAAGUUUAUUUUUUUAUUUUUAAACAUUCAAUGCAUUCUAUAUUCCACCUGCAGUUUACAUAGGACAUUGUAAUUUGUUCUUUGUAUUUCAACAUACAUUGUUAGUUGAGUAACCCAUUUCCCCAACACUGCAGGACCACACAAAUUCAAUAAUGCUAACCCUUAUUGGCUCACUGACACACUCUAACACUAACACACACACACUCUAACACACACACACUAACACUAACACUAACACACACUCACACUCUAACACACACUCUAACACACACACACACACACACUUUCUAACACACACUCACACAUUCUAACACACACUAACACACACACACUCACACUCUAACACACACUCACACACACACAGUCUAACACACACACACACACACACUAACACACACUAACACUAACACACACACACACACACUCUAACACACACACACACACACACACACACUAACACACACUCACACACACACUCACACACACACACACACGCUAACACACACACUUUUGGGAGAGCUGAGGGGAUUCCCUGGGGUCCAGUGGUGUUGCUGGCCCUGCUGUCAUCGGGCGAGCAGGUAGGCUGACGGGCGCGCGAUGGAGCACUCUCCCCUGAGUGCUUCCUGUUCAGCUCCCUCGCGCGCCGCGUACUGAUGCCAGAGCCAGAGGAUGACGUCAUCUUCCGGCUCUGGCAUCAGUGCGGCGCGCCAGGGAGCUAAAGAGGGAGCACUCAGGGGACAGUGCUCCCUCGCGCACCCGUCAGCCUACCUGCUCGCCCGGUGAUACCAGGGCCCGCCUCGGGCCACACUGGCAUACAUACCGGGUCGCAGGGAAGCGACCCCGGUAUUUACGCCACUGGUAGAAAUAUUUGUUAAUAGUCACAUAUGUGAAGCAUGUAAAAAGAAGGCACUAUAACAAAAACAUGGAGAAUUCUUAAAAAGCACAAUUUGUAAAGGUAACUCAAGUAAUCAGUAGAAAUUAUUAAAAAAUCACCAGAGGAUUACAUGGAAAAUGGCAGUGAAGAAUAAGAAAUUGAAACAAAAAUAAAAGUGGAUGUAAAAAAACAGCUUGAAACCUAAAUAUUGGAGGAGUGAAACUGUGUGACAAGCAAAGCUUUUCUGUUGUUAUUAUUAUUUAUUAUUAUUUAUAAAGCACAAACAAAUUCCACAGCGCUGUACAAUGUACUGUUAAGCCUAAGGUACUCUAAAUAAUCUAUGAGUACUAUGAGUAUGCAAAAAGUAGCGCAAGUAUUAGAAUCAAUCCUGCUCUGACACUUUCUUUAGGUUUUAAAUGGUAGCUGUUUAAUUGGUUGCUUUAAUUGACAGUUUCUUUUUCAACAUUUAAAAUAUAUACAUUUUUAUUAUUGAUCAUUUAUAAUAGUUAUUAUAAUUUAUAAUAAUUAUAUUACAUUGAAAUAGUGACAAAAGCACAUCACAUUUUUAGUCUUAUAAAUUGUAGGCUUGUUUGGGCAGGAUCUUCUUUACUUCUUGUUUCUAUAAAUAUUCUGUAUGUCAAUCACUUGUCAAAUAUCUCCAUUCUAUAAUUGUAAAGUGCUGCGGUACAUGUUGGCACUAUAAUAAUAAUAAUAAUAUUAAAUAGUUUCUGCAGCAAUAAGAGAAAAAGCUUCAUUGACCUUUCUAUGUUACUUUGGAAUUCUUUAAACUAUUGAUGCAAUAAAAAACCAUUACCGUUAAUGUAUGGUGAUACAGUAACCUGUAUAGGAUUUGAGAUGGCAAGAGGCCAUGACGUGGAGAGAUAUCCUCUUAUUGUUUUUUUCCCCUUGUCUCCCACCCCCAAGUUGAGUUUUUGUUUUCUUCCCUUUUUUUCAUAAAACUGUUUUUUAGUCCUCAAACUCACUAGAGUUUAGGUGCAUCCAGUGGUGUAUUUUGGAUUUGUGCUGCCCUAGGCACGACUAAAUUUGGGCACCCCCAAAAUUCGUGUCAAGGCCGCUUUUUUGACUGACAGACACAUGCCCUCAUUGAUACAUGCACUGAUAUACACUCACUGACAGAUACACAGUCAUUGGCACACACUGUUUAACCAACACACACUUUCACUGACAGGCACACACUCUCAGAUACACAUAAAAUGACAUACACACACUGAUGCACACUCCCAGGCACACCCAUUCUCACUGAAAGACACACUUUCAUGGCGUUUCUUGGCGCCCCCUGAAAAUGCCGCCCUAGGCAAAUGCCUUGUUUGCCUUGUGGUAAAUACAUCCCUGGGUGCAUCACCUAAUUGAAUGCAAGUCUGUGCUUGAUAUUUAAACACUAUUGUUUACCUACAUGGAUCUAUGGUCGGCAUUUUCAUUUACAAUGUCUAGAUGACUCUAACACUUUUUAGCUCCUUGAAGUGCUAUUUUUAAUCAAAAUGUGUCUCAUGUUCCAUUGUAUGUCAAUGCAUUUUUAUGGAUCUUGGAGUUUUAUGUAAUUAUUUAUUUUCUGUUUCGUCAUGACCUUGUGUCCCUUACUGCUGUGAGUGUGACUUUGGUCUGCAUAUCUGGCCCUUUCUUGUAAGAUUCAGACCUCUGAUAAGUAUUACAUGCUAUGAGUGCUCCCUGAACAUCAUACUUUGUGAGUUGGGCCUCUGAUAGGUGCAAAUCACUUUUAGUGCUCCUUCCCAGUUUGGCAUUUCUUUUUAAGUCAGAUCACUUAUUUAUACAAAUUUUAUGUUUAAAUCAGACAAUUUAAAAAGUGCUAUUGCAAUAUUAAUCUCUCUGGGUUGCUAAUAUGAUGUUAACAGUGAAAUGUUAGAACUCAUUUACUCAUCCUUCCUUCCUAAAUGUAGGAGUGGUGUAACCCAUGAUAACUUACUUUACUGUCUGGAGAUUGUCAUUUUCAGCACACUUGCAGGUAUUAAACGAGUAACUAGUGUUUUUGGGCACAGUUAUUCAUUCCCCUAAAGACCGCUAACUAUCCCUUUUGUAUGAAUGAGGGUGAGUGAAACUUUACAGACUAACCUUUGUUUCAAAAAUAAAAAAAUCAUGAAAAACAAAAAGGACUUAUAUGCCUUAAUAUGCUCUUGAAUAAAUUUCGAGCAACAUCUGAGGCUGCAUUCCUGUAACUCCACUCCUGUACUAACAUCAACAUAAAAAGGUACCAACAGGUAAGCAAUAGGUGCUGAUGGUGUAUGAAAUAUAUUACCACUUUAGAUUAAAAUGUGAAGGGUCCGUACAAUCUGCAUAUGAAAACCUUAUAUUGCUUGGUAUCAAUACAUGCGAGACAAACACAAUUUUGUUUUUUUUUUAAUCUCGCUUAAAACACAGAGUAUUUACUCAUUUGAUUAUUUUUUGUGCUAGUUGUUCAGACUUGUACCUAGAACUGUGUACACUCUCAGUUUGUGGUUAAUUGAGUUUAAAAUGUGUGAUGGCAAUAUGGGAUGAACUGGUACCCUGCUCAGGAUUCUGCAAAGCUAUAAUCAGGCUCUCAGCUGGCUACUGGGAAAAUCUAACAAGUUAUAGAGGAAGAUUUGAUAGAUUUUAUUUUUUUAUUUAGGCCACUGCUUGCUUCUCACUGUUGAACAAGUUUCUUCUUUCCAAAAUAAAUAGAAAGAGGGUGAUGAAGCUUUAAAAGCAAGAAGGGCUCCCUCAUGGCUCUCCCCUAACCUUCAUCAUACAAAAAGCACCACCCACGGUCCCACAACUCCCAUCAUGCACAUUCAGCCUGUUGGCAUAUGCACAAAGCUCCCAUUACAUAAAUUUAGUCACACACAUAUAUGGACUCUACAUUCAUUUCUUGUAAACGCACACAUGUAGUCACACACAAAUAUGAACACACAUUUGCAGCCCUCCAAACAUUAUCAUAUAGUCAGCUUUACCAAGAUGCAAGAAAAGGACUGAGAGGUAGAGAAAAGGUAGGGAGAGAAAAGUCAUCUCCAGAGAGGAAGGAGAGCGACAGCUUUACCCAACACUCUAAUCAGCCUCAGCCAGCAACUGGGUACCAAGGAAGCCAUCCCCCCCGCCCCCCCGCACACAAUAGAUAUGUUAAUAGAAGGGUGGUUAUAAAUAUAAGAAUUAUGACAAUUAUAUUUAUGUAUUUAUUAUUGGUAUUUAUAAAGCGCCAACAUAUUCCGCAGUGCUGUACAAUUGGGGAAAAAGACAAUACAAUAAGAACAGACCCAUACAACAGGUAGAGGGCCCUGCCUGUGAGCUUACAAUCUAGGGGUGUGUAUGCAUGUGUUAGUGUGUGUGUGUGUGUAUCUGUGUGUCAAGAUGUGUGAAUGUGUUAGUGUGUAUGUGUCAGGGUGUGUGUGUCAUGGUGUGCUUAUGUGUCACAGUGUGUGUGUCAGAAUGAUUGUCAGGGGGUGUGUGUGUGUAUGUGUCAUGUGUGUGUCUGUCAGACAUUUGCAUGUGUCAGUAUGUGUAUCAGUUUGUCAGGGUGUGUCUAUGAGUUAGGGUCUGUAUCUGUGUGUCAGUGUGUUUGUUUGUCAUUGUGUGUCAUGGUGCGUGUAUGUGAGUGUGCGUAUCUGAGUUUGUGCGUAUGUUUUAGUGUGUGUAUAUGUCAGUGUGUAUCUGAAUGUAUGCGUCAGUGUGUUUAUAUGUGUGUAUCUGUGUGUGUGCUAAUGUGUAUGUAUAUCUGUGUAACUAUGUAUUUAUGUAUGUGGCAGUGUAUGUGUGCAUGUGCAUUCAUUUUGUGAGGUUUGACAAAUAAAAUUAAAUGUUGAAAUCCACUAGAAACCUCUAUAAGGAUCUGUUCUAUAUAUCUGGCAGUCGGCACAGAGAAAGAAUAAAGGAGAAAUUAAAUAAUAUUUAUAUUUUACCUCAUUUGCUAUGCUUGUCUUGACUUUGCUUUGCCUGAACUGGUUUGUGAUAUAAUUUGCUAAAUCUUUAAUAUAAACUUAAACCAAAAACCCACAUCACAAGAUAAAGGUGAAUCAGGUUAUAGGAACUUUUCUAAUAUUUAAUUCAGAAUAAAAUGUCCAGAGAAGUGACAGUUCCCCUUUAAUCUAUUCAUAUAUAAUGCAAGUUCACAAGAAUACAGAAUAGACACUAGCAAAAUAAAAUAAUGUAAAACUCUUAAAGGAAGUUCAUCAAUUCAAAGUACAUAUACAAUCAAUGAAGUGGUGUUACUUCUUCUAUAACCUUUGUCUCCACAGUGCAUCGUUGUGCUGUUUAUUUACCAGAAGCGUUUGUUGUAUUCAUUUGCUUGGAUGAUGGGGGAUUAUAUCAAUUAUGCUGUUUUGCUUUUUUUUAAUUUUAUUUCUAGAGAAUAAAAUCUGAUGGAUUUUCUCUGCUGAUUAAUUUUCUACAAAAUCUCAACUGCAUGUAUAAGAUGGUGAUUAAGUUGUUAUCGCUAAUUAUUAUGUCACAAGAACUGCUUCAAUGUAAAAUUCCUUUUGAUUCUACAAUGUAGCCAUAUAAUUACUCUGUCUAAAAUUUGGAUAUGAAUCAAUGGGGAAUGGUACAAGUAAUGAGAACACCAGUUUUGCCUCCUGUGUUAGAGUUUUAACUACUUCGAUGUUGAUGAGAGGCAUAAUGUUCUUAAAAAAAAUAUCUACAUUAAUUUUCUGUAUGGGUGAGAUGGUUUCUGGGAAAAUGUUGUAGUGUAGGUUUUCAGAGAAGUAAAUGCUCAUUGACCUUCUACAUUUGAUAAUUGAUAUGUUUUUAAACAAGUAAGGAUUUAUUUGUUUAUUUAUUUUGUAUUAAUUUAUUUAUUUGAGAAUAUGGUAGUUAAAACGCAGCAGGGAAUUAAGGAUCAACUAUAUCUAUCCAUCUUUAUUUUGGUAAAUUACAUUUUAAAAGAGAUAGCAAAUUAAAUUCUGCCUUUCAUAUAUUUACAGUGUUCAAUCUAAGCAUUAUUUUGUGAGCAGUCCAACACAAAACAGUUAAGAAACCAGUCUUUAUCAUACACCUCAAUAACUUAAUCAAUUAAUGUAUAUAUGCUACAUGUUUUUUCUAGUUUUGGAGACCCAUCUAGUGACUGCUUCAGUUUCAGAUGACAAAUAUUUAAACUGAAACUCAACAUUUUUAAAGGGAAUAGUUGUUAGCUGCCCAUUUACUGGAACAGAAUAUAAUAGAUGUGUAGCCCCUUAAGGACGAAGGCAAUUGUCCAAGUAAUUUUAAUUAAUUGUCCAAGUUCUGAUCAAAACAAAAUAUUUAUUAUAUAUAAUUUUGUCCAGGAGAAACAGGGCUUUCACUACACAUAACAAAUUAGAUAUGAAAAAUAAUUUAAUAGGAAUAUAGUCUAAAAAAGUGUGAGAAAUAAAGAAAUGUUAUUUCCUUAGUUCUGCAUGGCAUUUUAACUGUAAAUGUCAUAAUAUUAUUAGUUUUUACUUCAAUAAAAUACACAUGUUUGUGUUCAGCGAUGUCUAACAAGUACAACAGUAUCCCCCAUGUAGAGGCUUUAUGGAGUUUUGGAAUAUUAAAGGGUCAAAUAUAAGACUUGUCCAUUUCAGUUUUUACAUAUUGAAUCUAGCAGAUUGGUUUGCAGGGCAUUUGUUCCCUUUGAGACCAAAAAUGAAAAUUACCACAUCAUGGCAUUCAAUCUGCAAACGUAGACAACCCAGGAUAUUCAAAAUUGGGUAUCUCCAGCCUUUUUUGUAGUAGUCACUUAGUCACAAACCUUGGUCAAAAUUAGCAUUCAUAUUUGUUUUUUAAAUUUUUCACAAAUACAUUUCCCUUUCGUCGAUGAUAUCAUCAGCAUUAUACAUUUAACCCCUUCUGACCGGAGGACGUACAAUUACGCCCUAUUUUAGGCGGCUCUAAAUGUCGCCGGGCAUAAUUGUACGCCCUCCGGUUUUUGCUAACUUACCCGGUCGCCGGCGGUCCCACACCCAGGGAGCCCCCCCGCGGCAGAUCCUUCUCCUCCGGUGCUCCCCGGCCAUGUGAGAGUGGGGUCCUAGGACCCCACUCUCACAUGGCCGGGUAGGCUGCCUCCUGCAUUGCCAGCAGGGGGGCUGCCUGUAAUGACAGGUGGUCCCCCUGCUGGCUGGAAAUAAAAAUAAAAUAAAAUUUAUUGGUGUAAAAAAAUAACAAUAUAUACUUAGAUCAUAUAUAUAUUAUAUAUGAUCUAAGUAUAUAUAUACACAUAUACAUACACACACAUACACUGUCUAGGUGUAUUUUACUAUUAAUAUAUAUAUAAUUAUAUAUAUAUAUAUAUAUAUUAAUAUCAAAUUACACGUAGACUGUUACUGAUUAAAUAUAUAUAUAAUUAUUGUUAUAUAUAUAUUUAUAUAUAAUAUAAAAAAAUUUAAUAUGUAAAUACGUUAAAAAAUAAAAUUAAAAAAAUAAUUACAAAUAAAUAAUUAAAAAAUAUAUAGAUGUGUGUUAUUUCGUUCUAACUGUAUUGUGAAAUUAAUAUAUAUAUAUAUCAAAAUACAUGUAGAACGAAAUAAUAUAUAUAUCUAUAUACAUAAAUAUAUACGUAUAUAUCACUAUAUAUAUAGCUAUAUAUAAAUAAAAAUAUUUUAAAAAAAUUAUAUAGAUAUAUACACAUACGUAUAUAUAUACAUAUAUUAAUUCUACAUAUAUAUCUAUGUAAUAUUUUUACAUAAUUAGGUAUCUUAAUUAAUUACAAUUAGCAGGACCUGCCUGACAACCCAUGCCGAAAGUAAAGGGAAUUUAAUUUGCUAGCACUAUAUUUAACCCUAUAACUUUCCGAGACACCAUAAAACCUGUACUGUUCUACUCGGGAGACUUCGCUGAACACAAAUAUUAGUGUUUCAAAACAGCAAAAUGUAUUACAACGAUGAUAUCGCCAGUAAAAGUGACGUUUUUUGCAUUUUUCACGCACAAACAGCACUUACACGGACGAUAUUAUUGCUGCGAUACUUUUUACUGUUUUGAAACACAAAUAUUUGUGUUCAGCUAAGUCUCCCGAGUACAACAGUACCCUUCAUGUACAGGUUUUAUGGUGUUUUCAAAAGUUACAGCGUCAAAUAUAAGGCUUGUUUUUAAUUAUUUUCACAUUAAAAUUUGCCAGAUUGGUUACGUUGCCUUUGAGACCCUAUGGUAGCCCAAGAAUGAAAAUUACCCCUAUGAUGGCAUACCAUUUGCAAUAGUAGACAACCAAGGUAUUGCAAACAGGGUAUGUCCAGUCUUUUUUAGUAGCCACUUAGUCACAAACACUGGCCAAAAUUUGUGUUUUUUGCAUUUUUCACACAAACAAAUACUAACGCUAGCUUUGGCCAGUGUUUGUGACCAAAUGGCUACUAAAAAAGACUGGACAUACCCAAUUUGCAAUACCUUGGGUUGUCUACUAUUGCAAAUGGUAUGCCAUUAUGGGUGUAAAUUUCAUUCCUGGGCUACUAUACAGUCCCAAAGGCAACGUAACCAAUCUGGCGAAUUUCAAUUUCAAAUGUAACGUGCUAUAUUUGACCCUGUAACUUCCCAAAACGCUAUAAAACCUGUACAUAGGGGGUACUGUUUUACACGUGAGACAUCGCUGAAUACAAAUAUGUGUAUUUUAUUGCAGUAAAAGCAAACAGUAUUAUGACAUUGACCGUUAAAAUGUCAUGUAGAACUAAAAAAAAAUUAAAAAAUCUUAUUUUCUCCCAUUUUUUUCAUAUUAAAUUAUGUUUCAUAGCUAAAUAUUUGAUAUUAAAUGAAAUCCCUGUUUCCCCUGAAUAAAAUGAUAUAUAAUAAGGGUGGGUGCAUUUAAUAUGAAAGAGGUGAAUUACGGUUGGACAGACAUGUAGCGCAAAUGCCAGGUUUUGUUUAAAUUUUUUUGGUUCACAACGUGUAUAUUUGGCUCCGUCCUUAAGGGGUUAACUUCUCUAAAACACUCCUAUUUGUGUUCAGCAAUGUCUCCUACAUACAAUAGUAACCCCUAAGUCUAUUUUUUUUUUUUUGCUGCCGCAACGGCUUUUAAACCCAUUUAAGGCAGGACAGCAUAGAAUGCCGUAACAGUGUUAAAGGGGUAUACAAUGGUAAAUAUAAUACUUCUGUCAGAUUUGGUUAUUAUUAUGUUAUCCAGAACCAGUUUCUCACCACCAACACUUAAAGGGAGACAGUAGGCAGGAAUCUUCUCCUCCAUUUUUGUAUGCAUCAUACAGAUAACCGCAACACACUAUAUGCAGGCAGCCUGAUAGACUCAGGUAAUACUGCGGCACAUCAGAUUAGAACAAGGCUGCUGGUGCCAGGUAUAACCAGUCCUAACCCUUACAGUUUCUAUUCUGUGGUUACAAACACUAAUGACCUUGUUGCCUUGUUGCCAUAUCCUAUAAUAUAUUUCACACUCUCACCUUGGGCAAGAAUAUUCCUCUCCCAUGAACGCAUCAGUAAAUGAUGUAGAUUCAUUAAUGAUCUAGAUCUUGAUUCUCCUCAUCCAACUGUGACCACUCUAUUAUCUGAAUCAAGAAAGAUAUAACCAAGAAAGAUAUAUCCAGAAAAAAAAUAUAAGCUCAUUUGUCUCCUUAAAAAUGUUUGCAUAUCUGAAGAAGGACCCUGGGAGUGAUCUCAUUUAGCAUUAAAUACUUACAAACUCAAGCUCCAAUUCAUGAAAGCUUGGAGGAUAAACCUAGGUCUAUUCUAAGCCUCCUAGAACAUGGAGGUGCUUGUGGAAUCAGCCAAACGUUUUAACAUUCUUCUAUAGGAAAUUUGUAUAUAGUCCUAUUUUUGGGUAUUGCUUACCUACUAUAAACACCUGGUUUCUGAGCCUUUAAAUAGUUUCUCAGUCUGGUUCAGUAGGAAUCACAAUCAUGGGGAAGACUGCUGACCUGACAGUUGUGCAGAAAACCAUCAUUGAGACCCUCCAUAAGGAGGGAAAGCCUCAAAAGGUAAUUGCGAAGGAAGUUGGAUGUUCCCAAAGUGCUGUAUCAAAGCACAUUAAUAGAAAGUUAUGUGGAAGGGAAAAGUGUGGAAGAAAAUGGUGCACAAGCAGCAGGGAUGACUGCAGCCUGGAGAGGAUUGUCAGGAAAAGGACAUUCAAAUGUGUUGGGGACUUUCACAAGGAGUGGACUGAGGCUGGAGUGAGUGCAUCAAGAGCCACCACACACAGACAGAUCCUGGACAUGGGCUUCAGAUGUCAUAUUCCUCUUGUCAAGCCGCUCCUGAAUAACAAACAAUGUCAGAAGCGUCUUACCUGGGCUAAAGAAAAACAGACCUGGUCUGCUGCUCAUUGGUCCAAAGUCCUCUUUUCUGAUGAGAGCAACUUUUGCAUCUCAUUUGGAAACCAAGGACCCAGAGUCUGGAGGAAGAAUGGAGAGGCACACACUGCAAGAUGCUUGAAGUCCAGUGUGAAGUUUCCACAGUCUGUGUUGAUUUGGGGAGUCAUGUCAUCUGCUGGUGUUGGUCCACUGUGCUUCAUUAAGUCCAGGGUCAACGCAGCCGUCUACCAGGAGAUUUUGGAGCACUUCAUGCUUCCUUCCGCAGACGAGCUUUAUGGGGAUGCUGACUUCAUUUUCCAGCAGGACUUGGCACCUGCCCACACUGCCAAAAGCACCAAAGCCUGGUUCAAUGACUGUGGGAUUACUGUGCUUGAUUGGCCAGCAAACUCACCUGACCUGAACCCCAUAGAGAAUCUAUGGGGCAUUGCCAACAGAAAAAUGAGAGACAUGAGACCGAACAAUGCAGAAGAGCUGAAGGCCGCUAUUGAAGCAUCCUGGUCUUCCAUAACACCUCAGCAGCACCACAGACUGAUAGCUUCCAUGCCACACCGCAUUGAUGCAGUAAUUGCUGCAAAAGGGGCCCAAACCAAGUACUCAGUCCAUAUGCAUGCUUAUACUUCUCAGAGGUCCGAUAUUGUUCUAUGUACACUCCUUUUAUUGCUUGCAUGUAAUAUUCUAAUUUACUGAGAUUGUGGAUUUGGGGUUUUCAUGAGCUGUAAGCCAUAAAUAUCGCACUUAUGACAAAUCACGGCUUGAACCAUCUUGCUUUGCAUGUAAUGCGUCUAUCUCAUAUAUUAGUUUCCCCUUUUAUGUUGCAUUACUGAAAUAAAUGAACUUUUGCACAAUAUUCAAAUUUUUCGAGUAUCACCUGUAUAUCGAACAAAAACACUGUAAGUUUUGGACUUCACAAAUGUGCUAUGUUUAUUGGUACAUACAUGAGGUAAAGUAACAAACAUUUUACCAGUGCGCAAAAGAAACAUUUCUACAGAUCAAAACAUUAGAAAACACGAGAGAGGACUAGAACCAUUUAGACAGGCCGCUGCAGGAAGAGGGGUGGGUGCAAACAGGAGACAAUGGUUAGCGGAGGUCAACAAUACAUACACAGAGAUCGUCCCGGUGAGACACACAUGAACACGGAGCAAGAGAGCAAUAUGGAAAAAAUGAACCUAUUAUAUAGUUAAAGCAGGAUUAUGUUUAGAUAUUAUGUAUAUAGUCAAGACAAGAUGUGUAAACGAAAUUGUAACAGUACAGAACAACGUGAUGGAACCUACAAAAUCCGUGAAGGUAUGGCGAUGCCAGAAAAAAAAAAAGUUUGAUGUUGUGAUUGUACACUAAAGAUUGUCUUCCUCAAUAAUUGUUGCUAUAUCCUUCUAUAUUGUAACCUCCCUGGCCUUGGGAACAUGUACACAAAAGGAUACUGAACAUUAUUACCUGUGGAAUUGCCCCCCCCCCCUUUCCUUCUGUACCCUAUGUAAGAAAAUGUUCAAAAAAAACGAUUGAAAAAAAAAACAUUAGAUAACAGAUUGAUUCAAAAGAGAUUUGAAAGUUAUUAAAAAGUCAGAAAUAUUAAGAAAAAAUAGCUUGAACAGAGAACUGAAGACUUUGCGUAAAAUAUCUCUGUGACGGACAGUAGGAAAAGUGAUAGUAGUUUAAAUCUGGAAAGAACAGCUGUCAAAUAUAAUAGUUUGACAUUAUCUAAUGCAGUCUAACAAAUAUUACGUGCAUUCACAUCUCUGGUUAUAAGCAACAUCUUCAAAUGGUUCGGUCUCCACAUAUGGUCAACAUACAUUCUUCUGGGUUCCUGUAUGCUUUGGCAGUAAUGGUGCCCAGAUGGGUUUUGCUGAGUUGGAGUAGUGAUUAUUUUCUCCACUUUAUUCGAUAGCCAUCAGCUCCUCGUUGUCCUAGUUCUGGAACUUGGGCUCUGUACUUAAAACUACUGUUAACAAAACAAGGUAUGUUAAUGGCCUUUGAGAAAUAGAUUUGAAAAAUGACAACAUAGUACGUGGUGUAUAGAUAAGAAUUUCCUAAUAUAUAACUUUACAUUUCCUUUACACCUGAUAAUUGAAAGCUCUUUUCUAUAUUAUUGUUUACAAAAAUAAAUACAUAUUUUUUCUAUCCGUGCAUUAUUUUGUUGCUGUAUCGUAUACUACCCGCUUGGCAUUCUUCUUAUAUUGGCAAAGACACUGCAAAUACCUGUAACCGCGGCUGAGAUGCAAAAAUAUCCAAAACUCUACUAACCUCGUGUAAAAGUCAGUGCUUGAGGGGCAUCUAAUCAAAGUCCAUCAGCUAACUCAUUGUUCAGAGUUGCUGCAGGAUCUGUCAGAUAAUUCUCAUUUGAGUUCCCACCAAAGUUAAAUGAAGGAUUGAUUGUCUAGUUGAAAGGAAAGACAAUCUGCUCACAUGGCUGUCAAAAACCGUGCAGCUGAACCUGGCAGGGUUGUUGGUGUCAAGGGAUCUCAUUGAAUACAGCUGGCAAGUUGGUGCAAGCUUCAACAGAGUUAAAUUUAGUAAACACCUAAGGUUAUAAUUCUGAGUCAAGUACCUGAGAAUUCUCAUCUCAGUAGUGCAGCGGAAACAACUUGAGACUAAGUGCAUAGAGACCUAGAUACAAACUUGGUAUCAAUGGAGAGGAGUUGGUUUUAUUCUGUCAUUUAUGGUGAUUCAAUGUAACCAUGUUGUACUUCUAGGCUACAACAGCAGAAAUGGAGUUUGCAAUUAUGGCUCAAAAUCUGAAACCAGGUCAGCUUUUCACAAGUCAGUGUUUAGUGUAUAAACCAAUGCACUCAUACUUAAAGGGACAGUUUAGCACCAUAAGGCACCCUAAUAACUUAAUAUAAACGAAGGAGGUCCACAGGUGCACUCUUACUUUUAUGGGUUCAACUGUUUUUGAACUGUUUAACCCAGAAGUUGUCUCCAGAGCCACUUUCAGCUACCCACUGGCGGCAUCCAGCUUCAGAUAUAUCAGAUUCAGGAAGCAAAGAGUGCCGAACGAGCAGGUGUGCUGCUCAUUGGCUUAAAUCAAUAACAUUCAAAAAAAUGGCUUGUAAAAGGUAUGUUUCUUUCCAAGCCAGUUUUAUGUAUGGCGAGUCGAUGAUUAGCUGAGAGCGUCAGCUGACAGCUCUCAACAAUCAGUGGCGUCCCUGCCCAACGGCACUCCGCGCUUCCUGAAUCCAAAAUCUUUGCAGCCAAAUGCAGCAAGGAGGGGUGCCCGAAAGCACAUUGUGCUGUAAAAAUGCAUCCUUUUUUCAUGGAGGCUGUGUGAGACACAGCCAGUGGAGGUGUGGCUACCACUGCAUGAACAAUAUGACUUAACUCAUAAAUUGCAGAGAAUUGAGAAGUGAGACUGCAGGCACAUGAUCUAUACACCCAAAUUGCUCAUUUCUGUUGUUGGGGGGUGCUAUGCUGUGCGACAAGUGAAGGGCUUUAAAGACAUUAGAGUGGCAUAGCUAGGGUGACCACAUUUCCUAACUGCCAUUCAGGGACACAUACUUUCACGAGUGCAUUUAAUCAAAUUUAUACUUGACACGUCACGUGACCCCAGCUGCGAGAUGUCUAGUGUUUACGCGGUCACGCUACUCGAUGCAGCAGGGCAGGGGAGGAGCUACACGCAGUGCCAUCUUGAUAGAAAAUGGGCCCCGUGCAAAGCUGUGCACUGGGGCCCUGUCUACACAACAGCUCAGAGGAAUAAAAUCGUAAAUUAUCUAUAAAAUUAAGCUUAUAUUUAUUGGUACCUUGCAAUACAUACAUACACACAGACUGUUGAACACAUUCACACACCAAAUGCUGAACACACGCACACACCGACUGCUGAAUACACACAGGCUUCUGAAACACACACAGAUACUGCUAAAUACACACAGGCUGUUUAAUACACACAGGCUGCUUAAUACACACAGGCUGCGGAGUACACACAUAAUCAGACUGUUGAGUAGACACAUACAGACAGCUGAGUACACACAGACUGCUGAAUACACACAGGCUUAUGAAACACACACAGACUACUGAAUACACACACAGAUACUGCUAAAUACACACAGGCUACUGAAUAUAUUCACACACUGCUGAAUACACACACUGUUGAAUACACACACAGACAGACUGCUGAGUACACACAUACACACACACUGCUGAAAAUAUAUACACACACACACACACACACACACAGACUGCUGAAUACACACACAGAGACUGCUAAAUAGACACAUACUGCUGAAUACACCCAGACUGCAGUGAGGGGACUGUGUAUGUGUGUAGGGGUGCUGUGUGUUUGAGGGGUGCUGUGUGUGUGUGUGUGUGUGUGUGUGUAUGAGUGAGAGGGUGCUGUGUGUGAGGGGUGCUGGGUGUUGUGUGGGGGUGAGGGGUGCUGUGUGUGUGUGCGAAAGAAAGUUGCUGUGUGUGUAAGGGGUGCUGUGUGUGUGGAGGGGUGCUGUGUGUGAGAAGCUCUGUGAAUGUGUGUGUGUGUGUGUGUGAGGGUUGGUGUGUGUGAGUGAGGGGUGCAGGGAGCAACUGCUUUUUUAAAAUUAUUUUUAUUUUGUUUUAAAUAAUAUCUAUCCAUUUAUAAUUUUUUUAUGCCCCCCUCCCACGUUUCGUCUUACCUUUGGGGAAGGUGGGGGGGCACUGCCAGCCCUUGUGGGCCAGUGGUGAGUAGUGAUCUAUAGCAUGCAGCUCCUCUGGCUGCAGGCUGUCUUCACUCUCGCGCGCAGAAUGCUGUGUGGAGCGUUGCCAUAGCAACGUGCGGCAACGUUACACACAGCAUGCUCGUGGGAGGAGCGAUCUUCCGCCCAGAUCGCUCCUCCUGCCCUCUCUCUCCCACUAACGAAGGGCCUUUAGGCCGGUGAGGGAGAUCUUUGAUCUCCCCACCGGCCCGAGAGGGCAAAUUGAAAGAAAACGGGGCUGCAAGGGAGAUAAAAAGAUCUCCCCUGUCGGCGGCGGUGCAGCUCAGCUCAUUCCGGGACACUACAUUAUCCCAGAAUGAGGGUGCCCAGGACAGAUGCUCAAAAUGCGGGACUGUCCCGGGCGACCUGGGCCACGUGGGCACCUUAGGCAUAGCAUAUCCUAAGAAUCUGUCCGCCUGCUCAUCCAGUAUGCCAAUCGUGGUCUGGGGGUCUGACUGUCCCCUGCAGCCAAUGCCACCAAUUCAUGUCAUUUGACGUAGUGACAGCCUGUACACUAUUCUCUGGCUCUCUGUUUCCUCACUUUCUUCUUAAGUGAGAGAGCACUGAUCACUGUUACAAGUCCCAAACUGUUAAAAACAAGUGUUUAAAGAAAAAAAUAAUAAUUUUUAAGCAUUUCAGUGCUGAUAACUUAAUUUCUCACACUUUUUAAAAAAAAUGUAUACAUAGUUAUUUUAGAUUUAGCAUGUACAGUUAUGAAUAUUGUGAUUUGAAGGAAUACUCUAAGCACCAAAACAGUUUUAGUUUAACCCUUUAAAGACAUAUGCAAAUGUCUAGGUUCUGAACCAAAACAAAACCUAGAUUUUGAGCUUGUGCAUCUUUUAUAAUAUGUGCACCCACAAUUAUAUCUGAAGCUGAACAUAAGCCCCAGAAAAUUGUAAGUGACAUUUUUCUUAUUUUACCUCACCACCUAUAGAUUAUACUACACUAUAUUCUGUUUUCUGUCUUCAUAUUUUCCAUACUGACUCACCACCAUACAGAAGACGCUGCUUCCCUGUACCCUUUCCCGACCUAUACCUAGUUACUGCAAGAUAGAAAGGACUCUGGUUUGGGAAGUACCAGCUGCCAUAUCCGGUUCUAACAAGCGCUAGGAACCUCGCCAUCGCACGUAUUUGUAUGUCAUUGUUUGUUUCUGCGCAUCAGUGUGUUUUUGUGUAACUUAUUGUUAAAAUGGCACCUGCCAAGAGGUGGGAUAUAUAAGGAAGCAAGUGAAAUUUGGAAAUAAAAAACAAUUCUCGGUAUGUAACACCCAGGGUUAUUCAGUAAAAUAAAAAUACACUGUGAAUUCAAAGUGAAUUUAGAAUGUACCUGAACUUAAAACAUUCUCCAAGUCAGUUAUGCUUCCAGUUUGGCUAUUUCGGUGUAAAAUGUCAAAUUCACUUUGAAUUCACUUUGACUUCCCCACAAUUCUCACUUUACUAAAUAACCCUGUAAGUCUUAAACGUACAUGUGUGCAUAACAUCACACAUGCAUAAUUACAAGGCUGUAAAGCAUUCAGGCAUACUCAUUCCAGAAAAUUUAAAUACAAAUAGUUUAGAAUUUAUCUUGCUUUCAGCAGUCAAUUUCCUGCUGGGAACUGAGGAUGCAGGAUGAGCAAAUUGCUGUUUUGCCUGUAAAUGUAUUUUUAUUCUGUAAAACCAGGCAAUGCAGAUAGAGUAGGGUAAGUGGUGUUAACUUGAGAUAGUAAAAACAUACCCAGGGCAUGAAGUAUCCCUUUAAUCUUUUGUUUUUAUUUAAAGAAGUAUAUUUAAAACCGUAUCUUGCUAAACUAAAAGAGAAUUUGGAUCCAGGUCAAAAACAGCUGUAUCUUCCUAUCUGACUCAUCAUAUAGGAAGUAGGAUGCUGGGACUGCAUUACUGUCAUUCAAGCAGCUGGUUAAUACAGUGAUAAAGUAAACCCUUCCUUGUAUCGUCAACAGUGGCAUAAAAAUAAUUAUUUUCUAUAUAUUUUGUUUGUGGAAACCCUGGAAUAUUGUGUAAACUAAACCCAGUUCUAUACGUAGCAUUUUAAAAGUAGCAGAAUUAUCUACUGAAGGUCUUUCAAAGCACAAUCACAACUUAAUUGCAAGGCUAAUCUUACAUAGAGCGCCCUGAGUCUACUCUCCGCUCUGAAGAAUGAGAAAUGUCAAUCAAGCAGCAAGAAAGCUGGCCUUUUUAGGACUCCACAUUCCACCAGGCGUCUUCCAAAUACCGCUAAGAAGAACACUUGACGUAGCAUUUCUAUGCUAUAACCUAUAGACUGAAAAUUAUCCUCUGUUGCCAGCGUAUACACACAUGAUAUACAAAUAAAGCAAUACAAUUGUCUAAGUUUAUGCAAUUUUAAUAGUUAAAGUACCUCUAAUCUAUCAUCUAUAAACAAGCAUGCUGUUUUAUCUAUUGUUGUGCUGGUUAUAUAUCCCAUGUUUCUGGUGCUUAUUAUAUUUAAGAUAACUUGCUAGUGAAGGUCUUAAAUUGCCAGAUUGCUUUUCUGAUCUCGAUUGAGUUUAUUAUCUUAGCGAACUAGAUGCAAACAAAUAUUUUGAAAUUCUCAAUGACCAUUAGCAUGACAAUCCUUUUUGACUAGUAUUGUUUUAUUUGGCAAUUCAGCUGAAAAUGUGGUGCUCGAUAACAUACUGUCACGAUAGAGAAGACACACUUUGCAAAGUGACACAGAUGUACUAUAGAGAGAUAUAUGUAUAAGGAACUAGCAAUGUAUCAUUCUAGUUGUCACACUGAAAAGAGGGAGUUGGGGGGCACACUCUGAACAUGCUUUUACAAAUUAAAGGAACACUACAGCGUUAGGAAUACAAAUGUAUAUUUUUUUAAUGCUGUAGUGUCCUAGUCACCAUCUAGUUGACCUAUCCCAUGCAUGGGUCAAAAUGUUCGUUUAAUCAUUUUUCUCCCAUGCUGUGCAGCCCCUACCGUGGCUAGCCCUGCUUACUUCACUGUGAUCACCAGUCUUGAUGAUCUCAGCCAAUCCAAUGCUUCACCAUAGGACCAUCUGAUUGAAAUAGCCAAGUUAUACUUAUUAAUUUCUGCAGGAGCACCUCUAGUGGCCAUCAAAGUGACAGCCACUAGAGGCAUUUACAGGCUACAAUGAAAAAAAUUGUCAUUCCUGGAGAAUAAGCAAUAUUUUCAUUUGCAGGGUUAAAAUUAGAGGGACAUGACACUAAAAUCACUUAAUUGAGAGGAAGUUGUCUUGGUGCCUACACAGUCCCUUUAACCCCUUAAGGACACAUGACAUGUGUGACAUGUCAUGAUUCCCUUUUAUUCCAGAAGUUUGGUCCUUAAUGGGUUAAAGGACCACUAUAGCAUUAGCAAUGAAGUUGUCUGGGUGCCAGGUCCAUCUAGUGUUAACCCUGCAGCUGUAAACAUAGCAGUUUCCGAGAAACUGCUAUGUUUACAAUAGGAUUAAUCCAGCCUCUAGUUGCUGUCUCAUUGACUGUGAAAAUCACAGUAAGAAGACGCUGACGUCAAUAGGAAAGCAUUGAGAAAUGCUUUUCUAUGGACUGUUUGAAUGCGUGUGCGGCUCUUGCCGUGAAUGCGCAUUCAAAGCUGACGUCGGGAGAAGGAGGAGAGUUCCCCAGCGCUGAGGGAGUCCGGCGCUGGAGAAAGGUAAGUGUUUAACCCCUUCAGCCCCCUUCAGCCCGGCGGGAGGGGGGCCAUGAGGGUGGGGGGGACCUAAAGAUCCUAUAGUGCCAGGAAAAUGAGUUUGUUUUCCUGGCUCUAUAGUGGUUCUUUAAGGAACAGCACACACAUAAAAAUACAAUUUUACAAUAAGCCGUCCAUUGCAUCACAAUACCCCAAAUUUUGGUGGGUUGUACACUAAUUUUAGCAUGGGAGACUGCUUCCAGAGACUGUCCUCACAUUUAUACUUAACUAUGGUCACCUCCAAAGGGGAACCUAUAGUGGAGGGGCCAGGGCCGGCCUUAGGGGUGUGCGAGCUGUGCGACCGCACAGGGCGCCAUGGAACAGGGGGCGCCCUGUGGCCGACACAGCUCACUCAUGGCCGGAGUGCAGGGGAGCUAAAAGAGGUACCUGGCUGGAGGAUUAAUUAUUCUCCACCCGGGUCUAUUUAAAAAAAAAAAAAAAAAUCGCGGCAGAGGGGGCGGGGUUUACCGAGCGGCGGAGGCGGGGCUUAUCGAGAGGCGGAGACGGGGCUAAUACCUCCCGAAGCCCCUGCUGUACAGGAAGAGGGAAAGAUGCUUCCCCAUCAGCCAACUGCAUCCACUGGAAAGAGGUAAGUGUGUGUGUGUGACUGUUUGCCUGUUUGUGUGACUGUCUGUCUGUGUGUGUGUGUGACUGUCUGUCUGUGUGACUGCCUGUCCUUGUGUGUGUGUGUGUGUGUGACUGUCUGUCUCUGUGUGUGUGUGUGUGUGUGUGUGACUGUCUCUGUGUGUGACUGCCUGCCUGUGUGUGACUGUCUGUGUGUGUGACUGUCUGUCUGUGUGACUGCCCAUGUAUGUGACUGCCCAUGUAUGUGACUGCCUGUGUGUGUGACUGUCUGUCUGUGUGACUGUCUGUCUGUGUGACUGCCCGUGUGUGUGACUGCCUGUGUGUGUGAGACUGUCUGUCUGUGUGACUGUCUGUGUGUGUGACUGUCUGUCUGUGUGUGUGACUGCCUGUGUGUGUGACUGCCUGUAUGUGUGACUGCCUGUAUGUGACUGCCUGCCUGCCUGUGUGUGUCUGUCUGUAACUAUCUGUCUGUGUGUGACUGCCUGCCUGUGUGUGUGACUUUCUAUCUGUGUGACUGCCUGCCUGUGUGUGUAUAACUGUCUAUGUGUGUGUUACUGUGUGUCUGUCUGUGUGUGUGACUGCCUGUGUGUCUGUCUGUGUGUGUGACUGCCUAUGUGACUGUCUGUCUGUGUGUGUCGCUGUAGCUGUGCCAUUGUUUGUGCCUGUGCCUGUAUGUGUGACUGCCUUUAACUGAGUGUGUGUGUACAUGCCUGUAACCGAGUUUAAAUUUCCCCCACCCCUUCCUGUCAAGGCCGCACUUUGACUGACAGACGCUCACUCACUGACAGACGCACACUCACUGACGACACAUACACACUCACUGACUGACAAAUACACACUCACUGACUGACACAUAUACACUCACUGACCAACACACACAUUCACUCACAGACACACACACAUUCACUUACAGACACACACAAUUACACACUUACAGACACACACAAUUACACACUUACAGACACACACACACACACACACACAUUCACUUCAAAAUAAACACUCACAGACACACACACAGACAUUUCCACUAACACUCACAAACUAAUAUUUUUUACAUUUAUUUUAAAUCCACCCAGCCUCCCUGGGAAAGCUGGAGUGGAUUUCUUACCAGCAGUCCAGUGUGGCUGCUGGGCAGGCAGGCAGGGGGCGCACAGGCUGAGUAAGCAGCGCUUAGUGAUGCCGGGAGCCGGACUGACGUCAUAUUCUGGCUCCCGGCUUCAUUAAGCGGCGCAGAGGAAGCUGAGCAGGAAGAGCUCAGGUGAGUAUGCUCCUUCGCUGCCCGCUGCCAGCCUUGGGGGGGCUCAAAAGUGGCCAGCCGGUCAGCUCUUGAGCCCCCCAGGAUGCGAGGCAAGCAAGGGAUCUGCCUGGGGGUUUGGAGGGAUGCUUUUUUUUGCCGCCCCCUGCAAAGUGGCGCCCAAGGCAGAUGCCUUGUUUGCCUCGUGAUACACACGUCCCCGGUGCCUGUGUGUGUUACUGUAUUCAGGCAACUUGGUGGGAGGUGGGGGGGCGCCGUGAAGACUUUUUGCACAGGGCGCCUAAUUGCCUAAGGCCGGCCCUGGGAGGGGCAGUUAAACCAAAAAGGAAUCUGGGUCGGGAUUACAAAUAUAUACCACAGCAGACAGCUAUAUACCACAGCUUGACAAAGACCUCAUGGUAAGGUCAACAUGUUGUGUUCUCAAUAUGAUCCAAUAAAUACUGCUAUGUUUUGAACUACUGUAUGCCUGGACAUAUAGAGCUAUCUACUGAAAAAAAAACAGUCAAACUGUCAGUGAAAUCAUUUGUCUCAUGAAAAAGAAGGAAAAUAACGAGAAAGCACUAUUUUAAUCACAGUUCUUUGCAUUAAACAUCAUUUGCCAAAAUAACACAGAUGAUAUAUUUUAAUGUUGUUCUAUUUCUUUUACAUUUGUGCCAAACUUCCUCAUUAAGAACAUGUGAUUUCCAACGCUUUCAACCGAGACUGCCAUAUAUUUGCAAGCUACUUUAGUAGCAACUAGAAACUGAAUUACUAUAGUUUUGUAAGUAAUGGAAUAUAAUUGCUCUCUACAAUUCAAAUAGAGAGAAGCAGUGAUGUGAGCACAAGGGUUUUCGGAACAUGAAAAAGUAAUGAACCAUUGAGUACAGGAACGUACUCUCUGCAGACUUACAAAAGUAUAUCACAUUAUAGCACCAACCAUCUGUGAUAAAGUCUUUUGUUUAAAAACGAACGUCAAUAAUGGCUUUCCGCACCUAAGAACAUUAUGAUUUAUACAUUUUUUCGGAAAGUAACAUUAUUAGAUUCGUAAUGAAUAUUUCAUAUUCAGAAAGCAAGCAAGACUUUGGGAGAAGUGUUUAUUAUAUGUUUGUAGUAAAUAAUCUGGAAGUAUAUAAACCGCUGCAUGAAAAAGCUAAUGGAACUUAUUUAUUUUAAUGUUACGGAAAUAGCGUCGAAGUGUUUUUAGUCAAUAGAUUUAAGAACUGAAACCCCGAAGGAGGGAAAAAAAACACCAUUAAGCCUCUCGUGUUUUUCGUGUAUGUUGUCUUAAUUCUACUUCAUAAUAAUUCACUAUUAUGCAUCUUUUUUUUAUUCCAUUCCGUAAGAAGUGAAAGUUAAUGUGUCAUGCUGUGCUGAAAGAAUGUUUAAGGAUCGUUCAGAAAUACCUGUAUUUUUUCAUUAUACUGAUCUAAAAUGUUUCAUCUGAUCUUUUUUAUUAAUCUUAAAAAUAGAUAAAGGGAAUCCAAUUAAACAAGUCUUCUUUGAACAGUGAUAUUGCAUAUAUUGUCUCUGUCACAAAAGUAUGGCUUAAUGCUAUUGUUUCUUAAACGUGAACAGUUGUACAGUUUGGUUUGCUUUCCCUUUUGUCCUUUCUUCUUUUGUAACAAGUUGUUUUAUUGAUAUCAUUCCCAUGUUAAGCAGAAAAUGGGUUAAAAUAUGCAUAUUCUUUACAAACACAAGAUUAUGCAUUUCUGCUUAACGUGCUUCAAGACAUGGAUAUUUUUAGAAUCUGAUAGAACACAACUCAACAAGUGCACUUGAAAAAAGACGCAGUAAAUAAAAAAUAAUUACAGCUAUUCUUGCUGAGGGUCCCUCUGUUGCUAAAUAACCAGCAGCCAUUUAUUUUCUACAUGUUAUAACGCUGUGAACAAUUCUAGAAUGAGCAGAUCCAUUGUAUAAUGUCUAUCUAACCCCCACCCCGAAAAGAAAUCAAUCCAGCAACAUGAAUGACGAAGAUCCAAAACAUUUUGCAAAAGCUGCAGAGCUUCUUGUCUGAAUCGUCUUGAUGCCCUCUCCUUCCAACCUCGGCCAGACUUUAUGUGGCCGUCCAAUCAUAGACUUCCCAAUGUAGCUCAAUGAGAAGUCUUUGCAAGGCAGGUGCUCUGGGCAAUUGCUGCCUCUUGAGUUUAGCUUCACUGAGCUAACCAAACCAGGAAGUAACAGGACCUGUUGUCUGAUUGACAAUCGGGGGUGUAACAAGCAGUCUUUAUAAAAAAAAAAAUAUUUCAGGGAGCUAAAGUGCUUUAGGGAACUGGAAUGUCACUUUAAAUCUUUGUGGAGGCUCACCCACUGUAGUAGAUAGAACAAACUGUUACUAUAUACACUGUAUCACUUUUGGUUUCAAAUAUCCACCUUCACUUCAAUUUCUUAUGAUGACAGACAGCUAGCACGGUUCACUCAGCGAACAUUUGUAUUUGUACACAGAUGGACAAUGUAUAAACCCAAUGAAAGUUCUUUCUUACCUCUUUUAUACAAGCUGCCUAUGUAAUGGAUUAUUGGUUUUAUAUUAUUUUAUUCUGUGCAAAAAACAGAGGUGAUAUUGCAGUGAGUGUUUUGGGGAAUGUUAAAUGCUUUAUUCAGUUUUUGUUUUGCUGUUAUUAUUUAUGCUACUUAUAUGUCUCCUUUGGAAUCAGUCAGGCAUGGAUACAGUUCCUACUUAAUUGUCAUGUAUUCAUCCGCACAUAAAAAUGUGGUUAAUGGCAUUUACUGUCCUAACAGGAAAAGUUGUGCCGAGCAACAUUACCCUCCUGGCAGGAAAAGUUGUGCCGAGCAGCAAUCAUGCACAUGGAAACCUGGUAAUUACUUUUGGGUUUAAAGGCUGGUCAUGGCCAAUCAAAUCCACAGGAGGGUAUGUGCUGAGCAGCAAUCAUGCAGAUGGAAACCUGGUAAUUGCCUUUGGGGUCAAAGCCGGUUACAGCCAAUCGGAUCCACAUGAGGGGUAUUUAAACCCAAUUCUUCUCUUGCUCAUUGUCCUGUCGUGGUUUGAUGCCUAUGGUUAUCUGAGAGUGUGUUCCUGAUCUUGAUUUUCUGGUAUUUGACUUUGGCUUUGUUUUGACUUCCCUGAUAUUUGGUAUCCUUGACUUUUGGCUUUCCCUCAUCGUUGUGUCUGAUUCUGUGUUCCUGACCUCAGCAAGUAUUUUGACUAUUCUUGGAUAAGUUCAGCCAUUCUAAGGUCCGGUUAUACAUUAUCCUUAGUCCUAGGUGUGACACAGUUCUGCAUGCUGGAUCAACUUGAAAUCCUGACAUUAAUACUAACACUUCAUCCACUUCACACUGAUAUAUUAGGAGAUACAGAGUGUUCCUCCAGUGUAAUAUUAUCCUUUAUUUCACUACACAUAGAAUGUUGGAGAAUGGGGAGAUUAUUAUCACUAUUAUCUAACACCAAUAAUAACACUUAUUAUAAAUAGUAAUAACAUAAUAAUACCUCAUUUGGUGUUUGAUAAAUCAGUGAGUAUUAAUGAGUGGACCAGUGAUAAGUAUGGACCAUACCACUAGCCUCUCCAAUUAGAAGGAUGCCAGGUGGUAACCCACUGAAAUAACUAACAUACAAUAACAAAUAGUAUGAUCAUCAUAACACAAAUAUAUUUGCUGUUUACUACAAUAUUCAGUCAAUCUAUUUAUUUGUUUGACCUCACUAAAGAUAGAUAUGUUUGUAGAACAUUGUGAAUUGUACAAAUUUCACUAUAAAGGAUUUUUUUUUAAAUGACUCCCUGGGGCAAGCUACAACUUGCAAAACAUAUAUAAUGAAUUUAGUGCAUUCGUAUUGAUGAUAAGUUACAUUUCCUACUGCUGGAAAUGAGGACACAUUAGCAUAAAAGCUUCCUACUUCAUCAAGAAUCUUACCCUCCCUACUUCUCAACCUUGUCUAUAAUAUCAAUCUGUAGAUAAAAAGUCUAUCUAUCUAUCUAUCUAUCUAUCUAUCUACCUAUCUGUCUAUCUAUCUUUCUGUCUGUCAAAUUUUCUUCCUUGCCGUGAGCACUUUCUUCCUUGCAAUGGAAAGGCAAAAGCCAGAAAGAAGCAUCCUUUUCAAGCUCAGUCCAAUCUAUUUUUUCAUAGCUGGCCGUCCGAAUUCCAGGAGUCCAGGAAGACUUCCAACAUAAUCUACCAGAAUGGUGAUGGCUUUAUCGAUAAAGAAGAUCUACAUAACAUGGGUGCUUCUCUUGAUGCCCAAUUAAAGGAUCACUACAGGGUUAGGAACACAAACAUGUAUUUGUGACCCCAUAGUGCUAAACCCACCAUUUAGGUGGCUUGCCCCCCAUAUUCCCCCUAUAAAUAGUUUAAAACUCACCUUAGUUCCAGCGCCACACAGGUCUGCCCUCUUUGUGACAUCAUCAAAAUGGCUGCUUUUUAGCCAAGCCAAUGCUUUCUCAUAUAAUCGGCACAGCGGCGGGACCAAAUGCUAUUUUGGCCAAUCAGGACCUCCUCAUAGAGAUGCAUUGAAUCAAUGCAUCUCUAUGAGAAAAAUUCAGCAUCUCCAUGCAGAGCGUGGGGACGCUAAAUGGCAGGGCUGCUUACUGUGCAGCCGUGAGCCAGGAAGCACCACCAGUGGUCAUCUGAGGAGUGACAACUUGGAGGUGUCUAGGGGCAAUGUAAACACUGCUUUUUCUCUGAGAAUUCAGUCAUUACACCUUCUCUGAAAUUACAGUGUUUACAUGAAAAUGCCUGAAGGGAGCUAUUAUACUCACCAUUAAGCGGUAGUUGUUCUGGUGACUAUAGUGUCCCUUUAACUUUACCAAGUUCCUUCUCAUGACUGAUUAGAAACUAAACUGCAGAAAUGUAAAUUAUGUAAUCAGUAAUGCACUAACAUGUUUUGAUGAAGAAACAACAAGCUGCAUCCAAGAGGAAAAACUGCAAGAACAGCUGACCACUGUGGGCGAUCAACUCACAGAGGAGGAUGUGGACGAGCCAUUCAUCGAGUUUGCAGCUAUCUUGAUAUGCGGAGUUAAAGACAAGGAUGAAUAACAGAUCUUUCAAGACCCACAACUACAUUAUCAAGCUUUGCUCCAUCAAUGGAUGUCUUCUCCUUGCAUGUGUCUCUAUAUCUUUCUUUUUAUUUAUAGAAUUCUUCAGGCAAAUAUGAUACAUACCUAUGUAACCAAACUUGAAACAAAAGAUGUAACCGUAUCAUUUUUUGUCAUGUUAGAGCAACACAUUUUGCUUUUGGACAUUAACUGGAUUGUUGGCAAUUUUGUAAUGGAGUGAUACAGUAUGAAUAAAGAAAGGUCACUUAAAAUAUAUCAAUACAAUGUGACAGUGAAGGUGUGUUGUGUGUCUCCUUAAUGGCAUUGUAAUUGGUCAAAAGUGUCAGCUGAAAUAAAACUACUCUAGCCGUUACUGUGAAUGUAAAGUUAAAGUAUACCAGAGUUCCUCUCAAAUGAGUGCACCUGCUAAAGGUUAAACUCAUGUGGCUGCAUGCUGUCUAUAAAGUAAUUGGUUUUCAUCUCCUUGAAGUAUUUCGUAAGAACAUUACAAUCUUAUCAAAAUGCCUCCUAGCCUGAAGAGACCUAAUCAUUUCAUAUCAUAAUCAUAUUUUCAUAUCUAAUAGUCUACAAUAUUUUAUAAAAUUAUCAAAAUUAUUGUUAAUUGUUUUUGUCAUAAUGUUUUUUUGCUACUAUAUUGUUUCUUAAAUGUAGUAAACAUUUCUGGAGUUUUUAGGUCCACACUUGGUAUAUAAUGAGUUGAAAGGAAAGUAGCUAUUAUGGAAGUAGCAACUACAUAGAGCAGGCUUCUCAAAACUCCGGCCCUUCAAAUGUUGCUGAACUACAACUCCCAUGAGUUUCUGCCUAUCUAUUUCAUUCAUAGAAUCAUGGGAGUUGUCAUAGAAUCAUGGGAGUUGUAGUUCAGCAACAUCUGGAGGGCCAGAGUUUGGAGAAGCCUGACAAGUGUGCUUGUAAACUGCACAAUCAUUGAUGGUCAUACCAAAAUUCUCAGUACCUCCACAGUCAGCCACAGUAAGGACAUGGUCACUCUUAUGUGGCUAGCUUUGUUAAGAUUCAUUUGGCACAAGUUUAUGUCAGGUUUCCGCGGGCGGCUGCGAGGGGAGGCUGCACUCCGCUCGCAGUACUCACCCUCCAGCCGUCCACGGUCCCCUCCUCCUCGUGGGUACGGCAAGCGGCAUCCUUCCAGCCUCGGAUGCCGCCCGCCGCUCCCUCCACGUCCCCCAGCGGCAGCAUGCAUUACGCUGCACGCUGGGAGACCGCCCAGGUUUAUACACGCCGGGGUCAGUCACCUGACCCGGCGUUAAAGGCACAGUGCCUCAAUCACAGUGGGAGGUCUAGAUAUCUCCCACGUGUGAUUGUUAAUUCUGAUUGGAAAUUAUCCAAUCAGAAUUAACCUGAUGGUUUAAAUACUUACCUUUCCUGUUCCUCCCUGCCCUGUUGUGGUCUUUACCUGCUAGUAUUGAUACUGAACUUGUGUUUCUGGUUACGUACUCUCUGGCUUGUUUAUCCGACUUUGUGACUUUCUCCUACCCUUUGACCUCGGCUUGUUUCACGUUAUUCUGUCUUCUGGUUCCCCUUUACUCGGCUUGUUUCCUGACUAUUCUGUGUGUGCUUAGCCCGGCCACUCUAAGGUCCAGUACGGCACCUUUUGUGUGUGUGCGUGUGCCAGCGUGUUGGGUUCCCCGAAUCGUGACAGUUUAUAAAUGAGUUGUAAGUGCUCCUUUCAGUCCUGUAACUAGCCUUAACUUUAGCUUGCAAGCCAUUAUCCUCAAUUGAUAAGAACAUUCAGGUGUUCUUUGUCCUUGCUUGUGGCUUUCUAUUUUAACUUUUUGCUUCUGAUUGUACUGGAUUUGUGUUUUAUAAGAAGAGAAUAUCAAAUCUUCGCCUGUAUAACGUAUGAAAGCAAUUAAUUCAAUACGAGUUCUUGAAAGCAAUCAAGUUAUUUGGGGCAGUAUUGAGGCAAUAAACUCUGAAAUCUGAUAUGACAAUUGCCUGAGGUCACGAUAUCCCUACUUAUCAUAGUAGCAGACAAUUAAGAUGGUCUUAGGCAUUAGUGAUGUCUCGAACGGUUCGCCAAACGGUUCGCCACGGACGGCGAACAUAUGCGCUGUUCGGUCCGCCCGCUAUUCGUCAUCAUUGAGUAAACUUUGACCCUGUACCUCACAGUCAGCAGACACAUUCCAGCCAAUCAGCAGCAGACCCUCCCUCCCAGACCCUCCCACCUCCUGGACAGCUCACUAAGAAUGCAACUUCACAAUGAAUGUAAAAUGGAUGCUGUCCAGGAGGUGGGAGGGUCUGGGAGGGAGGGUCUUCUGCUGAUUGGCUGGAAUGUGUCUGCUGACUGUGAGGUACAGGGUCAAAGUUUACUCAAUGAUAACAUAGGGGGCGGACCGAACAGCGCAGAUGUUCGCCACCCAUGGCGAACCGUUCGGGACAUCACUGUUAGGCAUGCAUAAUUAUUGAGAUAUUGAGACAUUGAAAUAAAGUGCAUGAUGUGCAUUAAUGACAGAAGGUCACAUGGGAAGAUAGGAACACUUAGUAACAAAUAGAAUUUUUUGUACAUACAAAGACAAGACAUAUUUGAGCAAACCCAGAUUUAUAUACAUGACAUUGAUUACAUUUGUACUAUAUCUUUAGGUCAUUGUGGAGAUUAAUGAUUUUUUUUUUUUUACGCCUGUUAAAAAUUUGGUUUCAUAUGGAAGGGAAAAGGGGUCUGCAUAAUUCAUAAACAUCUGAUAAAUUCAGAUUUUAUCUUUGUGGAUGUUGCUAAAAAUAACAAAAAGAACUCAGUGAUACUCCCUGAGAGAUAAAUUACGCAUGCUAUCCAGAAUGCAGGAAAGUAUGCUGACCUUGAUGAUGGGAUCAGAAAGAAAAUAUGGCAAUAAUAUUCAUAGACUUCACAGCCUAGAAUUAUUCAAACAGUGACACUGCCCAGUGAGAAUACGGCUAUUUAUAAGAACACAUUUUGAAUUCUGACAGCAACUUCUUUAGCAAGAGUAAGUUACUUUAUCUUGGUAUAUUUUUAGCUUGCCGUCAUAAACCAUAAACCUUAUUACAGUAAGCGUGAGCUUAGUAAUUUUUACAGAUAACCUAUAAUUCAAUUUUACAGAUAAACUAUAAUUUUUUUAAAACAUGGGGUACCUAGUGAGCAAUGGUAAAGUCCCACCUUAUUUUAUGCACAUAACAUAACAGAUUUCUAAUUUAAAAAGACUUCUGAAUGCUUUACUUUGGAUAAGAAGCAAUAUUUAAGUAUAUAAUUGUUAUUAUGGGAAUAGCAGCUUGCUGAUACAAUGAGAAAUUUUAUAGCUAUUCUCCUAUCAAGGUUGUUUUGUUCAAAUUUAGUCCUUUAAAUUUGAUUUUGUGCCCUCUUUGGAUCAACAGCAGAAACCGAAAUGUGUGAAAACAUGAAUCUUUUAUCAGUCUUUAUUUGUACCUAACUAUGUGCCUUCGCACUAGAAAUCUGUACAAUGUGGAUCCUCUCCAGCUCCUCCCACAUACUUCUGCCAUAACCUUCCCUGAUCUCGCAACAGCCCAUUACAACAAAACUCUCUCCUCUGUACUAGACAUGAUUGCUCAUCCAAAAUCCUACGCCAUCAGUUACAGCACUGGCACUUCCAACAAACUUGGAAAAAUAGAAAGGAGAAAAUCCUGCUCUGAUGCUGAUUUCAUCCACCACAUAUUGAUUUUCCAUUCAUAUUAUUCUAUCCUCCAAGCCAGACAAAAAUAGUUCUCUACUCUUUCCUCCAACCCUAAACAGCAUUUUACCUACCUACCUUCAGCUCUAUCAUCUACUCACCUGCAGCACCUUGAUAGUCUGACUUCAGUGCUGAAAACUUUGCAGACUACUUUUUAAAAAAACUCUUACUAUAAGAGGCAACAUCUCAACACAAAUGUACAACACUCAGCCUCCUCCCCAGGCCACCACCAUUGAGACUCAACCAAUAUGCAGAAUAUAGCAUUGUAAAAAAAAGUACAGACAAGGGCAAUCCAGAAGGUGAUGUCAGGUCAGGAACAAGGUUAAUCCCAGCAGCAAAGGUUCACAGGUGAGUAAACUUAGACAAGGAUCAAUAAUUGGGAAGCACAUCUUACAUGCAAAACAAUCCUCAAAUGCACCAGCUCAACGGUCUUAGAACAAUCAAUAUGACAAAAAAGUACCAGGUAGAAACAAUAAUUUAUUCCAGUAUAAAACUACUUUAUUGUAAAGGAAGGACCUUAUACAUGUGUCUGCACCACCACCAACUCUAACGUUUUGAACGCAGGCUCGUACUUAAGUUAGAGUCCUUUAAUGUUGUGACAAUAGGGACUCUGAUGUAUCACAUGGCACAAGAGGCAGAGCCUCUUCCCUCCAGUUGGGACCAACUAGAGUUUGUGAUAUUGACUGUCAUGCUGCGAUAUCUGCUAGGCCGAUCUAAGUAGUUGUGGGAAAAAGUGGGAACUGUAACAAAUAAUACAGUUGAAUAUUGUGUGCUGAGUUUUUAAAAACCCUGGUUCCUGUAAAAGAAAGUCAGCGAUUUAAAGUUCGAGUCAUUGCACUUAUAGUAUAGUAUAGCAAUCAGCUGUGCAAGUUUACGCAAGUACCAACAGAUUAUAUAAAGCCUGAACUGUUGGUGCCUUCGGUAACAGGAACACCAGGGCUUUAUUGUCACAAAUUUAUCUUACUAAUGACUGUCAUAGCAUGUUAGCACCAGUAGACCUUGUCUUCUAUAGCACAAGCCUGCUGCCAGUGCUUUUUCUCAGUGCUGAAUGUUAGUGGAGCCAGCUGAUUGAGAGAGAGGAUGUAAUGUGGUAUCUCCUCCUCCCUUAUGACCAGGCUCUUCAUACAAACAGCUAUGAGCGGAAAGUAUAGACUGCAAUCAAGUUGCAAGGAAAGAAGGGACUGCUGUUGGCACCAUGUUAUCAUGGAUAAAAAUAUCUACUAGGGGUAGAGGAAGACCUGGAAAAAUUAAGCAAGGUUAGAUAAAAUUGACAUAGGUAAAGUGAAAGUGUUAAUUUGCAUUAUCAAUGUGCUUGAGUUUUGUUUUUUUUUCUCUUUUUUCUCUAUAGUCCAGGAACAACCCCCAUUUAGAUCACAUUGUUCAUAAACACUUGGUGAACUGAAGGGAAGACUCAUCAAAUCAGGCUAAGACUGAUGACUUAAUGGAAGUGUCCACAGGAUGAUUAGUGUGGACUCCAUCACCACCAGUCUAUUUAGCAGCCUUUUUAUGUUCGCUUAGAUUAAACUUCUGCUUAAUGAUACCAUCAGUAGAGGUAGUGAGUCAAAGUACGUUGCCCUACACUGGGAGUUUGAGGGUGAUGUCUCAGUUGCCUGGCAGAGUUUACAUGGACAAAAGUGGUGAUGGAAUAGGCCAGCUGAUAUGCAAGACUGCCAGACUUUGUUGGCCUACAGUAGUUUUUCUCUCGAGGAGUAAGAUAACAAGGUAUGAUAACAAGUGAGAUAACAGCUGAGAUAACAGAAAGCUAUGUGUUGAGGAGAAUUUUUACGGUGGAUCGUUUAAUGUUUGUAGCUGGGUUGCUGAUAAUUAAUGUACAUGGAGCUUGAUGAACACCCAUUUCCAGGUGACAUCUUUUGCACAAGCAGACUACGACCUGUCAUAGCCCUAAUUUUAUGUGAUCUAGGGUGUACCUUCCAUAAUUGUUUCUCCUAAAGAAAUAUAUUUUAACUAGAUCAAUCUUGCAGAGUGAAACUAUAAUCAUACAAUCUUCAUCUUCUGCAUAUUAUAAUAGUUGUCCCAUAAAAUAAAAUUCCCUUGUGAUACACAUAAAACAGAACUUAAGAAGGAAUACAUUUUCUUAGCACAAAGACUGUAUCAGUAAUAAUAUUACCACUUAAAUUCAGGAGACAUCCCUGCUGCAUAGCUGCAAAGCCAAUUAGAAAGAUUUGCAAUAUAACAGAACAUACGCAAAUAAUUUUAUGAUUGAAGAGCAGCAAGGAAUAUAUAAAAAACAGAGGUUACUAUGUAGCACUGUAAGUCGGUUAGAGUGUGUAAAGGGGCUCGUCUUUAAAUUAAAAGUCUAAAUGAUUAAAUUAUGUUACUUCAAAAUAGCGUGUGUGCGCAAGUUAAACCUGCUCUGCUGUGAACAGAAAUGGCGUGCUUUGAAUAUUGUGUUUCUGUUAUUUAUAGUAGUCCCAAGAGAACGUAAAGGAAAAUGCAGGGAUUUUUCUGUUUCGCGACUGUCCAGGAAACAUAUUGAAGAAGGUCUGAGUGAUCCAGUCUGUGAGUGGGACUCAUGGGAAUCAAUUUCACCUCAAAUGAUUCCUCCAUUAGAGGCCCCAGCAAAUUAAAAAUUAAGUUUAAAAGGAUAUUAUUUUCCAUAUACCAUUGCUAAGAUGGUUUGCCGGGGAUGGAAAAAUCCAUUGAUAUUGCUCAAGUUGUAAAGGAAAUGCGGCUUGCUUGGAAAAUGUCCUAAGUAAAAGAAACAUAAAUCAUAUCAUUUUUAUCCUUUUUUUAAAAUAAGGGUUAUUUGCUAAAUUGGGAAUUCUGGAGAAUUGCACAUUUUAAGCCAAAAUAGUAAUACUGAAAAUUUCUUCAGCAAUUUUUUUUUUAACAUGGUUAUUUAGCUUGACCUAAAAUUGCAAUUUACAUUAAUUCUUUAUUUUUUCUUUAUUUAGCUAAAUCAAUACUAAUAAUUAAAUAUGAAAACAUAGAUUUAAACAUAAUGUAAUUUUAGCAAAUGAAUAAAAGAUUUUCAAAAUUUGUGGGACAAUUCUCAAAUGUCCUACAGUCUGGCUAUUUUAGUCUAAUUUUUAUAAUUUUGUUUUCCGUUUAGUAUAAUUUGUUGUUAAGUUACCAAACCUUACCAGUGCUCAAAGUAUACUGGCUUCAGAAUGUGUGAUAAUUAGGCCAUGAAUAGAUUUUUUUUAAAAAAAUUAAUUACUUCAAUAUUAUUUAUAAUGUAAAUUGAAAAAGAAAUGACCAAAUAUUGUGUGCAAAUUAUAAUGGGCAGGGGAACUAAUAAAGGCACGUUUCUGGCCACCACUGGCAUGCAGACAGGUAUUAGUUCUUCUCAUUCAUGACCUAAUGCACUCUUGGAAGGGAGACAGGGGGGGAGUGGAGAAGAUUACAGGGGGGGAGUGGAGAAGAUUACAGGGGAGAGAGAUUACAGGGAGGAGGGAGAAGAUUACAGGGGAGUGGAAAUUACAGGGGGAGUGGAGAAGAUUACAGGAGGGGGGUAGAAGAUUACAGGAGUUGGAAAGGUUAUAGGGAGGGAAGUGGAGAAGGUGGAGGAGGGGGGAGAAGAAGAAGAUUACAGGGAGGGAGGGAGGGAGGGAGAAGAUUACAGGGAGGAGAGAAGAUUACAGGGAGGGAGGAGAGGGAGAAGAUUACAGGGAGGGGGGAGAAGAAGAGAAGAUUACAAGAGGGACAAGGGAGGGAGGGGAGAAGAAAGAAAGAUUACAGGGAGAAGAAGAGAAAGGACAGGGCAGAAGAAAGAUUACAGGGACAGGGGAAGAAGGAGAACACAGGAGGAAGAAGUAGAGGAAACACAUGGGGGGAGAAUAAGAGGAGAACACGGGGGAGAAUAAGAGGAGAACACCGGGGGAGAUGAGAACACAGGGAGGGGUGGUUGAGGAGAACACGGUGGAGGGAGAGACCACUAAAGAAGGGUUGGGGUGGUGGAAAGACCACUAGGGGACGGGGGUGAGGAGAGACCGCUAAGGGAGGGGGGUGGAGGAUAGACCACCAGGGGAGGGUGGGGGGAGAGGAGAGACAACUAAUGGAAAGGGGGGGCAGAGGAGAGCAGAGACCACUAAGGGGGAGAUGAGAGACCACUAAGGGGCAGGGGAGAUCACUAAGGGAUGGAAGGGAGAGCUCUAUAGGACAGGGGGCAGGACAGGGGGCAGGACAGGGAGCUCUUUCACACCACACGCACACACACACACACACACACACACACAAUGCAUCCCUGUACACACAGAAACACAACAUGCUUCCCUUACACACAGAGAAACAUACAAUGCAACCCUUACACAUAAAGACAAUGCAUCCUUUGCACAUAUACACAGAAACACACAAUGCAUCCCUUACACACACAUGCAAACACACACACACUGCUUCUCUUACACACACACACACACAUACACACACAGAAACACAAUGUAUAUCUUACACACACUCAACGCAUCCCUUACAGACACACACACUGCAUCCCUUACAUACACAGAAACACACUUUGCAUCCCUUAUGCAUACAAAUACAGAUCCACACAAUGCAUCCCUUACACACAACAAGAAACACACAAUACAUCCCUUAUACACAAACACUCACUGCUUUCUAUCCCUUACACAAAAACACACUGCUUCCACUACACACAAACACACUGCAUCGCCUACACAAACUGGUAUCCCUAUACACUACAUUCCAUAAGCACACACAUUAGAUCCUCUACAGUAACACAUAACACAUCCCCUACACACUCCACUCCCUGUGAGCGAACUCAUGGGUGGAACAUGUAGGUGGACUUAUGGGUGGGCCUUAUGGGCAUACUCACCGUCAGGCCCUGGGGCCCAGACCUUGAGCUAUGUAAGAGGCCCCAAAAAAUGGAGCUGCUUCCCGUUCUCCCAGAACAUUAAAUUUUGUAACCACAGUUACAAACAGCCUCCAGAUAUCCUGUUCUACACCAGACCAGUGGAGCCAGACUGCAGCCAGAGCCCAUCACCAUCAUCAUCAGAUUGUAAAUAGGCAAUCUAGUAUAUUAUUAGUGACACUAAUCUCUAAUUUACCUCACAUUAAAUGGACACUAUAGUCCCCAGAACCAUUGCAGCUUAAUGAAGUGGUUCUGGUGUCUAUAGUCUGUCUCUGCAGGCUUUUUAAUGUAAACACACACUGUGUGCAGCACUGGCGUUAGUUCAUAUGGCAGAUCAUAUGGGUGGGGCGUUGCGAUGUCACUUGGGGUUGGGGGGCGGCAAAUCUUUCUUUUGCCAAGGGCGGCAAAAAUCCUUGCACCGGCCCUGCCCAUGGACACUUACUGGGAUUCAAACCUGGGUUUUUCAGUUAUAAGACAAUAAUGUUACCACCAGCAUGAUACAAACUUUCUACAUAGGGUCCAGUUGACAUAGUAUGAUACUGCUAAACCCAAGGGAAGUGUGCUCUGAAAAUUAGUUUGUAUAAUUGUGAAAUAUUGAGAUUGAAUGUCAGUGUGUCUGCGUGUGUGCUUGUGUUAUUGAAAGUGUUAGUGUGAGUUUAUGUAGGGCUCAAAAUUUUAACUCACCCAUUAGCUGUUGGCAAGUGAAAUAUUUACAACUAGUGAUAGGUACAGUCUUUAGCAAUUUAUCAGACUUUUUUGUUGGGAACUAUUGCGCAUACAGACCUACCAGUUAUGGACACUUUGCAACUUUGUAUUUUUUUGGCUUUAGUCAUACAAAGGGAAGUUCUAUUUCCUGAAUACAGUUGGCAGCAUCUGAUAUUUGGAUUUCAAUUCAAGGAAUUGUUUGUUCCUAUCUAUACACGUGAAAAUAUGGUUUUGUAACCAUAUAACAAAGUCUGGUUGAGGAAGCAACUCGAAUUAUAAAUAACAAGUAGUGAAUAAGGUGAGGGACGAAAGGUCUGAAGAACAGUUAUAGAAUAUGGAACACAGUAAAAUUUAAAUUCAGAAGUAGUGAUUAAAAAAUAAACAAACCGGUGGUCUCUCGACACUCUUACUUUUUGGAAACUGUAGCCUUACUACCAUUUCCCUGUGUUUCAUUCCCUAAAUAAUGUUCUUCAUAUUUUAUUUACCCAAAUUAAAACUUAAUUCAAAUAAAUGUGUGGCAUCAGUAUGAUUUAACUUUUUUUUUUAAUGAAAAAUAAGUUGCAAAAAUCUUUAGUUAAUAAUAAAGCCCACUAGCAUGGACACACAUUGCUGUAACCCAACCUAAUGUAUCACAUGUAUAAUGACAUGUUUUCAGAACUUCAGAAAUAUGAUAUCAAUUAAAGGGACACAACAGGCUACAGUUCACCUAUUAUCUCUUAAUGGAUAGAACAAAAGAUGCAUUUAAGAAUAAAUACAAAACCCAUAAAAUAUAAAAGUAAUAAAUAUUAAAAAUAUACUAACAUUUUAAGUGCCUGUCUAUUACACUUAUUAUUAGGGCCUCUGCAAGGAAACAUUCCCAGACAAGGAAGUGACUCAGCCAAUCAUGAGGCUUGCUUAACUCUGUAAACAGUGCUGAGUUUAUACCAUAAGUCUCAGGACAUCAAAUAUUUUGGAAGUUCAAUUGUCACCUUUCUGCCAUAGAAAUUAAUUGCUGCACUUAGGGAGUGAAAGACAGAAACACUGUGUUUGUGGAAUACAACUGUAUUCAAAUGAUUAUGAAUAAUAAACAUAGCAUAACUAAACCUAAUACUUAGGGAAGUGCCUGUAGGGUCUCCUUAAUUCAUAUUUAAGGAAUUUAUCUAUUGACUGUUAAUGGUACACUGCUUGUAUUGUACAUGCUUCUCAACGGGAACCAAAACCAUUCUCAUGCCUGGUGUAACUGAAACAGGAACAGAUGAUCAAAAAUGUCAUAAUGUAAAACUGUUUCUGAAAAUAGAUUUCUAUGGAAAUUGAGAAUUUCAGUUUAGCUUGUAAAGUGUUUUACAGAUCAGCUUUUGAAUGACAAGUACAUGAAAAUUGUUAAUAUCUCCCAAGUUUAUUGAUUUUGUUUGUGUGCACAGAGUGUAUAGUUUUAAUUACUGUAUAUGUAUCAGUAUGUGAUAAAUACAAUCAGUAGUGGACAAAAUUGUUUAAAUAGCCUAUACAGUUUAUGUAGUGGUUUUCAGAGUACUUCAGCCAAUGGGGAUACAAAGUACUAGAUGGUACUACACAGUGAAGAUAGAAGUAUUGUCUCCCCCCUGCGGCCCCCACCCAUGAGCGGCGGGUGGUAGCCCUAAGUAAAAAGAGGACGGGGGGAUCUAAUGUCCUAGAGCCUCUAAACACCCCCACCACAAUAAAAUUAAACACUACCUACCCCCCUCACCCUAAACAUAGUGAGGAGGGAACAAAAAACGAAAUACCUGUAAAUGAAAAAAAUCAUACUUACCAUUAGAUGUUUUCUUUUUAAGGUCUCCCCUUAUUUCAAAAAAAGUAAGACCAAAGUGUUCUCACAGUAAAGUGAGAACAAGGUCCCUGGAUAUAAUUCAGUAUGUUAUAUAGAAGGGAUAGUGAGCUAUGUUGCAAUUUGAAAAAGUAGCUAUUUAUUGAUCUAAAUACCUACUUUUUCAUAUUGUAACCGUGUUAUUGUUUUUGCUAUAACUAUUGGUUACAUGUACUCUUACCAUAGCUCUCUAUCCUUUCUAUAUAAGAUACUGACUUAAAUACAGCGACCUUGCUCUCACUUUACUCUGAGAAUCAUAUUCUUUUCACCCUCCUUAUUGCACUAGCGACUGGGCAGUAGUUUUAAAUGACAGUGAGCAACCACUGGCUGCUCGCUGUUUAGGCGACAUGCCGCAAGUAGGGGCAUACAGGAGGAUUUAACCUCCCUUUUAUUAAUAUCAGGGUCAUAGUGACCCCCAUAGGUUUUAAUGCAGGUGGGGGUUAGGAAUUGUUAAUAUUAUUACAAGGAGGGAGCUGGUAGCGCUGCCGUCUUAAUCCUUGCUUUUUCUUUUGCACAUGUGCAGUGUUAUUUUGUCCUAAUGAGUGAAAAUAAAUACUUUUUUUACUGAAUUUCGGCCGAAAAACUAAUGUUUUACGGAUGAAAUUCGGAAUUGACGAAUGAAAUUUUUAUUUAGUACGAAUUCAUAUUUUACUAUAUAUUCAGCAAAAUCUUGUGUAUGUUCGAUACCUUUGCUUGGAAGCUAAAACCAGGUGGACUGUUGGAGGGCUUGACAACUUGACAGAGAUUUGUGAUUAUUUUUUAUUCAGUGAGCAAUUUUAAUGCUCUAUCAAUGCCAAAUUUUGAAUUUUGAAAUAACAGAAAUAAUUUGUACAGAGUAAAUUAACUCACUAACUGGGUGUGACAGAACCAUCUGUCUAUUUAUUGCGGUGGAUUUGUCUGCUUCUGCCCCAUUCGUGUAAAUGGCUGUUUUCUAUAGCCCAGCCAUACGACUGACUGUUUUUUCCCGAACAAACCUAUUGAUCCCAAUUAGAACGUUGUGGUUAACCGCAGACACUUCUCAAUUAAACCGAAUUCAGGGUGGUCGUCGUUCGUAUGUCGACCACGAGGCAGCGGCCAUUUAAAACCAUGCGAAAGCCCAGCGGUGUUCAGCUCUAUUUUCAUGGAACUAAAAACGGACACUCGAACACCGGCCGUUCGGGAGGUUUACAACACAUGAAAGGACUUAACCCAGAUAGCCUUCCCAUGGAGUCAUUCGUAUACCGAAAGACUGUAAGAACUUUGACUACAUGGCGAUUGAACUGUGUGUGUGGGAUCUGAGCGCUAUUCGCUAAUAAUAUGCACUCAGAUCCAGGCUAUCUGGGGAUAUGUGAUGCGAAUGGGAAAUGUUUGGUUAUUUUAAAGUUAUGUAUUUUUAUAUAUUUUUUUUGGUUUUAUAUUUCAGAUGGCGAUUGUCUUUGUCCUGGAGAUAAUUGAAUUUCUUCUCAAUUAUCUCCAGGGCAGAGGGCAGGAAACCAUAGUGCAUUGAGGGUAAAAGCUGUGACUGUACGUCUGGAAUGUCCCCAUGUCUGUCUGUCAUUACAGUCUCCCAUUUGGUCCCCUAGGGGAGUAUCCACCAAGUGGGAGACCUGCAUAAAUACGGGCAGGUAGCCCACAGUAAAGCCAGAUCCUGUUUGACCCUCAAUGCGGAGCUUCUGUCUCGUUAUUGGGGGGGAUUUAUUAUUUGCGUUUAGAGACUGCUGAUUGGAACCGAAAGCCGCUUGGUGGAUAUUGUUGUUCGGUGGCUAGCAGUAGUUCGUGGAGUUCCAUUUGGGAGGUUGGAGCCGUUCACGGAUCCCGGUCGGGAGAUUACCGCUUCCCCUGGUUAUGGUUCGUGUAUUACACAUUGAUGCGAAUGGAUUACUGAUAUUGCGAAAGGGGAAGGUGAACUAAACGGCGGUUUCCCUUAAAGACACCCGGGGUGUCUUAACACUGGGUUAUUUACUAAAGCGAGAAUUUAAAGUGGAUUCAAAGUGAAUUUCAAAUUUCAAAUCAAAAUAACCAAAAUGGAAACAUUCCCUAAGUCCGCAACGUUUUCAGUUUGAAAUUCACUUUGCUUUCUUACUUUAAUAACCCUGUAAAUAUUAAUUCGGCUCUGUGAGACUAUUAAAAGCAACUUCCUCACUUAAACCGAGAAACCUCCGCUAGGUCAUGCUAAUCUGAAAUUACAGUUCUGCAUUUUUACCUGUUUACCAUGAGCAUCAUUCUGUGCAUUGUGCAAGUACCUAAAUGCAUACACUGUGGUUUUAGAAGGGUGCAAUGUAAGGCCUUCAUGCCUUGCAUGUGCACAAACCCAAAUGGCAUCUAUGACAUGAUGACCUGCAAUUCAGUAAGGAGCCUUACCCAGUUCCUCUAUUCCCGUAUUUUUGGAUUCAUUGUACUGUAUCUGUAGGCUGAUGUCCAGUGUCCUUUUCUUUGAUCUGGUCCCUUUAAAUGUAUUCUGCCCUGGGACACCCAUUUACCCAUCUCUACCAUUGCAUGUUGAUGUAUUGGAGUCAUAUAUGGCCCCUUUUAUGAGAAAGCUGUGUAGUUGAACUUUCCUUGUCCCUGACAUGAUAGAUCUAUGUGUCCUCAAGUACAACUUUCACUGUGCUCCUUUCUAAACCUUGCUUUGUUUUUGGUCCUUCUAAACUGCAUUCUAACUGGUAAAGUGUUUCUCUUGACCUUUGGCCAUGAGUGUUAGUAGUCUUAGUCCUAUACUGUAUCUGUGUCAAAAAAGUGUAGAACUAUUGUUCUACACUUUUGACAUGUUUUGAUCUUGUUACCCUGUUUGUCAUCAGUAUAGUAUUAUUAUACACACUGGACGUUAGCAAAUUGAUGAGCCACUUAAACUCUGAAGCCAAAUUUAAACCACAGGGUUGGCUGAUGUUCCAUUCAGACACCAUGGCUUGACCUCUGGUAGCAGGUACUUCUCCUGCCAUUCCACACAAUAAUUUGUGGUAUCUUAUUGGAUUAAAAUACACAGAUGUGACACGGUGCAGAAAACCAGAGAUGCUCUUCGUUAAGGUACCAUUUACAUUUCCUGGGAAUAUUUCUCUUUGCACUCCAUGAAAAUCUGUCAGAACUUUUCCAGAUUCAAGUUAAGCAUUAGCUCUGCCAACAAGAUCAGCAGCUGAUGAGAGCCAUAAAUAAUGUACAUUUUGAAUCCAAAAUAAUGAAGAGAACAUAUAUACACAAGUAAGAUUUGAUAAGUGACAUCUGCAUGUGUUAAAAACAUAGCUUAAACGUUUCUUCCUCAUUUUUAGGUUUGCUCUUGAAAUUGAUCAUUUAAAGAUCUCCAUACUACAGCAAACUCUGUCAUUUGAUGUCCAUCAAAGGUGAGUAGCAUGUCUUCUAAAACAAUGAGCUCCACUGCACAGCCAGGUUAGCCAAUCUUUAAUGAUUUUUUAGUGUCAUAACAUACUUUAUCAAAUAGCCUAUCUGUCUGUUGAUUAUUAUUAUUAUUGAUAUUUAUAUAGUGCCAACUAAUUCCGCAGUGCUUUACAAUAUUAUGAAGGGGGGUGGGGGGGGGAAUUUACAAUAAAUGAUACAAUUACACAGUGGCACAGGAACAAUAGGUAAAUGAGGACCCUGCUCAAAUGAGCUUACAGUCUAGAUGAGGUGGGGUACAAAUACACAACAGGGCAGCAAGGGUGACAGCCACCAAACAAGGUGGAAAAGUAUCAGAGCUGGAGGUAAGAGUGGAGUAUGGCUCUUUUUGAGGACAAGAGACAGAUUUGGAUAAGUAUAGAUUGUGACAAACUUCCCUUCCCACGUGAGUUUGUCACGAGCUCCUGGAGGAGCCUGCUUGCUAGCCUCCUGCCCACAGACUAUGGGCUCUGCAGGGAAACCUGUAAAAGACUGUUUAACUGGCUCCACUGAAACCCUCCCAGCAGAAGAGCUGGCAUCAGGUCAGAGCGCAGCUGGCCUCUGCCCUACCUGUCUAUUGGUUCCGGGGCUUGAUGAAAAACGGGCCAACCCAGCUGAAACGCUGGCUAUGAGGCAGAGCGCCACUGGCCUCUGCCCACCAAGCAGGAUGGCCCCAUAAAUGAGGUCCAGGGAGAGGAGAUUGUCGGUCCCACUCCCCAGCGGCAGUAUGGUUUAAAAGGAGAAAGGACCCUCUCCCCAGCGGCUGGAGUUACCCCCUAGAGCGGGAAUUGCCUAUGUCCCCAGCGACAACUUGGUCCACAGGGGGGGAAGUGCAGCCGGGUUAUUUCCCAGCAGGGAAUUUUCUGGAUUUUCAAAAGAGAGCUUGUGGCUGGAGGCCUUCUGGAAAACUGCACCUUUUGGGAAAGGUCACCAGACUAACACAGACCCAGACAGAUUGGAGGUCUGGGGUCUGGAUAGUCUCCCCAGUAGGGGGAAGAUAUGUGACAAACUCCCUUUCCCAUGUGAGUUUGCCACAAGCUCCUGGAGGAGCCUGCUUGCCAGCCUCCUGUCCACAGAGUAUAGGCCCUGCAGGGAAACCUGUAAAAGACUGUUUAACUGGCUUGGUUCAUGUAAUUUCCCUAUACCGUUCGGAAACCGAACAACCGCAGGAACCAAGGACCACCCGGGAGCUUGUUAACCCAUAUAAACACAUUGGAACGGUUCUCACCUCAGUGUUCUAAUUGUUCGUCUGGGUGGCCGCAAUUCGUAUGAAUGACCACGAGGUGGCGGCCAUCUUGUUCGCAUGAACGCAAGCAGCGGUGUUUGGUUGUUAAGUUCAUGGAACUAAAAUCGGACACUGAAACACCCGAACAUCGCUGGACUUCCAUCAUCACUUGCGUUCGGUUCUGUAGGUCCUAGAAGAACACUGUUUGGUGGAAUUGUUCAUCUGGGUGAGGGGAACCAGCUCCUUGGUUCAAAUUGAGACUACAUUCGGUAUUUUCUUCAUUUUUUUUGUUACUGAAGUUGAUUGACCGCUAGCCCUGAUUUCAUGGAACUGUUUUGGGCAUAAGACCAUGUGCGUGGUCUGUCAAAUAAUUGACUUCCAUGGAAAAGUCGAACCCCUCAACCGAUCUGGGUGACUUUUGGACAUGUUGGUCACCCAGAUCGGGGCUAUCAGGAGAUGUAACUUUUGUGGGCUUUUCAUUUGCUUUGAAGGUACUUUUGGGGUGUUUGUAAAUUGUAUGUUUUUCUGUGCCUGGACAUAAUUGUGUUUGUACAAUUCCUGACUCAAUUAUCUCCCAGGCACAGGGAAUGAAUUACCCUGUUUUGUGUGGGAGAGUCAUGGACGUAUUUUCUGUGUCCUUGUACUGCAUAAAAGCAGGUCAUUGAGCCUGGAUUAAACAGAUCAUUUUACCCCUUUAUGAAGUCUAGGCUCAUGUUUGGGGGAUUGGGAGCUAUUUUCACACUUAUAAUCACUGUUUCACUUGGGAUUUGGGAGAACUACAGCGGAUAUACUCAGUCGGAGAAUAGGGGAUCCGUUAUAUAGAUAAGUUACUCUGGCAGUCCAUAAGCAUUUCUGAACAAAUGUGUUUUGAGGGACGUCUUAAACAAUUGAAGACUAGGGGAAAGUCUGAUGGAUGUAGGCAGGCUGUUCCAAAGGAAGUGAACCGUCAAGAAGAAGUCCUGCCAGUGCAAGUUAGCAGUAAGGGUGCGAGCAGCGGACAGGAGAAGGUCAUGGGCAGUGCCGAGAGCCAGAGAAAGGGCAUAUCUAUGAAUCAGGGAAGAAAAGUAAGAGGGACUAGAGUUGGUUAGAGGUUUAUAGGUAAGGGAUAGUAUUUUGAAUUGACACCUAUAGGAUACAGGAAGCCAGUAUAAGGAUUGACAGAAAGGCGAGGUAUGGGAGGAGCGACGGGUGAGAAAGAUCAGCCUGCCGGCAGCAUUCAUUACCGAUUGUAGCGGGGCAGUUUGGCUUUUGGUGAGACCAACUUGGAGAGAAUAACAUUAAUCCAUGCGAGAGAUUACUACAGCAUGAACAAGCUCUUUGGCAGCAUCUUGUGUGAGAAAGGGACGGAUGCGGGCGAUGUUUUUAAGGUGGAAUUGACUGGUUUUAGCAACAUACUGGAUAUGUGGGGUAAAGGUGAGGCCAGGAUCAAAGAUAACACCAAGGCAACGAGUUUGCAAGGAUGGACUGAUGCAAGUACCAUGAACUUGCAGGGAAAGUGAAGGAGGAGGAUCAGCAUUAUGAUUAUUAUUGAUCUUUUCUAUCACUCCAUUAUCACUCUUUCUGAGCAUCUAGCAUCUACAUGUAUGUAUAAAACCAUGAGUGAUAGCCUUCUAAGUUAUUAUAUCAAACAAGACCAUUUCUUCUCAACCAAGUAACUGUCUAAAACAGAAAUCAUGUUGCCAUCACCUGUCUCCCAGAUGCAAGGUCAAUCUGUUCUUUCACACUAUCAGAAUAACACUGGUGGAUCCCCUUCCAUCUAGUCUUGGAAUGCUCAUAUCACAUAGAGGCAAUCUAACAUACGCCUGAAUAUUAUGUCAUAAAUUUAUCCUCUACUAGUCCAUGAAUUCCUCAUUACGCAUUCCUACUAGUCCAUGAAUUCCUCAUCUUAUAAGGAUCUUAGCGUUUAACAGCCACGGUGUAGCCAGUUCCAAUGUAUCAUUAUGAGGUGUUCAGUCCUUUAAAGAUGCUUGGAUUUUUGAAUUGCAGCCUCACUUUAACUAAUAACUACUAUUAGAUCGAGCCACUUUAUUGUUGUAGUCCAUAUAUACACAUACCAACUUCAGAACGCGAUCCUGUAUGUACUAAUCGUGACCAUCUAGAAUUGUCCUGACUUUCUACUAUCAUCACAUUAAUCCAGUCUAGCCUGACUGCUACCAUGGCUAUAUACUCAGAGUAUGUCAUACUCUGUAGUCAUAUUGGUUGCCAUCAAAGUUUCAGCAUUCACAAGAAUCUCAAGUCAGAAAACUUCAGUUGACACCAACUUUUAAGGUGAAGACACCAGUUACACAUCUACGCAGACAGAUUUCAGUACUUUGUUACAUAAUAAAUUAUUUUCUAGAAGAUGACUAUAUCGGCUUCAAUCAAACUAACAGAAAGAGACACUAGCCUUGCUCUCUUCCCAUCUGUUCUCAAUGGAUCAUAAAUUAGACUUACUGACUACUCUGGUCAAUAAUCUCUUUGCCAUUCAGUAUUUGACCAUGCCUCCUCACUACAGACAAGACCUUGAUUAAUUGGACUAUAUGAAAGCCACAAUUGAUUUUAAAAACAUAAUCCCUAACCCUUUCCAUUUAUUCCUACUGAAGUUAGUGUUAGUAAUAUAUCAUAUUUCCAUUAAAUUAAAGGCAUGUUUUAUUCUUUACUUUAGUUAAAAAAUCAAACCUUUUUUUUAGCAUUCAUUUUAGAAAUAGCUCACUUUUUUACAGGUUCACGACUUUAUUUUUAGAGAAAAUGGUCCGUAUACCUGUAAAUGAAGAUAUAUGUAAACAGAAUUAUAUUAUCAUAUGAUUCUCUACAUAGAAUAUCCUUUAUUUUCAUAGAUUUUGCAUGUCUUUAGAAUGAUAAACAUAUGUUUGUUUCUUUUCGUUGGAGGCAUGCAAAACAUUUAACUAAAGUAUUAAAACAGCAAUUUUGCUUUACACAGAAAAUAAAACAAGCCUUUAAUUAGAGUUUUUUUAGUUGGGUUCCAGCUAAUACAGAUUUGAAUUACCAUUCAGCUGGGAUUCCUGACUAUAAUUUGGAAUUCAGAUCCCCUGCUAAAUAAAAAGUGGCAUUAACUGUUUUUGUGAAUUGAUGUAAUUAGUCUUGGUUAACAAUUUACAAAUCAACUAUAUAGAUUUCGGCAUUAUUUUAUAAAUGGAUAUAACUUUACAUCCUAAAAUUAUAUGUGCAUGUAUGCUUAUAUAGCUCCAAACGAUUACUGCAGCUCUUUCAGAAGUAGAAAAUAAAAUUUAGGUACAAUUUAAUCCAGUUAUAAUAAAUUUGACGAGAGGACCAAGCUGAUGUUACCAUUUUAAUUUUUUAUUUAAUAGGUGUUUACUAUUAACUAUAUAAUAAAAAGGAUGAUGUAUUUUCAGAAAUGUACUUCAUUAUUCCACAUCAUUAAUGCAGUGAUGUCAUCCCUGUGAAUUACAGGGUUUAUAAACUUAAUUCCGUCAAUAACAAUGUAUACGUUACCAAAGAGCGAUGGGACAUUACCAUUUAACAAACAUACUCCUGAAACCACUGGUCCAAACGCCAUGUCCAAAUCCCAACAAGAGCUGCCAUGAGAGACCAAUAGAAGGAGCAGCUCUGUAACUACUGUAAAGUCCUUUUCAAUCCUCUUCCACCUGGUCUUUUAUCACAUGCAAGAAAAUAAAGAUCCUUAGUGUUGGCUGAGCUAGGUUCUCCUUUUUAUGGAGAUGUUGACUUUGGGAUGGUUUUGGUGUGCGUAUGAGUCUCAAUAAGGCAACCAGAAGCAAGAGCCAGCCCCCCACCCAUCAGAAUGUAAUGUGAGCCUUUUUGUUUGUUAACAUUGUCCAUGAAUGGCUGUGUUUAAUACAACUAAAGGCUGCAUGAUUGUAUAGGAAUUGUUGGACUCCUAUUGGCAUUCUUGCAAUUUUAAGGUUUCUAAAAUAUAGUAGUUUUGAGAACUUAUAAUAUUAUUUUACUAUUGUAUGGAUGGAUGUAAAGCCCAGAUUUGAUUACAUUUCUUUUGGGGCACUGUAUGGGCAUUGACAUUUUCAAAUAACAAAAUGUUUAUUUUUUUAGGCAACUUUCAAUUUGAUGCCAAAUAACGACACUUGCAUUGUAGGACAUUUACCAAACACUUAACGGAUCCUUUCUGUGUUUCUUGUUUUAUUUAUAAUUUUGUGUUCAUUAUAGUAAUAUUACUACUAAUAAUUGGUAUCAUUGUGAAGACCAGCAGCAGAAUUGCACCUGCACAACACGUUUGUUUGUAAUGAUAUAUUUAGAUAGAUAAAAUCAAAAGGAAUAAGGGUCCUAUUCAAAUAAACAUGCAGAGAACUGAUGGCUAAGCUUUGGACCCCAGAUAUUUGCUAUAUACAUUUCCCAUGAUGCUAAGAUGUACGUUCAAGAAGAAGUAUGAUAAUAUUACUUCUUAAGAUACUUUUCCUUUGAAAAGCCAAUAUUUCGGGAUAUCCAAUUUCAGAAAUAUUUUUGUUAUCUCCAGCCUUCCAUUUUCUGGUCAAUAGCCUUUGUACUACCCCAUGUCCAUCCCCCACCCACUUUCUAUUCUUCCAGAGUUGCUCUCUCUUUUUUCCCAGGCCAAUAGGAGUAUUCUUUACAGACCUCUUACCCUUGCUAUUGUGUUCGUGGUCUACUUGUUCACUUUUUACUUUGACCCUUUUAUAGCUAUUAUAAUCAGUUUCUUUAGCCUUUGAAUUACGAGUUGUAGAGCUCACCCUAAUACACCUACUAAAUGACAGCAGGAGUAAUUUAAAGGACCACUAUAGUGCCAGGCUCUGGAAAGGGGAAAAGGGGUUAAACUUACCUUUUUCCAACGCUGGGCGGGGAGCUCUCCUCCUCCGAUCCUCCUCCGAUCCUCCCCGUCGGCUGAAUGCGCACGCGCGGCAAGAGCUGCGCGCGCAUUCAGCCGGUCACAUAGGAAAGCAUUCAUAAUGCUUUUCUAUGGACGCUUGCGUGCUCUCACUGUGAAAAUCACAGUGAGAAGCACGCAAGCGCCUCUAGUGGCUGUCAAUGAGACAGCCACUAGAGGAUUAGGGGGAAGGCUUAACCCAAAAAUGGGUUAACCCAGAAGGACCUGGCACCCAGACCACUUCAUUAAGCUGAAGUGGUCUGGGUACCUAAAGUGGUCCUUUAAGAUAAAGAGUGAAUAAUAUUAAUUAACUAGAACAGUUGAUCUGAUGCCUUAUUAUUCAAUGCAUAAUGCUUUUGGACAUUUAAUACCAAUAGUACUUUCCUUUUUUAUAUAAGGAGCAUAACAUAUUGUGACAAGUUAAAAUGACACAAUGGUUAAUUGUCAAGUGAAAUUUUAGAAAAAAAGGAUUAAAUUGCUAACAUAAUAGAUGCCGUCUGCCACUGUAUUGUUCUUUUAGGUAUUAUAUUAGUAUCAUAAUUAUGCUGUUCUGAUUGCUGUAAAUGUAUCAUCCUCCAUAAUAUAAUGACCUUAUAAAAACUAACCUCGAUCAGCAGCAUAAUGUAUGUACAUUAGCUGCAAGUUAAAAUAGCACAUGUUGCAGAAGAGAAAUGACUACUAUAUUUUACAAAAGCCUUUCAGCUUAAAUAUUUCUCUACUUUUACUAUAGUUGCUGUACUGUGAAUUUAGACCACAAAACGCAUCUUCCACAAGGAUGACUCCCCGCCGGACGUUACCUGCAGAGAGAUUGAUAGAAGAUUUACAGUGUUGCAUCUAUUGCUUUGGUGGGCGAAAAUGUAUCCAAAGGGCAUAUUUCUUUUUUAGUGACUUUGGGGGCAUGAAGUGUAAGAGAUGGGGCUCUAUCUCCAAAUUAUUCAUAUAAGUUGUCUAAUAUUUUAAAAAAUAGCUGUAUCCGUUUAAUCACUGCUGGGCUCUGUGGACCUGUUAACAAAGACUACAAUUUUAGGCUCAUGAUCCCCUGAUGAUCAUUCCCUAGAGUUUAAUGUAUUAUCAGACCCAUACUUUACUGCUUUGCAGGAAAUAAUGCUUCUGGGUGUCUCAGUUGUUUUUGCAUUUUUUUUCCGGCAUAUUUUAAUUAAUUUUAUUUUUAUUGUGCCACAAAUACAUUGGAAUGGCAAGUCAACAAGUCAGGGAAAAGAGAAACAACAAUGCAUUUCUGAUCAUCAGACUACUAAUCACAUAUAGGAAGAGCAGUCAACAUAGCAUUUUGCUGAGGAAACAAAGCAAGAAAUGCAAAAUGAUUAACAAAGAUGGCCAAAAGAGUUCAGAGAGAAAGCCAGUUAAAUGUUAUCAGCAGUGGUCCUGGAAGGUGGUGGUUAGACAUGGACACUCAAGGCUAUCAGGUUUAGAAAACUGGUAGGUCAGUCCUGGAAGACAGGCAUUGUGCAAAAACAGUUCUUGGAACCAUNNNNNNNNNNNNNNNNNNNNNNNNNNNNNNNNNNNNNNNNNNNNNNNNNNNNNNNNNNNNNNNNNNNNNNNNNNNNNNNNNNNNNNNNNNNNNNNNNNNNCUCUCUACCACCAAAGAUUAGAUUCAGUCAGAUCUAGACAAACUAAUAAUUGAAUAAGUCGGCUAAGAAUCUCGGUAGAGAGAACUUCAAGAAGGAGUAAUGUCCAAGAGAGGAACCUACUGCUCCUCGGUGAAGUGCAGCAGAUAGUGUUGUAUAUGGUCCCAUGUGAAACAAGUCAUACAGUCUUUAAAUAUAAUAGUACACAACAUUCUCCUUAUUUUGUGAUUUAUGUGAGACAACAGAAAGCUGGCUAGGCUACUGUUGCUGUAGUUGAUAUGUAUAGCUGCCUAACCUUGAAAGAUUAUUUAACACAUUGUGUUGCAAUUAGUGAUGUCGGGAACAUAAAAUUUUCGGUUCGCAAACGCGAACUUCCUCAAAUGUUCGCGAACCGGCGAACCGGGCGAACCGCCAUAGACUUCAAUAGGCAGGUGAAUUUUAAAACCCACAGGGACUCUUUCUGGCCACAAUAGUGAUGGAAAAGUUGUUUCAAGGGGACUAACUGUGGCAUGCCGGAGGGGGAUCCAUGGCAAAACUCCCAUGGAAAAUUACAUUGUUGAUGCAGAGUCUGGUUUUAAUCCAUAAAGGGCAUAAAUCACCUAACAUUCCUAAAUUGUUUGGAAUAACGUGCUUUAAAACAUCAGGUAUGAUGUUGUAUCGAUCAGGUAGUGUAAGGGUUACGCCCGCUUCACAGUGACAGACCAAACUCUCCGUUUAACGCACCGCAAACAACCGAAAACAGUCCAUUUGCACAACCACAAACUCCCCAUUUGCACAAGGUUGGAUACCAAGUUAGCCAUGUCCCGUUCCUUGUCAUCAUUGAUGUCAUUGAAGGUCUCUUCCUCCACCCAGCCACGUACAACACGAAGGGUCCCCAAAAGGUGACAACAAGCCCCCGGGACGCCUGCUGUGUUUGGUCUUCCACCUCCUCAAAGCCACCUUCCUCCUCUGACUCCUCUUCUUCAGACUCUUCUCUCUGCGUUGUCUCUCUCUGCGUUAUUAUAAGGUGUGGACACUUGGUUGUCCUGUUCCUCGUCCUCAGUGAUCUCACUGAAGGUAUGUCCUUCCCCGCAGCCACAUACAAACCACGGGUACCAGAUAGGUGGCAAUGAGCAACCUGGGAUGCCUGUUGUGGUUGGUCUUCUUCCUCCUCCUCAAAGCCACAUUCCUACUCUGACUCCUCUUCCAGCGUUGCCGCAGGUCCAGCAAGCAAUGCUGAUAAGGCUGUUUCUGGUGGUGAUGGUGACCACAACUCUUCCUCUUCACGCUCAUCUAUGGCCUGAUCCAGCACUCUUCGCAGGGCACGCUCCAGGAAGAAAACAAAUGGUAUGAUGUCGCUGAUGGUGCCUUCGGUGUGACUGACUAGGUUUGUCACCUCCUCAAAAGGACGCAUGAGCCUACAGGCAUUGCGCAUGAGCGUCCAGUAACGUGGCAAAAAAAUUCCCAGCUCCGCAGAGGCUGUCCUAGCACCCCGGUCAUACAAAUACUCGUUAACGGCUUUUUCUUGUUGGAGCAGGCGGUCGAACAUUAGGAGUGUUGAAUUCCAACGUGUCGGGCUGUCGCAAAUCAAGCGCCUCACUGGCAUGUUUUUUCGCCGCUGGAUAUCUGAAAAGUGCGCCAUGGCCAUGUAGGAACGCCUGAAAUGGCCACACACCUUCCUGGCCUGCUUCAGGACGUCCUGUAAGCCUGUGUACUUAUGCACAAAGCAUUGUACGAUCAGAUUACACACAUGUGCCAUGCACAGCACAUGUGUCAACUCCGCUGUCACAAACCACUUUGCCGAUCUCCAGUUGGUGCGGAGUCAGCCACUGAUCCACCUGUGCGUUCAGGGAGGACAGGAGUGCUGGUCUGGUGUGACUCUCUGCUUUCAGGCAAGUCAACCCCAAGACGUGACACUGCCGUAUCCGGGAUGUGGAAUAGUACCUGGGGAGCUGGGGGGGUGCCGUUGAUGUGGAGCAAGACGCAGCAGCAGAAGAGGACUCAGCCGAGGAGGUUAUGGAAGAGGAUGGAGUAGGAGGAGUAGAGGAGGUGGCAGCAGGCCUGCCUGCAAGUCAUGGUGGUGUCACCAACUCCUCUGCAGAGCCACGCAUUCCAUGCUUGGCAGCCGUCAGCCGUCCAUGCUUGCCCCAACACUGUGUGCCAGACAUGUCAUUACUUCCUUUUGCACAAUCGAGUACAGGUUGGGGAUUGCCUUUUGUGCAAAGAAAUUUCGGCCGGGUACCUUCCACUGCGGUGUCCCAAUAGCUACAAAUUUUUUGAACGCCUCAGACUCCACCAGCUUGUAUGGUAAAAGCUGGCGGGCUAAGAGUUCAGUCAAGCCAGCUGUCAGACGCCGGGCAAGGGGGUGACUUUGUGACCUUGGCUUCUUACGCUCAAACAUGUCCUUGACUGUGGGCAGAUGAGCAGGAACUGCUCAAGGCGAGAGACGGAGGGGCGGAUGGUUGAGAGGGGGCAAGGAGGACAGCAGUGGUUAACGUGGCUGAAGAUGCUGGACCAGGAGGAGGAUGGCGGCUUUGAGUUUGUGUGCUGCUUGUACUCAUGUGUUGAUCCCAUAGGCGUUUGUGAUGUGCGAUCAUGUGCCUUCGCAAAGCAGUUGUACCUAGGUGGGUGUUGGACUUCCCACGACUCAGUUUCUUUUGGCACAGGUUGCAAAUGGCAUCGCUGUUGUCAGAGGCAGAAACACAAAAAAAAUGCCAUACUGCUGAGCUCUGCAAUGACGGCAUUCUGGUGGUGGCAACAGCAUGCGUUGAUUGGCGUGCUGUCUGGCUGACGCCGGGUGCCAAUGCAUGCUGUCUGAUUGUGCCACUAGCUCCUUGCAACGACCUCCCCCUGCUUCCAACUCGUCUCCUCCUCCUCCUCUCUGUCUCCCCAUCUGAACUUCCCCCUGUUCUUCUUCUCUUCUAGCGGGCACCCACGUGACAUCCACGGAUGCAUCGUCAUCAUCAACCACUUCACUUGUAUCUGACAACUCAGCAAAGGAAGCAGCAGUGGGUACAACAUCAUCAUCAUCACACCGUAAGUCCAUGUGUGUAAUGCUGCCUGACUGAGACAUAUCCCUGUUAUCAACAUCCUCUGGCAACAAUGGUUGCGCAUCACUCAUUUCUUCCAACUGAUGUGUAAAUAGCUCCUCUGACAUACCAAGUGAAGCUGCUGUGGUGCAAGUGUUGGUGGUGGCGGCAGGCGGGUAAGUAGUAACUUGAGAGGUGCCCGAAGCUAAGCUGGAGGAGGAUGGUGGGUCAAGGUUUCCGAGCGGAAGCUGUUGAAGAUUUGGUGUCCUGUGUUAGCCAGUCAACUAUGUCCUCAGAACUUUUCGAGUUCAGGGUACGUGGCCUCUGAACACUGGGCAUUAUUCUAGGGCUAAAGGGAAUCACAGCACCACAACCACGACGGCCCCUGCGGGGUGGCCUGCCUCUGCCUGUCAUUUUUUUCGAUUAGUGGUACUAUGCGUGCAAGCUACUGUGACAACAGAUAUGAGUGGCACUGUGCAGUGGCAGAAGUUGGCAGAGUAGACGCUGUAGGCCUGAUACACACGCUUGCAGACAACUAACUGCUAUUCAAUCUAUUACAGUCAAAAAAAUUUUUUUUUUAAAUGUACACUACUGUUACACCAGAUAUGACUUGCACUGGUGUGACACUGUGCCCUGGCAGGCCCUGAAACGCAGACGCGUGAAGAAAACUGACUGCUAUUAUAUUACAGUCCAAAAAGUUUUUUGUUUUUUUUUAAAUGCAAGCUAUUGGGACACCAGUGAGUGAGUGGUGGCACUGGGCAGGCCCUGAAACGCACACUCGUGAAGGAAACUGACUGCUAUUAUAUUACAGUCAAAAAAGUUUUUUUUUUUAAUUUUUUUAAAUGCAAGCUAUUGUGACACCCAGAGGCUGCUCUAGUCUUUAUGAGGCCUUAGGUGAAACUCGAACAUGAGGCCCCACUAACAAAAAAGUGUCACAUAUACACAUUGAUGCACAGUUUACCUGUGUAUGUGCCUGAGAGUGUGUCUGACAGAGAGUAUCCUUGUGUGUGAAUGUAUGUCUCUGUGAGCAUGUUUGUGUUUUUGUCUGAGACCCUAUGUGUAUGGGGUAGCUGCUUGAAGUGUGUUGUGUGUAUGGGGGGGGUUGAUGGUGAGAAGGAGAGACGGGUGAUGGUGAGAGACAGGUGAUGGUGACAGGGAGGUGAUGGUGACAGGGAGGUGAUGGUGUGGGGGGUGAUGGUAAUGUGAGGCUGAGGGUGUGGGGGACCGAACAGUGGAUAUGUUCGCCAUCCGUGGCGAACGCGAACAAGCGAUGUUCGCCAGGAACUAUUCGCUGGCGAACCGUCCGGGACAUCACUAGUUGCAAUACAUCAUGUUCAUCUCUUUCUUUUGUAGUGCCUAAUCAAAGUAUGUAUAGAAUAUUUAAACAAGCUCACAGUUAAGAAGACUAAUUAUGUUUAUUAAACUCUUUACUUGCUGACUGUUUGCUAUAUUCUGGCAUUGAGACCAUUCUAAUUUGAGGAAGUUCUUGUUUUGCCUUUUGACCUUUCCCUUAACUUAUAACAUCAUGGGAGAUCUUUGCAUAAAGCUAGUGAUGAUUAAUGAUGUACCGAACGGUUCGCUGGCGAACGGUUCCUGGCGAACAUAGCAUGUUCGCGUUCGCCAAGGCGGCCGAACAUAUGCGCGGUUCGACCCGCCCCCUAUUCGUCAUCAUUGAGUAAACUUUGACCCUGUACCUCACAGUCAGCAGACACAUUCCAGCCAAUUAGCAGCACAGCCUCCCUAGCAGACCCUCCCACCUACUGGACAGCAUCCAUUUUAGAUUCAUUCUCAAGCUGCAUGCUUAGUAAGAGGAGGGAAAGUGUAGCUGCUGUUCAUAAGAUAGGGAAAAGCACAGCUAGGUUAGGGAUAAGGGGCGUUUUUUAAUUUAUUUUUUCUAUGUAAUUUAAUUGCACUUAGUUGCCACCGCUGCCAGCUUCUGUGUCAGGCUCCACAGUGCAUAUUGUCUAUUUUCCUGAGUCAGUGCCAACACAUCUGAAACAAUAGCUUGAUUUAAAACAAAAAACUUUUUCACUGUUAUAGAUUGAAUAGCAGUUAGUUAUCUUCGGGCAGGUGUGUUACGCUAACAGUGGAUACGGUGACCAGUGCCACCACUUAGAUCUGGUGACACAAAGCUUGGAUUUAAAAACAAAACACUUUUUUCACUGUUAUAGAUUGAAUAGCAGUCAGUGUCCUUAAAGCGGGUGUAAAGCGGGGCAUUAUUCUAGGGCUAAAGGGAAUCACAGCACCACAACCACGACGGCCCCUGCGGGGUGGCCUGCCUCUGCCUGUCAUUUUUUUCGAUUAGUGGUACUAUGCGUGCAAGCUACUGUGACAACAGAUAUGAGUGGCACUGUGCAGUGGCAGAAGUUGGCAGAGUAGACGCUGUAGGCCUGAUACACACGCUUGCAGACAACCAACUGCUAUUCAAUCUAUUACAGUCAAAAAAAAUUUUUUUUUAAAUGUACACUACUGUUACACCAGAUAUGACUUGCACUGGUGUGACACUGUGCCCUGGCAGGCCCUGAAACGCAGACGCGUGAAGAAAACUGACUGCUAUUAUAUUACAGUCCAAAAAGUUUUUUGUUUUUUUUUAAAUGCAAGCUAUUGGGACACCAGUGAGUGAGUGGUGGCACUGGGCAGGCCCUGAAACGCACACUCGUGAAGGAAACUGACUGCUAUUAUAUUACAGUCAAAAAAGUUUUUUUUUUUAAUUUUUUUAAAUGCAAGCUAUUGUGACACCCAGAGGCUGCUCUAGUCUUUAUGAGGCCUUAGGUGAAACUCGAACAUGAGGCCCCACUAACAAAAAAGUGUCACAUAUACACAUUGAUGCACAGUUUACCUGUGUAUGUGCCUGAGAGUGUGUCUGACAGAGAGUAUCCUUGUGUGUGAAUGUAUGUCUCUGUGAGCAUGUUUGCAUUUUUGUCUGAGACCCUAUGUGUAUGGGGUAGCUGCUUGAAGUGUGUUGUGUGUAUGGGGGGGUGAUGGCGAGAAGGAGAGGCGGGUGAUGGUGUGGGGGUGAUGGUAAUGUGAGAGUGAGGGGGGUAACGUGAGAAGGAGGAGGGGAGGUAAUGUGAGAAGGAGGAGGGUAAUGUGAGAAGGAGGAGGGCUGGUAAUGUGAGAAGGAGGAGGGCUGGUAAUGUGAGGAGGAGGAGGGGGGUAAUGUGAGAAGGAGGAGGGGGGGUAAUGUGAGAAGGAGGAGGGGGGUAAUGUGACAAGGAGGAGGGGGGUAAUGUGAGAAGGAGGAGAGGGUAAUGUGAGAAGGAGGAGGGGGUAAUGUGAGAAGGAUGAGGGGGCAAUGUGAGGAGGGGUGAUGUGAGAUGGAGGAGGUGAUGGUGAGGGGGGAUUGAUGCUGAGGGUGGUGGGCGUGGUGAGGGGGUGAUGCUGAGGGUGGUGGGGGUAGUGAGGCUGAGGGUGGUGUGGNNNNNNNNNNNNNNNNNNNNNNNNNNNNNNNNNNNNNNNNNNNNNNNNNNNNNNNNNNNNNNNNNNNNNNNNNNNNNNNNNNNNNNNNNNNNNNNNNNNNUAGAUAGGUGCAACUGGGUUGUAGGGUAGGAAGGGUCAAACAAGAUAUCUUCUUGGAUGCUGGUCUUCAGACACUUGGGCUCCAGGUUUCCUAUUUUAUGUAGUCUCCCUUUGAAAUUUACAAGGUUGAUCUUGGAUAUCAUUUAAGCUCCACAUUUGAAACAAUAUUGGGCAAUAUUACUCUGUUAUUAAUUACUACACGUUACUUGGUGAGCUUGUAGCACUUUGUACAUGUGCAUUACAUUGGUAUUUAAUUCAUGAUUGCCCUCAUAAAUCUGCAAGCAAAAUCUCAGCAGCUGAAUGAGCCAGUACUGUAUGGGUAUGUUUCGUCUUUCAGCAUUCUAUAAAUGUAUGUUAAAUGUUUCCUUAGAAUAAAUGAUGCAAAAUGUGGCCCUCCUGUGUAGUUACUUUGUUGUACUUCCAGUGUUUCUCCACUGAGAAUUGGGUUUUCUAAAGGAGUUGGUAAUUCCCACAGCAAAAUCGUUAAUGCAAGUAUCACCUAGGGAAAAAUGGUAAGGGGCUUUGUUUGGCUCAUUAUGUCUGUGAGAUCAUUAAGGAAAUGUUUACAUCCUGUUAAUGUCAGAUGUUUUGGUAUGCAGGGCAAGUGAAUAUUAGUCAUGUUUCAAUAUUCGUACGAUCUUUUUACUUCCAAAGGGAAACCCAAUAUCAUAGCAGCCAAAGAGUUAGCUAAAGAGGAAACGUUACAUCAGUGGGGAAGUUGCAAUCUAAGAGCUAACUACAAAUUCCUAACUUUUGUGUUUGUGUAACACUUUUUUUGUGCACAAUACAAACCUUAAAUAUCCUGUGAUAUCAUGCAUGUAAAGGCACCUGUGGUGUAAGGUAAUUAUGGAAAAAUUACGCCUGGCAGCGAAGCAUGCACUGAGCAUUCUGGGAACGUACAGCUGCAGAAAGCCCGGAACCUCCACCAGAGAUAAUUUUGUUUUGGCUCGCUUCUGCUGCAUGCCUCACUCCAAUAAAUGGCUUCAAAAGCAAUUUGUGAAGAGAGGAAAAAGGGACAGUGAAAGGUAAAUAGUAGGUCCUCUUUAUGUGCAAAUUUAAUAAUUUUUUGGUAAAUUCUGCUAAAUAAACUUGGAAGUUGUGCAAGAAAAGUGUCAAAGAAAGUUGAGGCUCAGUUAAUAUGCAAAUGAAAAAUGAAAUGCAAUAGCCAUGCUUGGAAAACUCAUAUAAGGAAUACAUAAGAUUCCAGCUAGUCGAUAGUUGUUGCCUUAAAGCAGGGGUGCCCAAUAAGUAGAUCCCCAGAUAUUGUAGAAUUACAUCUCCAACGAUGCCUUGAAUGCCUCUAGAAUGUAUUUAGAAUAACAAAGCAUCGUGUAGUUUUAAAACAUCUGGCGAUCUACUUUUUGGGCACCUCUGCCUUAAAGUAUGUCUAAAAGAAGUAGGUUAUAAUAUGCAAUUUGAUGACAGAAACCCUUACUUGUAUUUACCUAUUGUGUGUUAUAAUAUCUGCAGAGGAAGUGACUGUAAUAGGUCAUAUAAUCGUUUCGAAAUACAUUAUCUCAUUUUACUAUUUCUGUGUGGUGUCCAGUGGCGGAUCCAGGGGGGGCAACGGGGCAAUUGCCCCCCCCGAGAAAUCCGCCGGUCUCCCUCCCCUGUCAGCACAUGCAGGCGCCAGCCCUGCAAUGUGCCUGCGGACCGGAGGGGAGAUCAGAGCUCUCCCUCCCCGGUCCGCAGGCACUGUGCUGACAGCCGGCAGGGGAGGGAGAGGGAGGACCCGGGAGCUCAGCCUGCAGCUCCUCCGGGUCCUCCUCUCGUGAGAUUUGAAGCGUUGCCGCGGUGGCAACGCUCCAAAUCUCGCGAGAGUGAACUCUAGCCCGGGAGCGUGGGCUAGAGUUCACUCUCCACACUGGGACCACCAAUGGGAAUCCCCCACCGGACCACCAGGGAAAUGUCCCCCCUCCCCCCAGUAAAGGUAAGAAGGGAGGGGGGACAUAGGAUAUUCAUUCACACAAACUGCCCCCCCAUUCACACAAACUGCCCCCCAUACACACAAACUGCCCUAACACACAACCCCCCCAUACACAAACUGCCCCAUACACACAAACUGCCCCUAUACACACAACAUACACACUAAAUACACCCCUCAUACACACAACUGCCCCAUACACACAAACUGCCCUUCAUACACACACACUGCCCCCCAUACACACACACAUACUGCCCCACAUACACAUACAUACUGCCCCACAUACAUACUGCCCCACAUACAUACUGCCCCACAUAUACACACUGCCCCCCAUACACACACAAACUGCCCGCCAUACACACACAAACUGCCCCCACAUACACACAUUGCUCCCCCAUACACACACACAUUGCUUCCCCAUACACACACACACACACUGCCCACCCAUACACACACACACUGCCCCCCCAUACACACACACACACACUGCAUCCCUGACAUACACUGCCGCCCUCACUCACACACUACAACCUUCACACACACACUGCACCCCUUACACAUUGCACCACUCACACACACCACUGCUCCUAUGCCCUACUACAGCCCCAUUUCCCAGCAGAUCUCAGGUAAGUUGUCAAACUGUUCUUAAACGGUUUGACUACUUACUGUGGGAGGGGGUCCCGGCACUAUUUACACCAUAACCACUACACUGAGCUGUAGUGGUUAUUGUGUCUGGAUUAUUUCUUUAAAUAAUCUACAAGUGCCCCUCCCGAGAUCAGGCUCUGGAUCUGCCACUGGUGGUGUCUGGUGUACAGUUUUUCUUCUUAAAGUCUGUUUGUAUUUGAAUGUCUUCCUGCUGAAUAAUAGAUUAAAUAUUAUUUAUGAUUCUACACGACAAGUCAUUUAGACAGCUGGGUUUGGGCCUUUGAUGAAAUUUGAGAUAGACGUGCAAUAGUGAGACAGCCUUGUCAAAUUUUAAAUAAUUUUUCCUUUUUAAUAGAUAAAGAAAUUGCAAUGCCAUAACAGGCAUCAAACCCCAGUUUCCCUUCAUAUGUUGGUUUCUAAAAUUUGAGGUUGCUAGUCCUAUUAAUUUUCCAAGUAUCCAUAAAUCUCUUAAGUCCAUAUGGCUUUACUGAUAUAAUUUUUUUUGCUAAUAACAUAGUUUCCCAUAUUAUUAAAUUAUUCAACUUUUGCAUGGUUAAUUAGAUUGUUCUAAGGAUAAUUUCCAUCGGAUUUGUUCCAUGUCUACAUUAUUACUAUAACUAAGUCAGAUAAGGACAAUGUAGCAUGCUUGGAUUGCUAUCAAAAUCCAUAAAACCAUUUUAAAACUGAUAUUAGGAUACAAGCAGAUGUAUCUGCUGCAAAAUGUAAUAACAUUUUUAUUUUGAUAUUUAAUGACUUGGUGGAGUUAGGAUUGCCACCUUUGUUGGAAAAAAAUACCAGAUAUGUUAGCUUGCAUAAUGAGUGUAUAUGUAUGACAUCACAGGACGCAAUGUCACCUGGUGCUUUGUAAAAACUCAGGGAGUAACAUAAAAGAAAAAAAAACAUUUGGAAAGGGGAAAAUUUCCUAAAUCACUCAUAAACCAAUUACAAUGUGUGUACUUUGUCUAAUUGUGUGUGUAGCGUUGUGCAUGUGAAUGAGUGUGUAUAGUAGUGUGUCAUUUGUAUAUAACAGUGUGCGCAUACUACUGUCUGAAAUUGUUGCCUGUGUGUGUGUCAUUGUCUGUAUACUUUGUCUAAGUGUAUGUAUAACAGUGUAUGCAUACUGUGUCUGUGUGCCUGUCUCAAUGUCUUUGUAAAGUGAGUGUGUGUGGAAGUGUGUGUUUGCUGUGUCUUUGUGUGUUAGUCUGUGUUUAUAGCAAUGUUUGGACAUGCCAUGUAUAACAGAGACAGAUAGUCUGGCUAUACUUUAACCACUCUCCCAGAGUCCCUUCAAAGUAAAACACCGGCCUUGGCAUUGCUGGUAUUUUUGCAAUACCGGCAUUGGCCAUACAGCCUCAAAUACUGGCUGUGACGCCAGAAUACCAGCAAGGUGGCUACACUACACUCCUAUUACUUCCCCAUAAUGGAUUGGCCCAAGUUAAGGCUUUACCUUUAAGUUGGUUCAUCAAGUAACCAAUCUUAGCUCUAUCCGUGGGAAAAGAUCCCGGUGAGGCCUCAAAGUGGUACUCAAUCUGAUUGAGAAAUCCCCGGCAUUCUUGGAUAUACCCAUCAAAAUGUGGGGGAGGAGAUAGGGAGAUAGUAGGUGCCCUAUAUACUAUAGGUGGAGGUCCAGUAGGCAGAGGUGACAUAUUCGGAGAAACAUCAGGGUGGAAAUGAGCCGUCCGAGUAAGAAGCGUACUGAAGGCCUGAGCAAAUUGAUCCAUAUGGUGAUCAUUCUCCUCUAGCUUUCUCUCGCAAGCUGCUAUGUGCUGACACAAUUCUGCAGGUUCUAGGGCCCUGUUGUAAUGUCAGGAUUACUGUUCAUCCAGCACCCAGAAAUAGUAUCACACCUUGGACUAAGGAUAACGUAUAACCAGACCUUAGAAUGGCCGGACUUAACGUAACCAAGAAUAGUCAAAAUACUUGCCGAGGUCGGGGAUACAGAGUGAGACACAACAAUCAGGGAAAGCCAAAAGUCAAGGAUACCAGAAAUCAGGGAAGUCAAACGAAGCCAAAGUCAUAUACCAGAAAUACAAAGAUCAAGAACACUCUCUCGGAUAACCAGCUAAGGGAAACCACGACAGGGCACUGAACAAAAGGUAAUUUGGGUUUAAAUAACCCUCCUAAAGCUGUAAUUGGCUAUAUGUGACCUACGUGCCUGCAUGUCUAGGACGUGACGUCGCACUCAUGUAAGCGCCAUUUUUUAUAUGGGCAAAGGCUAUUUCUUUAUUUAAAAUGGAACCGCAGUGGCUGGCGUCUCUGUUAACGGCGCACACGGAAGGGGAACGGGAUGGAAAGAGGUCGGGUUUUGAUCUGCCAUGGGUAAGAUGAGUAUUUGUUAUUUCUGUCAGCGUGACCGCUGUUUUUCAGUGUGGCCACGCCGACAGAAACCCGCAGCACCGUGACAAGGGUCCCCCGGGUUCCAACAGUAAGGGGGGGGAUUGGUGGUGGCAUCGAAGCUACUGGGUUAGGUCUCUAUGGUAAGCAAGUCUAUUUUACAGGUCCUUAUUGGUCCUUGGGCUUCCAGUACAUGGUGGGGGGGAGAGAAUUGCAUAGUUCAUGCAGUGAUCAGCUGCUCUCCGGGAAAGGCGGCCUGUAAGGCGAUGUGAGUAUUCGCUGCUGCUACGUCAGACCCCUGGGGCAAAUUUUUCUUCUUGGGGUGGCGAGGAGAAUGUGGUCUUUCUUGAGUUUCUUCUCUGUUUCUCGGGAUGGUUGGUAUAUCUAGUAGUUGUAUUCCCACGGAGUCCAAAAAGGGCUCCAUCUCUGAAGCGCUGGAGAGGAUGCGAGUUUGUCCGUUUUUCUUCACGAUGAGUUUGAAUGGGAGUCCCCACAUGUAUUUCAGCCCAUGUUGGUGAAGGGCUAGCGUAAGGGGUUUGAAGUCCCUUCUUUUCUUGAGCGUGGUUGGGGCUAAGUCCUGAAAGAAGGUCAGGUGGGAGUCCUGAUAACGCGGUAGGUGAUCUCUAGCUUUUCUUUCACAUAAAAAUAGUGGAUGCAUAUGAUCGCGUCUCUUGGGCUCGUGGUGUUGAUGGCUGGAGGACAUAGUGCCCUUUGAGCUCUAUCCAUUUCCAUGUCUGUGGUGGAGAGCUCAGGGGCCAUGGAUUUGAAGAUGUCACUGAGCGUGGGGUUAAGUAACUCGGAGUAACCGUCUCUAGCAGGCCUCGGAUGCGGAUAUUGUUGCAUCUAGAUCUGUUAUUGAGGUCCUCAAGUUCAUCUUCAAUCAUGGAUAAUCGUCCGUGGAAGUAGGUGAUGUCUUGACCCUGGGCAGAGGUGGUAUUGGAGAGUUUUCAGAUCCUGGCCUCUAUUUGGUUGGUGCACGAGGCCAAGGCCUCCAUGUCUUCCUUAAGGCCUGUGAUCUGUUUACCCAACUCCGUGGCCACAUGGGCCUUGAUAUCCAUUAUGACAUCCCUUAACAUGCUACGGAGGACUCAGAUGGUGAGGGGAGCCGCUGGGUCAGCCUCGGUGUCAUUCCCUUUUGACUCUGAUCUCAAGUCUUCUGUGCGUUGAGAGUUGGUAGGCCUCCGCUUAGUUAGUAGUCAUAUAUGUAUAUUAAUUAAAAGGAUGCUGCAAGCACCAUAGCCACUACAUAUUGUAGGAACCAUAACCACGACUAACAAGCAAUCAGAAUCACUUCAGUGUUUUAUAACAAUUUAAAUGGGGCUGACCCUUUUCUCUGAAAAAGUUCAACAAUGUCAUCUAUUGAGAUAUAUAUAUGAUAUGAUAUAUAUAUAUAUCUCAAGAAAGUGAAUCUUUUCCAAACUCAUAUCAUUUGAGAAAACAAAGCAUUAUGUAGCCUAUCAAAAUAGAGAUUCUAAAUACAUUUAUAUUUCUAUAUAACAUUGUUCAUCAUGGUCCCUAGCUUUGCUGCAGUCUUUCCAUUGGGAAAUGGUUUAUAUAAAUUAAAUACUGAAUCAUGCCACAAGUCUAUUAAUAUGUGUUUGUGACUGAUCGAUAGGGGAUUUCUGUGCUAGAAAAUAUUUGAAUUAAAGAGGAUACGGAACAAGGAUAUAUAUCAAAGUAAUAAAAUAAAUAAGAAUAAUAUUAAUAAAAAUAAUAAUAAUAUAAUCAUUGUAUUUCUAGUAAAUUUGAAAGUACACUGGUGUUGAUCUAUUCAUUUCAUCCAUACAGGAAUAAAAAUAUUCUGUGAAUACUCUGUGAGGUGAAAUAGCAAUAUCAGUAAUGCAACCUGGGUCAAAACAAACGCAACAAUGAGCAAACAAACACAGACAAAAAACAAACCACAGUAAAGCACUGAAUAUUGGGUCAGACAGUUCCUGCAUGGUUGUCAUUUGUUUAUGUGGAAUGAUCCAAGUGUGCAUGCGCUGUUCCAGUGUUUGAGUUUGGCACAGCCAUUCGGUAUCACCAAAACCUCUCUGGAAAGAGAGAUACUGUGUGAGAGAGCAGCAUUGAAUACACUGCCAUGGGGGAAUACCACAGGCCUCAUUAUGAUAGUCUUUAUACGUGUGCCGUUUUAUACAGAUUAUUUUGUGGGCAGUUUUUGGUGUAAGUAUAAUGUUAGCAAACGGUAUGAAACUAAAAGGUUUAUCCACUAAACUCUAAAUUAUAUCACUGUUUAGUACAUUUGUUUGAUGAAAGAAUAAAUAUGGAGUUCAGAUUGUAUUUAUUUAUUAAUAGUCUUAUGUACAUAACAUACCCUAAAUGCAUUAAUUCACAGAACAAAGAAUUGUAGUAAAAUAAAUACUGUAAAAGCAAAUUUAGCUUAGUUAUGGUGCUUGGGUGUUCUUUUAACUGUCUUUUAUUUUGUUUGUUUGUGGUACGGAUUAGGAUCCAGGAGAACUGCAUUGGGUGAGGCAUUUUGGCUGUUUUAUGCUUUUAUUUUGGGAUUUAAAAAGCAAAUUUAGCAAUUUAGCAAACUUUCCUAAUUGUUUUUAUUUUGUGAUAAAUGGUCAAAAAUAUUAUACUAACAGGGCUCUUCACUAAAUUGAGAAUUCAAAGUGAAUUUCAUAUUGAAAGCCAAGGAAGCCAAACUGAAAGCAGUUCAGCUACUUUGACCUUAACUCUGAAAUUUGAAUUCACUAUAAUUCUCACUUUAGUGUAUAACCCUGUAUAAUGUUUGUGUGUAUAUAAGUAAACCACGUUGAUAGUUUACAUUAAGGCACCAACACUCCUAAACUGAGAGGCUACGCAAUCAUGGCUCCAAGAAUGUAUGGCUCCAAGAAUUUUAUUAUGAAGAUGAGUCUGUCUUCCCUUGACCUGUAUUCUUCAAGUGGUUUAUACAGCAGUAAUUCUGACUGUACCCCGGGAGUUUGCAAUUGUAGAGUAGAUGGUGUCACAAACUAUAUAUACAAUUACACAAAGCACAUCUUAUUAGUAACAUUAAAAUUAAGAGACACACACAAAGCACAUUACACACACAUGGUACACACUGUAGAUACAAAUACAUGCACAAAGUGAACAUAAAUUACACUUACAUAGUCCGUAAUACAAAAUACACAUGUAACAUGCUGUCACAUUCUACACAUACAUAAUAUUGAUACAUACAUGCAUGCAGAUACUUACAUGUUCAGAAGCAUUCAUUCCACGUACAUGGGCAUUCAGAUACAUUCCACAGGUAGAGAUGUCGCGAACCGUCCGCGAACUUCUCGCGAACGGUUCGCUGCGGUUCGCGGCGAACUGUUCGCGGCGAACUCCGGUCAGCUGACAUAUCCCGGCCAAUCUCCAGCAGACCCUCCCUCCCAGACCCACCUACUUCCUGGACAGCAUCCAUGUUGAAGCUGCCUUCAACAUGGAUGCUGUCCAGGAAGUAGGAGGGUCUGGGAGGGAGGGUCUGCUGGAGAUUGGCCGGGAUGUGUCAGCUGACUGGAGUUUGCCGCGAACCGCGGCGAACCGUUCGCGAGAAGUUCGCGGACGGUUCGCGACAUCUCUAUCCACAGGUACAUGCUGACAGAUGGAAGUUUAGAGGAAGGGGGAGCUUUGAAUGUAAAAUCUGUACAUUAAUACACAAAUACAUUAUUGUACAUGCAGACUCUGCGUGCUUGUAUUCCUUUGUUGCAUGCGUGAUUUUCUGGGCAAACGGAAUUAAAAACCUAACAAAUACUUUGAAGCUUUAUAUUUGGACUUAUUAUUACUAAUUAUAUUUAUAGAUGUUUUAUAAAUAAUACAUGGAAACAGUCUAAUAAAUGCAAAUAGAUUAUCCCCCCAAAAAUGUUUUUUUUCAUAGUCAUACAGGAAACAUAAUGUAGUUCAUUAGUCCAAUAACGGCAUGUGUUGUUGUUACCUGAACUGACUUUGUUCUAGUACUGACUGUUCAAUCAAACUGAUGUUUUGUGUUUGGCAUUUGGAUACAGACAUAAUAGUCAUUUCCUCUAAAAUGGAUUUACUGAAUACAUUUAUACAUAAAGUACUCUUGCCACAUGUUAUCGCUAGCCCUGCACAAGAAGGAAAUUAAAGUUAAAACAAAAAUAUAUUAAUAUCAUGUGUAUGCAUGCUGACUUUAAUGUUGGAGUAAAUUACAAUCCAGCAUCGGCAUUUGAUAGAUUUUUUGAUUUUUUUUCAUUUGACUGGCAUUCCAUCAGUGUAUUCAAGGUGCUAACAAGCCAACAAAUUCACAAACUGUUUUUGAAGUUAAAGGGUAGUUAAGUUAAAACUUGACAGUGUCACUCUGAAAUUGAGUGGUUCCUGACAAACUACAUGGAUCCAAAAUUGAUCUGGCCUGCUUAUUUUACCUUCUUCAUAGUACAUUACUGAUGAUCGUAGGUGAAAUAUAUUGUCAUUAUACUGUUGUAUUCUAAAUCAAUAGUGAUAUUCAUGUAUCCUUUAAAGGAACACUACAGCAUCAAGAAUACAAACAUGUAUUCCUAACGCUAUAGCAUUCUACCACGACUUAGAUUUAUGGCUCCACUAAUCAAAUUAAAAACAUAUUGGGGGAAAAAAAGGCUUUUAUUUGCCCUUUUUUCUAGCUGCUACUCAUUCUGAACAGCCUGCUCUACUUCCAGUGAUGUCUUCCUUCAGGCUGUCUCCUGUUUGUCUUCUCGUACAAUCCAAUGCGUCAUAUAGAGAAGCUUUGGGGACGAGAAGCACAUGCGUGCUGAGUGCCGCAUUAGUCCAAUCAAAUGCUUCUCAUAGGGAAGCAUUGAAUCCAAUGCUUCCCUAUGAUUACCAUUUGAUGAGGUUUGACAUUGAAUGUCACAUAACCGGGUCACGGUCGGUUAUUGCAGAAUAAACACACUCUUGUAGCUCUUAGGAAGACAGCCACUAGAUAUUUGUUCAGCUUUGCAAUGUAGACAUUGAUGUAUCUUCAAAACAGCAUUGUUUUAUAUUGUAGGACAACAAUUAUGGGACUUCUGCACUCAGACCACUUAAUUGAAAUAAAGUAUUCUGAGUGCGUUUAGUGGUCCUUCAAGCAAAUAUAAACUGGGCAUUUUUCUUCUUCUUCUUCUUCUUUUAUUAUUUAUAAAGCGCCAACAAAUUCUGUAGCGCUGUACAAUGGGUGGACUAACAGACACAUAAUUGAGAUCAGACCACUGGAUGUACAGGAACAGAGGGGGUUGAGGGCCCUGCUCGAUGAGCUUACAUGCUAGAGGGAGUGGGGUAUAGUGACACAAAGGGUUAAAGUAGGGAAUUAAAUAGUUUGUUAGAGAAGGGUUUAUUGAGUGCUUGGUAGGUCAUUUCUGACAGUUGCAGGAAAGGAGUCAUGAGGUGGGGGAUGAGAAACCUGCUGACAGUUUAAUUGAUACGCUUUAAUGAAGAAGUGAGUUUUCAAAGAUUUUUUGAAGGAGUGGAGGCUGGGUGAAAGUCUGAUUGAGGAGGGAAGGGAGUUCCAUAGAAUAGGUGCAGCCCUAUAGAAGUCUUGAAGGCGAGCAUCAGAGGUGGGGAUCCGGGCAGAGGAUAGGCAUAGGUCUUGGGCUGAGCGCAGGGGUCUCGACGGGACAUAUUUGUGUAUGAGGGAGGAUAGGUAUGUUGGAACAUCAUUAUGUAGGGAUUUGUAAGCAAGCGCCAGAAUUUUGAAUUGGGCCCUAUAUCUAACUGGAAGCCAAUGCAGGGACUGACAGAGCGUGGAGGCGUGGGAGGUGCGACCGGACAGGAAAAUAAGCCUUGCAGCCGCAUUCAUUAUAGAUUGCAGCGGUGCAAGCUGGGAACAUGUAAGACCGGUGAGAAGGGGAUUGCAGUAGUCAAGGCGAGAGAGAACAACAGCAUGAACCAGUAGAUAUGGGCAGAUGCGCGCUAUGUUCUUGAGUUGGAAGCGACAGGAUUUGGCUGUCAAUUGAACAUGGGGAGUAAAAGAGAGAUCAGAAUCAAAAAGAACCCCUAGGCAGCGAGCCUGCGAGGUAGAGGUGAUAGUAGCACUAUUGACUUGGAUGGAGACAGACACAGGAGUAGCAGCACUUGAGGGAGGAAAAACUAGAAGUUCUGUUUUGGACAGGUUGAGUUUAAGGAAGUGAGCAGCCAUCCAGUUGGAAAUAGCAGAGAAGCAGUCAGAAACACGAGUCAAGGUGGGCGGAGAGCGAUCAGGGGAGGACAGGUAGAUUUGCGUGUCAUCUGCAUAUAAAUGAUAUUGGAAGCCAAAGGAGCUGAUGAGUUUACCAAGGGAGGCAGUAUAGAUAGAGAACAGUAGGGGGCCGAGGGCAGAACCUUGGGGGACGCAGACAGAAAGGGGUUGGGGAGAAGAGGCAGAGCCAGAGAAAGAAACAUUGAAAGAGCGCUGGGAGAGGUAGGAGGAGCACCAGGAGAGAGCAGUAUCCCGUAGACCAAAGUUUCGGAGAAUGUGAAGAAGCUGUUGAUGAUCAACAGUGUCAAAGGCGGCAGAAAGAUCAAGGAGGAUUAGGAUAGAGUAUUGGCCGCGGGAUUUAGCAGCAAUUAAAUCGUUGGAUACUUUGGUCACAUCAGUUUCGACAGAGUGACCAGCACGAAAUCCAGACUGAAGGGGGUCAAGCAGAGAGUUGGAUUCGAGAAAGUCUGUCAAUCUGGCAUACACAACUCUCUUGAGGAUCUUGGAGGCAAAUGGCAGUAGCGAGAUAGGGCGGUAGUUGGAUGGGGAGUUGGGAUGAAGCUUGGGCUUUUUCAGAAUUGGGUUUACGGUUGCAUGUUUGAAGGUUGAGGGAAAUGUGCCAGAGGAAAGGGAGAGAUUGAAAAUGUUAGCGAGAGGAAGAGCAAGAGAGGGAGACAAAGUGCAGAUAAGAUGUGAGGGAAUAGUAUCGAGGGAGCAGGUGGUGGUGCGGGAGGACAGGAGCAGAGCAGAAACCUCUUGUGCUGUAGCAGGUGUAAAUGAGCAUAGGAUGGCAGGGGGAGUGGGGUUGGGUGAUGUAUUAAUAGGGGUAGGAGAGAGAUUAGAGAUCUCUUUCCUGAUUGUAGAGCUCUUCUCAGUGAAAUGAGAUGCAAAGUUGGUGGCGGACAAGGUAGUGGAAGGAGGGGGAGUCACAGGGCGAAGAAGAGCAUCAAAAGUGUGAAACAGGUGUUUGGGUUGAUGGGACAGUGUGCUUAUGAGGGUGUUGAAGUAGUUUACUUUUGCAGUGGAAAGAGCCAUGCUGUAGGAGCGCAGCAUAAAUUUAUAGUGGACAAAGUCAGAUGCAAAGUGAGACUUUCUCCAGCAGUGUUCAGCAGUUCUGGAACAUUUUUGGAGGUAACGGGUCAGCUUGGUGUGCCAGGGUUGUAGUUGGGGGUGCUUGCUGCGUUUAACUGUAGGAGGUGCCAUGAUGUCAAGUUGAGAGGAGAGAGUGGAGUUGUAGAGUGAGGUUGCAGAGUUAGGGCAGUUGAGAUUUGAGAUGGGUAAAAGGAGUGUUUGGAGUUUGGUGGAGAAGUGCUGGAGAUCGAGGGAGUUGAUGAGGUCAAGAUGAGGUCAAGAGUGUUUCCUGCAGUGUGAGUUGCUGAGGAAGAAAUCUGUGUGAGUCCAAAGGAGGAGGUUACAGAGGGCAGUUGAGCUUGUAGAAGAAAGAAAGCUAUAUGUAGUGGUUGUGGUGCAAAAAUCCUGUCCAAUCACUCACUGUAAAAAGGCAGUGUUCACAAUUUGUCCCUAAGAGCACCAUUAGUGGCUCUUACUUUCAUGCUGAUUAGUGAUUAUAGUGCCAGGAGUAGCCUGGUGCCGCACAUGUACGUUAUUGAACCAUUUUAGAGGUUAAACUGUUUUAGAGUGGUUUGACCACUUAUGAUGCGUAAGGGCCAAGGCACUUCUGGCACGAUAACUACUAUAGCACACUGUUAUGGUUAUGGUGUUCGGAGUGUUCCUGAAAUUUUGUCCACGGUACUAUACAGCAUUUAUCCCUUUCAAUCACUUAUUUCUUAAUAUCAUCAGGUUGACAAUCUAUGUUCCUUUCUCUUUAAUGGUUCUUUACUUAAAGGAUAAGAUGUUCUACAGUAAGGAUAUAAAGCUUGCCCAUAUUAUUAUUUCUGUGUCAUUAUUGCCUUAUCUCUAUACACUUUGCCUCUACUUAGGCUGAUUGAACGGACUUUAAAUGUCUGCUGAUAAUACAUUUGAAAGAUGUAAAAUUUAAAAUAAAAAUGUAAGUCCAUAAAUAUUGUAAUUAUUUGCAACCAUACACUUAAAUCAAUCAAGUAUUAUAUUUACAAGUUUAGUAUACAAUAGAGUAUGUUACUGAGGUUUUUUUUUCUCCUAUAGAUCAUAAGCUCCUUUGAGCAGGGUCCUCACCAACCUAUUGCUCCUGUAACAUUUUGUAAUUGUCUAACUUAUUGUUAAAUUUCCCUCUUUUAUAAUAUUGUAAAGCACUGUGGAAUAAGAUGGCGUUAUAUAUGCCAAUAAUAAUAAUAGGGCAAAUUAAAAAAAUGUUUUUACAAAAAAAUUUAGAUUUGUAUGCCUUAAAAUGUAUUUUUUUAUUGUUUUUUUAAAAACAAACAAACUUAUUUUCAAAGUUAUUUGCCAUGCAACGACAAGAGAGAGAUUCUCGCAAAUAUUUAGAGCGAUGGAUGAGAGCACAGUGGGGAUAUCAGGGAUACAAUUUAAUAAUUAAAAAUUUAUAUUACUGUUUAAACAAAUUCCAGCUCUAUGUGCAUUUACUAUAAAAUUCCAAAUAUUUGAGACAUGUAAAAUUUGAGUAGAGAACUAUUUUUACUGUUCACAAAUAAAAUGUUAAAAGGACAGUAAAACCUUUUCUAAUGCUACUUUAUAUGACAAAGUUAAUUAAGAGUGAUAGUCUACUUUUCAAUUUCUACUUAAUAUUUUUACACCAAUUGUUUCCUAGAUCAAGUGAAGAAGUGGCCAAUUGGGGGGGAAAGGAGGCAUAGUAAAAAAUGUAAUAUUUUUAGAUAUUUAUAUUCAUUUGAUAUAUGUUAUAUUGAAUAUUUAAAUUGAAUAUAUAAAUAUAUAUAUCUUUUUUCCUCUCUAUUGUUUACUUUCCCCUCUAUUGGUUACACUUAAUCUGUAAAUAAAAUCAACAUUUGGUGGCUGUCCCCAAACCACUAACAGAGAUUCAGAGUUGUGGAAUUUGGCUGAAUCUCCAACUAGCCCAAAAUUCAGACGAAUUGUGAUUCAUUUGAAAAUCAAAUGCUGAAAGCUAAUGAUUAUGGACUAUUGUUUUUGUUUUCUUUUUUCUUAUGUGUUUUGGUUCAGCCAUCCUUUAAACCCUAUAGAACAAGAUAGUGGUGAUCUUUCAAACCAGUUAUGACAUACCAGUAAUCCACUCCACCAUUUAUUUCAUAUUGCAAGUUUAGUAAUUAUCAUUUGUUUUUAUAUAUGCUCAUUUCACCUUGACAACUAGUCUAUGUUUAUACAAGAUAUAGAAUACACAAGGGGUUACCUGUACACAUUCACACUGUACAAGCUAUAAAUCUUUUAAACCUACAUAAAAAUACCUUUCUACAUUUUGUAGUCACACCUUAUGACCAUGUCAUGUUUAGCCAACUAUUCAUAUUUUAAAUAUAAGCUCUUUUUGACUAUGUUGGAAUUUAUUUCAAAUUCUAACGUAAUCCAAGUAUGUACGCAAGACAAAACAGACUAUUUUGUCAAUCUUUUUCAGUCUUAAAAAGGCAAAGUUUCCAUCACAAUUUUCUUAAUUCUCAUUUGAAUAGAUAUAAUCGUACACAAUGGGCAAUAGAUGAAAAGAUAACUUAUCACGCAUGUGCAAGAAUAGCAAUGGAAGAUCUUGAGAGAUAAUCCAUACAACCCAUUUUGUACUCCCAGGAUUACAUGUCCAAGAAAUUAAAUUUCAAGAAGAUGGAGGCAACUUUGUUGCUUUAUGUCUGUAUUUCCUUCUUUCCGUUUCCCUUUUAACCCCUUAAGGACACAUGACAUGUGUGACAUGUCAUGAUUCCCUUUUAUUCCAGAAGUUUGGUCCUUAAGGGGUUAAAGCUGUAUGUUAUGUAAGCUUGUAAGGAUAUACAAUUACGUAAUUCACAGCACUCACACUUCUAAUUAAAGCUUCUCCCUAACACAUUAGUAUUCAUCUGAUACCAGGUGCUUUUCCCACAUGUUACAAAAUGUUCUGCUGCCCUGACAGGUAGCAAUCAACUGUGAGACUACCCUGUUUGUUUUUUUUGACAAUCUUUAUUUAUCCAUUUUUUCCCCCCUUUGUUAUCGAGUAAAGGAGGGGGUUACAGAAAGGAAUAGGGGGAGGAAAGUCAUACAGUUGUUUGGGGUAUACAUUAGCAGUAGUAAACUUUCACAAUCACAUAGCAUAGUCUUGUGUUUACAUAUCACAAGGUAGUUGGGGACUGGAGGGUAUGCAUAGUGUUUAUUGCAAUUUACACCACUCGGUAUAGUUGUACGUCAUUUAUGGCUCUCGUAGUAUCAUACCCCAACUAUUUGGGUCUUCAUGGAGCCCAAGGGUGUGGUGUAAGCAAGGCAGGCGUGGGACCCCACCUGAGUCGGGAUGUCAACGGGCUGAGUAUGUGGGUGGGUCCGUCCGUAGCGGCACCUCCUCUUACGGCUCCGUUUUGGGUUUUUCGGUGUUGUAGUUGGAGCAACCGGACCCACCCCACCUGUGUCCAGGUGAACGUCCUUUGUAAAGUGUGUCCCUUUCUGCGUUUGGUAGGGGUUAGGUGGUUAAUACACCCCUUGAGUAUGUAUGCCAGGUAGGAGUACUGCCUGUGUGUAGUUGGGCUGAUCCUGGUGCUUGAGGUGGGGCCUAUUGUGCUGUUAUCUUCACAUUUGGGUCAUGUAUCUUUAGGCUUUUGGGGAGUCCUGUGUAUAUGUGUCUCUUUGCUUCGUUUUUUAGGGGUUCUAUCUACUGGCCUUCUACAGGUCCAUGCUUGGUAUAGCUCUCUCUUACAUUUGAGACUACCCUGUUAUGUAAAGUAGGCUUAUUAACCUAGAACACAUUUUUAUGCCAUUACAUUCACAUGCUAUAAAACAGGAGUAGGCAACCUCCGGCACUCCAGACCUUGUGGACCACAUCUUCCCUAAUGCUUUGCCAGCAUCAUGGCAGGAGAUGUAGUCAACAAUAUCUGGAGUGUCGAAGGUUGCCUACUGAUGCAAUAUGGUAUACCUGGUAACUUUGUAGGUAUUCUUGUACUCGCCCCUCCCAUUCUAUGGACAAAUGGAAAUGGUGGUUGUGGGUGACAAUGGAUAGAAAAUCAUAGCACUGCCUACGCAGAUCAUAGUGUGGAGUGCUAAAAGAAGUAGAAUUCCACAGGCGUUACAAUGUAGUGUGAAGGCAAAAAAAUUAUUUAUUGGAGAUCAAAAAGGACAAAAAAAGAUACAAUGUUUGGGCCUAGAGGCCUUAGUCAUGUAGGCCUCUAGGCUGAAACAUUGUGUCUUUUUUUGUCCUUUUUGAUCUCCAAUAAAUCAUUUUUUUGCCUUCACCAUACAUUGUGACACCUGUGAAACUCUACUUCUUGUUGUUCCUGGUGGGCUGCGAAAUCCCCUCCACAGAGCUCCUACUAAACUUACUUGUGUGCAGCACUCCUUUGACUUUAUGGUGCAGAGUGCUGCUAUUGAUGCAGUUUGGCAGGGGGCAGUUGGAUCUAAACGCCAUUCUCUGUUUACAGUUGGUAUUUCCUGGUCUGCUCUGGAGGCCCAGUAAUCAACUAGUCAGAUGUCAUACCUGAAGGACCUGAGCUAGAUCUGGCAAGCUACCAAAAAUUACAGUUACCGGCCCAACAUGUUUUCCUGUACACAUUUCUCUUGGAGAGCAUAUAAAAGCACUGUCUUGAAGUAUGUCGCUUUUCCCCCCAAGGGCAUUACAAUGAUUAAUUAAAUUCUCUCAGCAGCAUUUGAAUGCUCCAUACCAUAGGGCUGCAUACCUGUUGUGCCAUCUAUUAAAAAGCUAUAUGUGUGCAGGAACAGAUCAUGGGUCCAUGUUAUGUCACAAGUGGUUUAAAUGUGGAACACAACUGCAGAUUAUAAAUUUCCUUAUUUUUAUUAUAGAGAGUGAAAUGAGAAUCCUUUAAUUAAUAAGGUUACUGUAGCUUUAAGGCAGCGUGGCUUUUGCAGGUUGUUAGUUAAAGACAUAAAGCAUUAAUAAUUGUAAUAGUAUUUUAGUAGUAGCAGAUUUUAGCAAGCAGGUAACAGUUCAUUAGCAAAGUAAGAAUUCAGAGAUAGUAUCAAAUUAUAUACUUAUGAUUGUAGGGAGUUGUCCUCCAAAGACAGGUUAGUUUGAGUCCGCAGGAUGAUUAAACAUCAAGCAGUCCGGUUUCCAAUAAUUAGAAAGAGAGCAGUUAAAUCCAAUACACGGUCCGUGGUCAAAGGGAGAUGAGAAGGCAGGAUUCCGUUUAAACAGUCCAAGGUUCGGUACACGGUAUUAACGGAGAAGAGCCUAGCCGGCAAUGUGAUUGCGGAAGUAACAACCAGAAAUCACUAAGCAAUUUUGAAUCUGGCGCAGUCUCUCUAUAAGGCUUGAGAGAGCCGCAUCAGAGAGGGGACGGGGACGGUUCCGCAUACCGGAAAUGCCGGAACGGGGCUGAAAAGAUAAGUCCUGACAGUCCAAUAUAUCUACCAGGUAUGCUCGAUUGUUUAAUAAACUUAUUUUACAAAUUCCAGCAUGACAUUUUUAUUAAUGUGUUAAACAAUUUAGACACAAUAAAGAUUAUAUUAACUUUCAAAUAUAUAUUUUUAGAUAAUAUCAAGAUCUUCCCAUCAUUUAAGCCGUAAUGCAAAUAAAGUCUACUUACAGAACUGUGCCUUUUCUUUGUUUGUGUUCUUUUGAAAUGGCAAUACACCAUACCAUAAUUUUUUGCUAAUUGGGAAUAUCUGCUCUCGUCAAAAAUGUUUAGCAAACAGUAUGACUUGUUAAAUACAUUUCUGCAGCUGUAGCUUUUAUCUAAUUUAUUUGCCGUUUCAAAAAGGGCAAAAGCCAUCUGGAUUAUAUAACUUACAGUUUUCAAGACAGCUAAUGCUGGUUCAGAUUAAACACAGUCUUAAAACUAUCAAAGAUCUAUUUUAUAUUUACUUCUGUGCGUUUAUUUUUCAGAAAUCACACAUUUCAAGCAUAUUGUAUUUACAUGAACUAAUAAAAUAUGGUUUACAGCUCAGAGAAGCUUGUGUGAUAUUAACUGUGUUCUAUAAUUAAACCUAUUUACAUUUAAGCACAGUGUAAAAAUGGGAGGAAUCACAAAGAUUACACAAUCCCGUGCCUUAACAGUCAUCUAGAAAUUGAUUUUUUUUUUUUUAUCAUCAGCAGUAAAUAAAUUCAGAGCCUGAGGAGUAGGCAUCUUGUUCUGCUUUGGUAACCAGCCCGAAAGCUGGUUACCAAAGCAGAACAAGAUGCCUACUCCUCAGGCUCUGAAUUUAUUUACUGCUGAUGAUAAAACCAUGGAUACACAGAUCCAAGUAUCCCCUGCAGUUGCACUGGAAAAAGGGGUUGACCUCCCUCUGGACAUGCAACAAGAGGUGAAAGGCCUUGGGGGAACCCUGCGCCAUAUGCAAUCUACUCAAUCUGCGUUCCAAAUGAAACUGGACAUCAUGGAAGACCGUGGCUGGGUAACGAUAUCAAAAUUCGGGGGAUCCCAGAAAUAAUUGACUUGACCAAACUGCCACAUUACCUCCAUCAACUCCUCAUUAAGCUAUUGCCACAUGCCCAGGCAAAAAAGAUGUCAUUUGACUGCCACUCAGUCAAUAAAUCCAAACAGGCACCCUCCAUAGCCCCAUGGGACGUGACCAUCUGAUGCCAUUCUAUGCUAAAAAAAUAAAACAAUUUAUGGCCAGAGUGAGGGGCAAAGCCCCUUUCGACUUUGAGUCCUCCCAGCUUACCAUUUUCCAGGACUUGACAAGAAGCACAUUGCAAUGUGCUUCUGGGUUCGGUAACUGACCAGCUGCAAGAAGCUAAAUUGGAGGACAGAUUGGUACUGCCACAAGUCUUGGUGGUUCUCCUAGAUGGCACUGUAAGGAAACUUACCUUAUUUGGCUGAGGCAACAAUGCAGCCUCGAAUUCCCACACAUAAGACCCAGAAAGAUCUGUUCUGUUCGUCUUCGAGGUGGAGUGAGAGGGGAAACAUUGACCUGAACCACCUCUGAACUAUAGUCAUCAUCUAAUGUUAUUUUCUUUUCAAGUUUAUUCCUUGUUUUACUCGCCUGUCUCACCUGUGUUUAUAUAGACUAGGCUCCAUUUUUCUUGCCACUUGCUUUAGGGCACCCUAUCCGGUCCCAAGAGGGCUACAUGCUCUCAUUUUCUAAUAUACACCUCCCCAACCCCACAAUCUCAUAGGUUAGGGGUUGUAACUCGACUAAUAUUUUACAAAUAAGUUCUUUCAUAUUUCAAUCUCGAUUCAUACUUUAGUUGAAGAAUGUGAUGUAUAUGUACCGGGCCUGUUGCCUUUAUUUACAACUGUUUUGGCACAAUUAGUCUAACCAUCAUAAUGUGUUCCUGGCUCCUCCUAAGCUUCUCAAGUCUACCUCUCCCUACCCCCCCCCCCUUUUUCUAUAAGACUUUGUUAAAUAAAAAUGAGGUAUGGAAUUAUAAUCUGUUUUAACAUAAUCACUCAUUCACUCAUUGUGUAUUGUUCUGCCAUAUACUAUGUGUCUUGAUAUUCAACCUCAUUAAAAAAAAGAGCAUGAAAAAAAAUAAAAAAGGAAACCCAAUGCAGAAACCCGAUUGAGAUAUCUAAAAUUAAUGGAAGACUUUGUCAAAGCAAGGACAUUUCUUGAAAGUUUGAACACUCCACCCACCUAAAGCACUUUAACUUGCUGAGAUGAUUUGUGUGUGAAGAGUGUGUCCUGAUUUUUCAUUUUACAAACAGUGCACAUUUCAAUAGAUAUUGUCUGUGACGGAGCCCAGUCUGAAUACCUCCAUCUGUAGUCUCUUGAUGCUGGAGAAAGUUGCUUUUCAAUGAUUAUAACCCUUCCCAAACACUAGAUGACUCAUAGUGUAGGGUACAACAACAACAACAGUGUAUUGUCACCAGGCAGCCAUAUUUUAUAGGCACAGUAACAACAGGUGGUCUUCAACUGGGACAAUAGGUUACACACUGGUGCCUCAGGGGACAAGUUCAAUUUAAUAUUGCUGACUUUAUUCGAUCCCCAGACUUCAGGGCACCGAACUAAUAAAACAUACAAUAUCAUAAGUUAAAUAUAAUGUCUACACACAUAUUACACCUCCUUGGACAGGUCUCUUUCACACAAACAAAGUGUCCAAAAAGCACCCAGACCGGAUGUGCCUAGCCCAAGAAAUUAUUGAGUUAAGUUUGAUUGGGCUGAGGCUACAACAAAUCCGGCACAGAGCUCCAGGCUGCCAUGGCUAAGUGCCAGUCAAUGAAAUUGUCUGCUUUCUGUUUUUGUGAGAAAUUCCUGGCAGUCAUAUUCCCUAUCUCCCCUCCAAAAUGCCCUCCUGGAUGUUGAAUUGUGGGAACAGGAGCGACCGUUAGUUGCACCGGGCAGUCACACUCGACUAAGCUGACUAAGAGCUCCAUGAAGUUAGCACCUGGUCCCGUUGGAAGGGUUGGGGCUGUCCAGAUAUCCUAGAACAGUUUUCCAGCCUGGGAAUGGGGCACUCAGCACUGCAAGGGUUUGGAGAUAAUAGGGGAAAGCCAGGGAGUGAUCUCUUGUAUCUGUUGUAGUUUAGAAGUCCUGCACCAGUUAAUCCACAAGCAUGGUGCUGGAUCCACCACAUUGGCACCUUUAUAAGUUAUCCUUUUUACACCCCCUGACUGUCAAUCAGACAACUGGCCAUGUUACUUCCUGUUUUGAUUAGCUCAGUGGAACUAAACUCAAGAGGCAGCGAUUGCCACGAACACCUGGCUUGCAAAGACUUCUGAAAGUGGGGAAAUUACAACAGAAACCUACGGAACCAGUAGGAAUAUAUAAUCGAUGAUUAGUUUAAAUUUUGAACCACCUUUCAGAAUAUUUUGAUAAAUCUUAUGCAGCAUUUCGGUUUCUUCACCUCCAGUAUAAAGCAUGCCAUGGCUAUGCCAGGAAUAAACUGGAUUGUUAUGUCAGAUGAUAAAUAGUUUAAAUUAUAUGAAUUUAAAAGAAAACAGAGCAUCACGUAAAGGUUAACACAAGUUUUUCUUUUUUUUCUAUUUUAAAGAAUGGAGUUUUUCUAGAUAAGGGAACAUUUCAAUUUAAUUCAGACAAACAUAGAUGAUGCAAAACGAUUUGUUUUUAGCUUGUACAAUAAAGUGGUUAUCCUAAUUAAAUAUAUGCAUAUUCUUUUUUUUUUUUUUAAUAUGUCCUGUUUUAAAGGUAUUAUUUGUAAACAUAAGUGCUUAUUCAACUUACAGGCUUUUCAUCGUGGUUGCAAUAUGAUAAGGUAAAUUUCAGCCUGCACAUUGUAACUUGAUUGAUGUAUGAGUUCAGCCUAUAGUCAAGUUAUAUGUAAUGAGAGAUUAAGUAAUGGAAGAGGCUUCAAUGACCAGAAAACAAUUAAUAUGUUAUUAUGUUACUGGUUGAAAUCCAAUAGAUAAAAUCCCUACAUUUAUGUAAGGAACAAAAUGGAAGCUAGAAACAAAAAUCAACUAGUGGAGAUGUUUUGCAUUAUGACAUUUAUACACUAAAUAACACAAUUCUGAACAUAUAACAUAUAUAAUAACCAGAGGUCAAAACUUCUUUUCAUGAGGGCGUGUCCUGCAACUCAAUGUGAAUAGACACACAUCCAGUGAGCUCCUGAAAGCUGACCCAAACUAAGCUGUUUUAAGAUGAAUUUGAUCAAAGAUGGGCAACAAAAUGAAAUAUUCAGCACAUCAAGAACACCUAGACCCCAGCUCUAGCAAAAAACCAAGGGAACUCGACAAGUAUUCAAGACAAAGUGAAGGCAUUGGCGGCGGACGCAGAUGACAACAUGGCAUCACAAACCAGGCCCAGCGGCUCUCCUCCAAGAAGCCCAGCCCUCUCAUACUGUUCUUCACUGUUGAGAGAACCGGUGAUACAAGACCUCCUUCAGAACCUACUGUCCCAAUCAGAUCUAUGCAGGCACAAAUCUCUUCUCUGGCAGCAGACAUCCACCACAUGGGCGCAAGAGUUGAGGACCUCGAGGAGGAGAAGGAGGACAUACAACACAGGUUUAGUGCUGUGGAGACUAAACAAGGAGAAAUUGACUCUAAACUUACCUCAUUGGUACGCAACAUGGAGGAUCUGGAGAACAUGGAGGAUCUCACUCCACAGAAGAUCUACCGUGGAAAUUACAAGCCCUGUUUAACUCAAUCCUACAGCGCUCACCAGACUCUCCAAUAACCCUGGACAGGGCACAGAGGGGAAUAGCACAAGAAACCCCCAGGGACGCUAUAUGUAGGCUUCACUAUUAUGCAGAAAAGGAAUUUAUAUUAACCUCAUCUGGAGACUCACCAGCUCUAAAAGUGGAUGAGACAACCAUACAGAUCUUUCCAGAGCUGUUAUGGAUGACGCUACAAGGCCGCGAGGCUCUGCGAUCUAUUUCUCAAAUUCUUCAGGACAGUAAAUCAAAUAUCACUGGGGAUACCCAUUCUCCCUCACAGUCCUACAGAAUGGCAAACCAAUAACCAUUAAAACAGCUGCUUAUGUCCCAGAAUUUUUUUAAACCCUACAUAUACCCCUGGUGGACAUCCUGGAUUGGUAGAAUGCUACAAACACCGUCUCACCAAUGGCACUUCCGCAGAGGCCUAGGUGACAACCCACACCACGACAAACAUCGCAACAGCCCUACUCAUGGGCGCGACAAGACCAAGCGACGACAUGAGCUGGGACUUCAUCUAAGUCAUCCCGUCUUCGAUACAGGGAAGGUGGUAAAUAUUUCUACUUACAUUGACUUCUUAGUGGCACAUAAAGGUCUAACAUUAGUGGAAAAUGUCAAAAUAGGUAGCAUCACAUGGUCAGACCAUGCCCCUAUAACCAUUGCCAUGCACAUUCCGAAUUUACCAAUCACACAAUAUAAUUGAAAAUUAAAAUAAUCUAUCCUACAGAAUAACUUAAUUAAACAAGCUAUUUCUACAUCUAUUACACAAUAUUUUCGGGAAAACAAAACACCACUCCUCUAACGCAAUGGGAAGCACAUAAAUGUGUCCUGCGAGGAGAAUUGGUUAAAUGGGGCUCUACAAACAACCACACUCCUUACAAAUAUUAAAGAAUUAGAACACAAACACAGACACACUAUAUGAACACUGAUGAACAUUACCGCAAACUCAUAUCCCUUCGGACUGACCUUAAAAUACUUCUGAACGACAAAACUAAAAAGUCCAUCUUAUGGACCAAACAACUAUUCUACUCUCAGGGAGACAGAUGUGGAAGGUUACUAGCCGCAGCUUUAAAAACGCAACAACAAAAGGCCAACGAAAUAGCUGACGCAUUUAGAGACUUUUACUGUUCACUAUAUAAUAUGCAAUAUAUUUGACAAGGCAACUCGACUGUAAGAUACCCUCGGACAUGUACCGAUCUUUAAAUGCACCAUUUACAGAGGAGAAAUUAGCUAAAGCCAUUCGCUCGACCCUUACCAAUAAAGCACCUGUCCCAGAUGGUUAUCCUUCUUUAUACUACAAAACUUAUGCAAAGGAACAGUCCUCCCACUUUUUGGAAGCACUUAAUUCCAUCUUCCCCUCCCAUCUCAUCCCCAACUGAGGUCUUGAGGCAACCAUCACAUUAAUCCCCAAAACUUGGGAAAACCCACAUGAAAAACCCCAUAUCGUUGAUCAAUGUUGACAUAAAGUUAUUUACUAAAAUGCAGGUGAUCCAAAUAUGACCACUUUUACAGGGGCUAGUCCACCCCGAUCCGGCCAGUGGCGGAUCCAGAAGCUAAUCUCGGGAGGGGCACUGGUAGAUCCUUUUAAGAAACAAUACAGGCACAAUAACCACUACAGCUCGCUGUAGUGGUUUUGGUGCCAGGAUUUGCUGUGGUGCCCUCCCAGAGUAAGUAGUCAAACCAUUUAAGAAAUGUUUGAUAACUUACCCAGGGUCUGCUGGGAUAGGGGCUGUAGUGUGUGUGUGUGUGUGUGUGUGAGUGGUGCAGUGUGUGUGAGGGUCGCAGUAUGUGUAUGGAGGGGUAGUGUGUGUGUGAGAGGGGUGCAGUGUAUGUAUGGGGUAGCAAUUUGUAUAUUGGGAGCAGCGUGUUUGUGUGUAAAGGGUGCAGUGUGUUUGUUUGUGAGUGGCGCUGUGUGUCUGUGUAUGGGGGGCUGUGUGUGUAUUGGGGCUAUGUGCUUAAGGAGGGGGGCUGUGUGUAUAAGGGGGCUAUGUGUGUAAGGGGAGGCAGUGUGUGUAAGGGGGUGGGCUGUGUGUGUAAGGGGGGCUGUGUGUGUAAGGUGGGCUGUAUAUUUGUGUGUGGUGCAGUGUGUAGGGGGUUAUAGUUUGUGUGAGGGGAUGGGGGGCUGUGUGUGUAAGGGGGGCUGUGUGUGGUGCAGUGUAUGAGGGGAUAGGGGGGCAGAUUAAAGAUAUAUAUAUUUUUUAUUAUUAUUAAAUAAUUAAAUAAAUAUAGCUAAUGUACCCCCUCCCUUCUUAUCUUUGCUGAGAGAGGGGGAGACAUUGCUUUCUUUCCAGUCCCUGGCGGUUCUAGUGGGGGAGUGAACUCUAACCUGCAGCUCAGGCUAGAGUUCACUCUCGCGAGAAUGGAGUGUUGCCAUGGUAACCGCGGAAACAUUCCGUGAUCGCGAGAGGAGAAUCCGGCGGAACUGCAGGUAAGAGCCCCCCCCCGGGUUCUCUCUCCCUCCACCGCCCAGCUGUGUGGGCCGAGGAGGGAGAUCACGGAUCUCCCCUCCGGUCCGUGAAGGCAAACAUCAGGGCUGGUGCUUAUCCCUGCCAGAGAAGAUAAUGCGACCAAAAUCAUUCAUCUGAAGGAUUGGACUGGUGCUUUCUCGUGUUGACAAUGGAGACCUUGGGUUCUGGCCCUAGAUGGAUGUCCUGGAUCCGGGCCAUGUACUCGAGAACGAUGACUAGGAUCAAAGUGAAUGGUAUCCUGUCACGACCUAUGCCUAUUUCCAAUGGUACGCGUCAGGGUGCCGCUUGUCACUAUUACUAUUUAUACUUGUCCUAGAACCUCUCCUCCAAGCAGUACGCAAAAACAAAGUGAUAACAGGGUUGACGAUAGCUAGGAGGGAGUUUAAAGUGUACACUUUUGUGGAUGACCUAUUUACCAUAAGUAAACCAACACAGUCCCUUCCACACCUUAUGACAGAGAUCACAACAUAUAGCAACCACUCAAAUUUCAAAAUAAAUUUAGAAAAAUGCGAGAUCCUUAACCUAACUGUUAAACAGUGAGAGGCAAGAUCCCUACAGCAGACACCUAUUUCAAUGGACAGACAAGUCCAUCAAAUAUUUAGGCGUACACGUCACCCCAUCCCCAAAAGACCUGUAUGAGUAUAAUUGUUCAUGGCUGAUAGACUUCAUGGCAUCAGAUCUGAAAUUAUGGGACAAGCCCCACUUCUGGUGGCUAAGCAGAGUCAAUAUCAUCUUGAUGCAUAUUCUCCCCCGUAUACUGUACCUGCUGAACAUGAUCCCAAUACCAUUUCCCUGGAAAUAUUUCAAGACUGUCCAAUUCAUGUUCACAAAAUGUAUUUGAGCAGGGAAAAAACCCAGACUCGCCUAUCACAUACUCACACAUCUAAAAGACAAAGGAGGAGGGGGCUCCCUAACAUACUUCUCUAUCAAUAUGCCAUACAUAUGUCUAGGAUAAUAGAUAGAAUGUGAAUGUGAUGGCAGAUAAGAACCAUUUGGCCCAUCUAGUCUGCCCAAUUUUCUAAAUACUUUGAUUAGUCCCUAGCCUUAUCUUAUAGUUAUUAUAGCCUUUUGCCUAUCCCACGCAUGCUUAAACUCCUUUACUGUGUUAACCUCUACCACUUCAGCUGGAAGGUUAUUCCAUGCAUCCACUACCCUCUCAGGAAAGUAAUACUUCCUGAUAUUAUUUUUAAACCUUUGUCCCUCUAAUUUAAGACUAUGUCCUCUUGUUGUGGUAGUUUUUCUUCUUUUAAAUAUAGUCUCCUUCACUGUGUUGAUUCCCUUUAUAUAUUUAAAUGUUUCUAUCAUAUUCCCCCUGUCUCGUCUUUCCUCCAAGCUAUACAUGUUAAGAUCCUUUAACCUUUCCUGGUAAGUUUUAUCCCGCAAUCCAUGAACCAGUUUAGUAGCCCUUCUCUGAACCCUCUCUAAGGUAUCAAUAUCCUUCUGAAGAUACGGUCUCCAGUACUGUGUACAAUACUCCAAGUGAGGUCUCACCAGUGUUCUGUACAAUGGCAUGAGCACUUCCCUCUUUCUACUGCUAAUACCUCUCCCUAUACAACCAAGCAUUCUGCUAUAAUUUCCUGCUGCUCUAUUACAUUGUCUGCCUACCUUUAAGUCAUCAGAAAUAAUCACCCCUAAAUCCCUUUCCUCAUAUGUUGAGGUUAGGACUCUAUCAAAUAUUCUGUACUCUGUCCUUGGGUUUUUACGUCCAAGAUGCAUUAUCUUGCACUUAUCCACAUUAAAUGUCAGUUGCCACAAUUCUGACCAUUUUCUAGUUUACCUAAAUCAUUUGUCAUUUGGCUUAUCCCUCCUGGAACAUCAACCCUGUUACAUAUCUUAGUAUCAUCAGCAAAAAGACAUACCUUACCAUCAAGACCUUCUGCAAUGUCACUAAUAAAAAUAUUAAAGAGAAUGGGUCCAAGUACAGAUCCCUGAUGUACCCCACUGGUGACAAGUCCAAGCUUCGAAUAUAUUCCAUUAACUACAACCCUCUGUUGCCUGUCACUCAGCCACUGCCUUACCCAUUCAACAAUAUUGGAAUCCAAACUUAAAGAUUGCAGUUUAUUGAAAAGCCUUCUAUGUGCAACAGUGUCAAAAGCCUUACUGAAAUCUAGGUAAGCAAUGUCUACUGCACCACCCUGAUCUAUAAUUUUAGUUACCCAAUCAAAAAAAUCAAUAAGAUUAGUUUGGCAUGAUCUCCUUGAAGUAAAUCCAUGUUGUCUCUGAUCUUGAAAUCAAUGUGUUUUUAGAUGUUCAACAAUCCUAUACUUAAACAUGGUUUCCAUCACUUUCCCCACUACUGAAGUAAGGCUUACUGGCCUAUAGUUGCCCGACUCAUCCCUAUUACCUUUCUUGUAAAUGGGCACAACAUUUGCUAACUUCCAAUCUUCUGGGACUACUGCUGUUAACAAUGAUUGGUUAAAUAAAUCUGUUAAUGGUUUUGCUAGUACACCACUGAGCUCUUUUAAUAGCUUUGGGUGUAUUCCAUCAGGUCCCAUUGACUUAUUUGUCUUCACUUUUGACAGUUAAAAUAGAACCUCUUCCUCUGUAAACUCACGUGUAAUAAAUUACUCAUUUAUCCUUUUUCUCAACUGAGGUCCUUUUCCUUCAGAACACAAAUAUUCAUUGAGGCAGUCAGCUAGACCUUUAUCCUCUUCUACAUACCUUCCUUCUUUUGUUUUUAAUCUAACUAAUCCUUGUUUUACUUUUCUUUUCUCAUUUAUGUAUCUAAAAAUGUUUUAUCCCCCUUUUUUACUGACUGUGCUAUUUUCUCUUCUGCGUGUGAUUUGGAAGCUCUUAUAACUAGCUUAGCCUCUUUCUGCCUAAUCUUAUAGAUCAUUUUGUCUUCCUCACUCUGGGUUUUUUUAGAAUUCCUAAAUGCUAACUUUUUGUUUUUAACUAUUUUGGCCACAUCUGCGGAGUACCACAGUGGUUUCUUGAAUUUUUGCUUUUACUGACAAGCCUAAUGCAAUUUUCUGUUGCCUUCAAUAGUGCAACUUUUAAAUAAUCCCAUUUCUCUUGGACUCCAUUUAAAUUGCUCCAGGCUGAUAAUGACUCCUCUACACAUAUUCUAAUUUUAGAAAAGUCUGUUUUUCUAAAGUCUAAAACUUUUGUUUUUGUGUGGUGUGACUCAGUCACUGUUCUUAUAUUAAACCACAAUGACUGAUGAUCACUGGAUCCUAAACUUUCACCUACAGUAAUGUCUGAUGCAAAAUCUCGAUUUGUUAACACUAAAUCUAGUAUGGCCUCUUUAUACUAGAUUUAGUGUUAACAAAUGGGGGGGGGCUCCCUAACAUACUUCUCUAUCAAUAUGCCAUACAUAUGUCUAGGAUAAUAGAUUGGUCCAUAGGGCUGGAAUCCAAACUGUGGAUUCCAAUAGAACAAUCCUUCUCCACCCCAGUUCAGUCCAUGCCUUGGGCAUUUACACUAUCUGGAGAAUACCCAAUUACUGGCCAUCCAAUGAUUGCAGCUACCCUGCAGAUAUGGAAGAAAAUACUCCAACUAACGGAGAUAUCUCCACUGCCAUCACCUAGAUAUCUCAUAUCCCAUAACACACUCUUCCCGGCAGGAUCAAAAGGCUUCUUAUGGCCUGUAGACACCAGCUUAGAAAAUUUUCCUUUACGCACCUCUAGAAAGCAUAUAGGGAGAGUCAGGUCUCAAACCACUCGCAGACUCGUUAAACCGAAUACCUCGUCCAUAGCUUAAUCAUUCUAUUUCACUUUAACUAAAACACUUCACCUUCCCAACAAUGGCAUGAGAGAUAACACUGAUUUUGAACAGAUGUGUUCUAAAAAUACCCCAAAACCAAAGACUAAAUCUAAAUGUUACAAAUUACUCUAGUCCAAAAUGCAUCCUAAAUUUCCACACUAUACACGAAAAUGGGAACACCACUUAGGUCACUCGAUUAGAGAAAAAGAAUGGCAUGAGACCUUUAGCACUAUCUUUCAUGCACACUCCAGUGUCUCGCUUCACAAAGUCAAUUAUAAACUGGCUUUGGGAUGGUAUUUCACACCGACAGAUAUCCACCGCUUUGAUCCAACAUCAAUACCUCUCUGCUGGAGAUGUGGAAAAUCGAGAGAUGACUGACUUUUGGAAGUUGGUUGGGGCGACCAUAAGGCAUCAUAGUGGGUAAACAUUUCCCCUAGGAGGCAGAGGCCCUACUGCUUUUCAGAGUAGACAUACCCCUAACUAAACUAAAAUGCUCCCUGAUUUACUUCAUGCUUACAGUGGCAAAGGCCACAAUUACCAUGCGAUGGAAAACUAAGCUGGUUCUGAAUAUGAGGGAUUGGUUCAUGAAAAUAGAACACUAUUGAAUUCUUGAAGAACUAAGAUGGAACUCGCCAGGCAACUAUAAUAAAUAUACAUUAAUAUCACAACCAUGGUUGACGUACAUGACUUCCACACACCACCGAGAACCAACAGGUGUAGACACCUAAAGAGAGACGUCCACUAGACAGGUACUUUGGGCCUCAAUCAAUACACUUAUAUUUAGGUUACAGGACCGAUAAUACACUCUAUAGUGAAACCAGUACAACUGCCGCAUCUACUAAUCUAACAGUCACUAUAUGUUUAUGUUUACGAUUAGAUUUAUGUUGAUGAUUAUAUUGUUAACAUCUUUGGUUAUAGGCAACUUUUAAAUCUGAAUGAUGCGAUUUGAUGUUUAUGUCUAAUACAUUUCUGUCAUACUGUGUCGGAAUUAUGUAAACGAGAUCCCAUCUAACGUUGUAUUGUGCAAAAUGUAAAACUGUCAUAUACUCUGUCGACACAUGUUGACUUGAUACUCAAAAAAAUAUAUAAUAAAUAGAAGAAAAAAAAAUAUUUUCAUCACUGGAGUCUUAACAUUUGCUAAUAAGUGCUAUUUGUCUCUUUGUUCCCAAGAUCUAGCCGUUAUCUGUAAUUCUCUAUGGUCCAACAUUUAAAAAAAAGAAGCACUGUGGGAAGAAGACAGGCAGAUGGAGACAGUGAUAUGCUCUGGGCAAUGUUCCUCUAGGAAACAUUGGGUCAUGGCAUUCAUGUGGAUGUUACUUUGACACGUACCACCUACCCAGAGAUUGUUAAAGACCAAGUACACCCCUGAUGGCAAUGGCCUCUUUCAGCAGGAUAAUGCCACACUGCAAAAUAUGUUCAUGAAUGGUUUGAACAUUAAAAAGUGUUUCCUUGGCCUCCAGAUUCCCCAGAUCUCAACCAAUUGAGCCUGUGUGGGAGGGCUGGAACAAUAAAUCUGAUACAUGGAGGUCCCACCUCUCAACUUGCAGGACAUAAAGGAUAUUGGUGAUUAGUAAUGUCCCGAACGGUUCGCCGAACGGUUCGCUGAAUGGUUCGCCACGAACGGCGAACAUAAACAUAAACUUUGACCCUGUACCUCACAGUCAGCAGACACAUUCCAGCCAAUCAGCAGCAGACCCUCCCUCCCAGACCCUCCCACCUCCUGGACAGCAUCCAUUUUACAUUCAUUGUGAAGCUGCAUUCUUAGUAAGCUGUCCAGAGGGUGGGAGGGUCUGGGAGGGAGGGUCUGCUGCUGAUUGGCUGGAAUGUGUCUGCUGACUGUGAGGUACAGGGUCAAAGUUUAUGUUUAUAUUCGCCAUCCGCGGCGAACCGUUCGGCGAACCGUUCUGCGAACCGUUCGGGACAUCACUAUUGGUGAUAGAUACCACAGGACACAUUCAUGCCCCAUCAGAGCUGUUUUGUCAGCACGAAUGAGACGUACAUGAUAUUAGGCAGAUGGUUUUAAUGUUGCAACUGAUCAGUAUACUGCUGGUAUAAUCCAGUAUGACCUUUUAAAGAUCCUGCAUUUCUGCAUCUUUGCAAGAUGUACACACCUGGUUUUAAUAUAUUAAACUGGACUUGCCAUGACAGAUAUAGUUUUACCAUUCUCUAAUCAUCUGGCAUUACUAAUGUUAUACAAUUAAGUGUUUCUUUUCUUCCCUUAAUACUAUUAAAAGCUCAUAGUUUAAUUUGUUUACAUUACCACUGUCUUAUGCUGAGAACAUCUAUCAUGUUCUUCAGUGGGUGUUACACUUGCAUAGUUAGAUGGUUACAUAGGCUGAAAAGAGACAAGUGUUAAGUCUUUCUCACAUCUGUUUUUGCUGUUGAUUCAAAAGAAGGCAAAAAACUGUUUGAAGUGCUUUAAAAUUUUGCAACAAACUAGGAAACAAAAAUCCCAAAAUGGCAGUCAGAUCUAUCCUUGGAUCAAGAAGCUAUUACCCCCAAAAUUUUUAAUUAUUUCCCUAAUAUUAUGUAUUUGCAAGUAUUCAUCCAGUUGCUGUUUUAAUAUCUGUAUAGACUCUGAUAAAACCACCUCUUCAGGCAGAGAAUUCCACAUCCUUAUUGUUCUUACUGUAAAAAAAAACAUUUCCUUUACCUUAGACUAAAUCUCCAUUCUUCCGGUCUAAAUGCAUAAGCUUGUGUCCUACCUACAGUACUGUUCAUGAAUACAUUUCCAGACAAUGGUGUGUUUUGACCACAAAUAUAUUUUUAUAAUGCUUUCAUAUUUUCUUUGAGGAACCAUUUUUCUAAACUUAACAGAUUAAAAUUUGUUAACCUUUCUUCAUAACUAAAAUGUUUCAUUCCUUUUAUGAAUUUUGUAGCCCACCUCUGCACUUUUCUAGUGCCAUAAUAUUCUUCUUUAGAACAGGUGCCUAAAAUUGCACAGCAUGUUUAAGGUGUAGACUUAUCGUGUAUUUAUAAUGAUGCAAAAUUAUAUUUUCAUCCCAAGAAUUAAUGCCCCUUUUUAUACAUGACAAAACCUUAUUAGAAAGGUACAUUUCUCAGUAUGUACCAUUGGGUAAUAAAUACAAAAGAAACAAAUUAAAACCAAUGUGGCUUAGUAGAGAAGUAAAACAAGAGAUUAAAAAUAAGAAAAGGGCAUUUAAAGCAUUUAAAUCGGACAAAUCAGAUGCAUCUUAUGAAACAUAUAAGGAAGCCAAUAAUGCGUGCAAAAAGGCGAUUAGAUUUGCUAAACUUCAAAAUGAAAAAAUGAUCGCUAAAGAGAGCAAAACCAACCCCAAAGCAUUUUUUAAGUACAUAAAUUCAAAAAACCCAACAAAUGAAAGUGUAGGUACACUAAAAACUUAAUUCAUUCAUUAAUAGUUAAUGAAAAUGACCAGGAAAAGGCAGGAAUUUUAAAUAACUAUUUCUCCUCCGUAUAUAUUAAGGUAGAACCCAUGGCAAUAGAUGUGCAAAUGAUUGCUACUAAAAACUUGCAGAAUAAUUGUAAUUGGUUAACUCAAGACAAGGUGCUGCAGCAACUAAAGAAAGUUAAUAUAAACAAAGCUCCAGGGCCUGAUGGUAUCCAUCCACGAGUGCUUAAGGAACUAAGUGUAGAAAUAAGUGAACCAUUGUUUUUAAUCUUUCAAGAUUCUUUUCUUUCAGGAAGUGUUCCAGAGGAUUGUAGGAAGGCAGAUGUGGUUCCUAUAUUCAAAAAGGGUUAAAAAUCCUUGCCUGGAAACUAUAGACCUGUGAGCUUAACUUCUGUGGCAGGGAAAAUAUUUGAAAGGUUAUUAAGGGAUAAUAUUCAAGAAUUCCCUGAGAAGAACAUGGUUAUCAGCAAAAAUCAGCAUGGUUUUAUGAAGCACAGGUCAUGUCAAACUAACUUGAUUGCGUUCUGUGAAGAAGUGAGUAGAAGUAUGGCUCACGGUGUUGCAGUGGAUGUUAUCUAUUUGGAUAUUGCCAAGGCAUUUGAUACAGUUCCACACAAUAGAUUAGUGUUCAAACUCAAGAAAAUCUGUCUAGAUGAAAAUGCUUGUUCUUGGGUAGAACAUUGGCUUAAAAAUAGAGUACAAAGAGUUGUCAUUAAUGGUAAAUUUUCAAGCUGGACAGAGGUGGCAAGUGGUGUUCCUCAGGGGUCUGUUCUGGGACCCCUUCUAUUUAACAUGUUUAUAAAUGAUCUUGAAGAAAGCAUUGAAAGUCAUGUUUCAGUGUUUGCAGAUGACACAAAACUCUGUAAAAUAUUACAAUGUGAGCAAGAUAUUACUUUGCUGCAGAGGGAUUUAGAUAGACUGGGGGACUGGGCACUCAAAUGGCAGAAAUUUAAUGUUGAAAAAUGCAAAGUUAUGCACUUCGGCGUAAAGAAUACACAAGCAACGUAUACCCUUAAUGGAAGUGAAUUAGGGAUAACAACACACGAAAAAGAUUUGGAAAUUGUUAUAGACAACAAACUAUGCAACAAUGUGCAAUGUCAAUCAGCAGUGGCAAACCCAGUAAGGUAUUGUCAUGCAUGAAGAAGGGCAUUAAUUCUCGGACGAGAAUAUCAUUUUGCCUCUUUAUAAAUCAUUGGUAAGACCACAUAUUGAGUAUGCUGUGAAAUUUUCGGCACCUGUUCUAAAGAAGUAUAUUAUGGCACUAGAAAAAGUGCAGAGGCGGGCUACAAAAUUAUUAAAAGGAAUGGAACAUUUCAGCUAUGAAGAAACGUUAACACAUUUAAACCUAUUUAGUUUAGAAAAACACCGCCUGAGAGGUGAUAUGUUAACAUUAUACAAAUAUAUUUGGGGCCAAUACAAACCAUUGUGUGGAAAUCUAGUCACAAACCGGACUUUACAUAGGACACAAGGUCAUGCUUUUAGACUGGAAGAAAGUAGAUUUUGUCUAAGGCAAAGGAAAGGUUUUUUUUUUUUACUGUAAGAACAAUAAGGAUGUGGAAUUCUCUGCCUGAAUAAGUAGUUUUAUCAGAGUCCAUACAGAUGUCCACACAAAUACUAGAUGCAUACUUGCAAAAACAGAAUAUUCAAGGAUGUAAUCUUUUAAUGUAGGGUGAUAGCUGCUUGAUCCAAGGAUAAAUCUGACUACCAUUCUGGGGUCAAGAAGGAAUUUUUUUCCUAGCUUGUUGCAAAAUUGGAAGUGCUUCGGACUGGGCUUUUUUGCCUUCUUUUGGAUCAACGGUAAAAAACAGAUGUGGGAAAGGCUGAACUUGAUGGACGCAAGUCUCUUUUCAGCUAUGUAACUAUGUAACUGCUAAUUGACAUUGCACAUUGUUGCCUAGUUUGUAGUCUAUAACAAUUCCCAGGUUGUUGUCAUAAGUUGUUAUCCUUAAAUCACUACAGUUUAGAAUGAUAGUUGCUUGUGCAUUCCUUACCCCGGAGGGCAUAUCUUUGCAUUAAAUUGAAUCUGACAUUUGAGUGCCCAGCCCCCAAUCUAUUUAAAUCCCUCUGCAGCAAAGUAAUAUCCUGUUCAUAUUGUAUUACUUUACAUAGUUUUGUGUCAUCAAGAUAAUUUAUAAAUAUGUUUAAUAAAAUCGGUCCCAGAAAAGAAGCCUGAGGAAAACCACUUUUGUUCAGCUUGAAUAUUUACCAUUGUUCUACCCAAGCAAAUGUUCUACCCAAAGAACAAUAAUUUUUUGGAAAUUAAUGUCUUGUAGCUUGAACACUAACCUAUUAUUUGGAACCGCAUCGAAAGUCUUGGCAAAAAACAAGCAGAUCACAUCCACUGCAACACCCUGAUCUAUACUUCUACUUACCUCUUCGUAUGAAUGCAAUUGUUAGUUUGAUGUGACCUAUGUUUCAUAAAACCAUGCUGAUUUUUGCUAAUAACAAUAUUUUUCCCAAUUAAUUCUUGAAUAUUAUUCUUUAAUAAUCCUUCAAAUACUUUCCCAGUUACAGAAGUUAAGCUUACAGGUUUAAAGUUCCAAGGCAAAUAUGUUGUGCCCUUUUUAAAUAUUCAAACCACAUCUGCCUUCCUCUAAUUAUCUAGUACAAUUCCUGAAAGAAAAGAAUCCUGAAAAAUUAAAAACAGAGGUUUACUUAUGUAAACACUUAACUCCUUGAGUACUCAUUGGUGAAUACCAUAAGGCCCCAGAGCUUUGUUUACAUUCACUUUCUUUAGUUCCUGCAGCCCAUUGUCUUGAGUAAGACACACUAAUAUUCAUAUUUUCUGGCACAUAAUGUCUGACAAUAUUGUCAAGCGCUGCGGAAUUAGUUGGCACUAAAUAUCAAUAAUAAUAAUUCCCAAAACAAGUUAAAAGUCCCAUACAUUUAUGUUGGCUUUAUGGGAUUUAAAUAAAAUAAAAAUAAAACACGCGUGUGCUUUUUCUUUCCAUUCCCAGGUUUCCUGUCCAAAGUCCCUGCAAUAAAUUAUUCUGACUCUUUCUCCGGUUUUGCUUUCCCAUUGGCUGAAGGCAUGCAGGAGGGACAACUAGAGGAAGGUUUUCCUGAUAACAGACAUGCCAAGCACAUCAUUCUGACAGGAGAGGGAAAAGGCUGUGUUUUAAUAUCUGAUUUUAAAGAUAUCAAAACAUUUGCUAGCAAUUCAACUAACACAAUUUACAGAUGAAAAGUGAUUAUCGAUCAUUUAAAAUCAAACUUUAUUUGUUGAGGCAGGUACCAUUUAAACAUUAAAUUAUGUCUGUUUUAUGAGAGAACAAAAAUAAAACUAUGAAUUUAUGAUAUUUUAAGCCACUUACAUUUCUGUUAGAUCAUUGAUGAUGUUACAAUUUAUGCAUGGAAUUUAUGAAAAGAGUGUAGUUUAUUGGUAUAUUACAACUGGAAAAGGCAGAAUUACGCAGCAAUUGUGGUUGAGCACUAUGGCAAGAUGAUAAAAAUACCAAUACAUUGGGUAUGUGGAAAGGGGCAAAUAGGGAAGCAGAACCUUCAAUAAUGUCCUCAAAUCCCAAAAAAGUAUAGGAUGAUAUGAAAUGAUAAGAAGACAAUCAAACGAAAUCUAGUGCAGUAUUUUCGUUGCCAUUGAUAUUGAAUAAAAAAUAAAGACAUACACUUACAAUUUUCUGGAGCUCAAAAUCAGCUCCAGAUAUAUUCGCUUGGACGGUACGAUCCCCAUCAAUGGACAUGCUGGUAUAGGUCCUUGUUCUCUGUUGGGAGAUAUCUCGGGAGGCUUGUCAGCGGUGGGCAGCAAUUACCAGUUGCUGGAGAUGUUUUCUUUCAGUGCGUUGUAUUUCAGCAGUACGAGUACACCAGCAGAGAAAUAUAAAAACAGAAAAUAUUGCUCUCUAUAUAGAUAAAUAGGAAAUAAAAAGGAUAAAAAGGAGGUAUACUCACAAAAGGAGAGCAAAGUCAAGUUUUGCUCAAUCCUAUAAAGCAUAGGUGGUAUUUUUCCCACCUAGGAAAUUGAAGUAUUGUGGAAACUGAAGUAUGGUAUUAAAUCAUGUACAAAUUGGAUUGUCCUGGCUUACAUCAACUGACUUUAUAGCUGUUAUGUUGGCUUAUGCCAGGGGUAGGAAACCUACGGCACUUCAGCUGACUAUAACUCCAUAACACUCUUGCAGCCUUCAUGCUGGCAAAGCAUCAGGGUAAUGUAGUUCACAACACCCUGAGUGCCAAAGGUUGCCAAUUCCUUCCUUAAGCACAAUCAUUGUUAAGUUUAUAUCACAUUAUCUGUUUCAUAAUAAUCACUAUGUUGUUCUACAAAUGCUAUAUGUUAUGAAUAAAAAAUGUAAAAAAAAAAAAAAGAUAGACAGAUUAUACCUUGCAUAGAAAAAAAUUACUUUGCAGAGUUAUUAAGAAAAUGAUAUAUGAAAUAAAUGCCCAUAACUCACACUUUUAUGAUUGACAAGAUCCCUUUAAAUAAAAUGAUCAACUGUGAACAAACAAGAAAAGUAGAAUUUAGCUAAUGUUACUUUUUUCAUACCCAGAUUCUUCAAAGUUUCGGGUAAGAUGUGUUGAAUGAAGGGAAGGUGAUUGCUGAACAGAGACUGCUUGAGAUACACAAGAAUAGAAAUAGCGUGAUAUUUGUAAAUGAGGUGUGAGAAAGCAUUAUUUUCACAUUUAUUAAACAUAAAAUUAAACUCUGAUUUUUUUUAACACUUUCAUGCAUAAGAAACCUAUGGUACACUGACAGUACAUUUACAUAUUUUCCAAAUAUUUUUUUAAUUUCCUUUUCAUUUUUAAGUCAUACAGCUAAAAAGCAGUCUUCAAACAAAUUUACAUUUUAAAAACUCACUAAUUUCUUUAUUUUUUUUAGAUUAAUCUGUGGCAAAGGGUCUCUUGGUCUUUCCACUGACUAUACAUACUUAUAGCCUUACUGACAGAACAGGUCCUGUAAAUAAAGUAGGCAGACUUUCACCGUGUGAACAGUGUGUUACCGUUAUACAUAUAUUUGAACCACUAAAUGAGAAAGUAGCACUUCCUCAUAUAUCAUCAUUGGGUAAAAGGGUAGAGUUUUGGCAGCACAGAUUAAAAUUAAAAUAAAGAACAUGACAAUAUUUUGAAAGGUAAGUUUGCAAAAAUUGUUCAACAAUUUUAUGGAAAUAUGUUUAAAUCUUCAUAUAUUGGAUGUGAAUGUCUAACUCCUACAGUUUUUAUUAUUUUUAAAAUAGGAAAUAUUUUUUCAUUUUCCAAUCAUGCUUUAAUAUUUCUGGGUUUUUUCAACGUCUUGGCCAAAGGUGCUGGGACCACUGUGCUCUUCCCUCAGAGAUUCCAUGUACAACCACUACUGAUGCUCUGCCAGGAAAUGAUGUCUUAUGCACACUGCAGGGUGCACAAGGGAGCUGUGCAGGGACACCGCAGUUAGAAAAGACGCCAACUGCGCAUUUUAGUUAGUGGCUGCCGCACUGGAGCUCUAGGAGUGGAGGUUGGGGAGGGCAUACAGUAGGGCAACGAACAAUAGGGGAGUAUUCAGCUGACGUUUUCAGUCAGUGACCACAGUCCGGCCAGGCCCUGCUUAUCUCUACAGAGAUAACUGGAUUCUACUGCAGAAAACAAGAUGCCACCGGCAUUAAGCAUUGUGGCAUCAUAUGAAGUAGUUAUGGUUCAUAGGUCAUUUUAGGUUGAGGUCCGGUCGCUUGGCAGAUUAGCCCUAUCUCUAGGCAGUUCUGAGUAAUCAAGUACAAGUGUGUGUCUGAGGUAAUUAAGAAGUCGAUUGGCUGUCACCUGGUUAAGGGUUGAUAGUGUCAGGAAGUUGGUGAUAUAAUAAUAAAUUUAAAAAAAGAUGAUUGUAGAGAGACGGGAGUGAGCACCUGAAUCUUCCCGCGAUAUGAAACAGUUGUUGUAUCAGGUGGAGAUACAAGGACGUGACGACUGGCGAACACUUGUGAUUUGGUUAUUAACGCAGCUUUCAUCUAUGACUAUUCCGACCUCUGGAAUCCCUGACAAUGGCCCGGUUUACGUGUUCUCCCAAUUAUCUGCACUCUUUGACUUUGGCCUGUCCCUGUUUACUUUUACUUUCAUACGUUAAUCCUUGCCACACAAAGGACUAGUAUAGGUAGUAUAGUAUAGUAUAGUAUAGUAUAGAGUAGUAUAGGUAGUCUAGUAUAAUAUAGACUAGUAUAGGUAGUCUAGUAUAGUAUAGUAUAGUAUAGUAUAGACUAGUAUAGGUAGUCUAGUCUAGUAUAGUAUAGACUAGUAUAGGUAGUAUAGUAUAGUAUAGACUAGUAUAGGUAGUCUAGUAUAGUAUAGUAUGGCAUAGUAUAGACUAGUAUAGGUAGUAUAGUAUAGCAUAGUAUAGACUAGUAUAGGUAGUCUAGUAUAGUAUAGUAUAGCAUAGUAUAGACUAGUAUAGGUAGUAUAGUAUAGCAUAGUAUAGACUAGUAUAGGUAGUCUAGUAUAGUAUAGUAUAGCAUAGUAUAGACUAGUAUAGGUAGUAUAGUAUAGCAUAGUAUAGACUAGUAUAGGUAGUAUAGUAUAGCAUAGUAUAGACUAGUAUAGGUAGUCUAGUAUAGUAUAGCAUAGUAUAGACUAGUAUAGGUAGUAUAGUAUAGCAUAGUAUAGACUAGUAUAGGUAGUCUAGUAUAGUAUAGAGUAGUAUAGGAUAGUAUAGUAUAGAUCAUGGCAAUUUAAAUGCAGCACAGUAUGAGGGGGUGGGCUAGUUGGGGGUCGUGUUGUGUCAUCACCAAUGGAGGCCUUGUCCCCUCAAAGUGAGCAUGACAGUUUGGUGCCUCUUCAGGACCACACGUGUGUAGAGCCCUGUUGAAGAGCCUUUGCAAAGGGAUAAUGCCCUGUAUUCCCAAUCUGGCCCUUUCUACUUCCUUUAAACUAUAUGUUUGAGCAAGGCCUUUAUACCUUCUUGUUUACAUGUGAUGAAUGUCCUCUGCUACAGCUACUUUUACAUUUAGUUUACCUAUCAUACAGCGCUGCAGAAUAUGGUGCCACUUUUUAAGUAAAAAUGAUAAUAGCCUGUGUGAUGCUAUUAUCUUCUAUAAAAUGCAAGACUUUGUACCAUCUCAAUAGCUACAUCUCAAUAGUUAAUAAUAAGAGAACUAUAUAGAACCAAGGAAUUCUAAGUGACAUAUUGUGUCACACAAUAUGGUGACAUGCCAAUGUAAUGUAGUAAUGUACUAUAAUUAUUAUAUUUAUGUUUUGGUACAAUUACUAUAAUAACUUAUAAGUAAAGAUUUUUUGAAUUGCGGUGUGUGUUUGCAAUGUAUUAUUUUGUAUUUCUUAUGGUCUGAAAAGGUCUAGAAUGGGGAAAACUUGCCCCGCUUGGUAAUGUAACAUUUAGUUUCGAGUCGUUUAGCAACAAAUAAAUUUACUUAUAGUUUAAUUGUACUUGAUUUUGACUGUUUUAAUAAAAUAAUUUACCAAGAUCCGUAUAUUGGCUUCCCUGUUGAUUUGAUUGAUUCUAUUGUGUAUUAAUUUAUUACUUUAUUUCUCUUUUGUAUCUCUGUAGGAAGCAGAUUACGACACACUUAUCUUGAAGAAGACCU
Molecule: long non-coding RNA, 102498 nt
Filed under: Pelobates cultripes (western spadefoot toad)
Lineage: Eukaryota; Metazoa; Chordata; Amphibia; Anura; Pelobatidae
Source: RNAcentral